UAAAGAGUUAAGAAAGAAAAGAGCAAGACAAAAUUCGGUACAAAAAGUUGGGUGGAGAUGAACAAAGAUGAAAGAAGCACGAAAAGAAGAUGCCGCUAAGUUUAGGUCAAGAAAAGUGAAAGUAAAAAUGGGUGAUAGAUGAGUAGGAUAAUAAUAGAAAUUUUUUUGUUUAUCCUUAUUAAUUUAGAUGUACACGGAUAAACUUUCUAAAAUUUGAAAGUAAAAUUUGGAAUAGCAUGAAAAAAAUCCACUCAUUUAAAGGAUAUCACUUAGAAGGAAGAUGUAAGUUUUAACAUUUCAUUAUUAUAAAUAUUGGGAAUCAAAGUCAGGUUUUGAAGGAUAGUCAAGACCUUGUAGAGCUUGUAUCUUUGGGAUAUAUCCUCAUCUGAAUAUGAAGGAAUGAACCAGUACUUCUUGUCCAUUCCAGAAACCUGAUAUCCAACCAAACAUCAAUCAUAAUGUAACCACAUAUAUUAGUCAAUAAUAAUACCAGAACAAGACCACCCCACCAUCCAUAAGUCCAUGUUCUGUUACUUUUUUAGUGUUGUUACUCAGCUAAGCUUCAAAAUUCACUGAUUUUGGUAUAUUAAAACAGCUUCAAGUAACUUUUAUGUUAGAUCACAAGUUUCAUACAGUUAAAUUGACAACUUGAUUUUUUCAAUAAGAACACUCAUACAGUUAAAUUGACAAUUUCGUUUUUACUGUUUUGAAAGUACAAAAUAAUCAACUUCUCUUAUUCGCCCAAUGCAGAAAGGAUUGAACUUGUGAGUAAAUUAUUUGAUAGAUGUAAUUCCAUUAAUUGCGUCAAAUUUCCAAGUUAUAUAUCUGCAAAUUGGUUUGAAUCAACAUAAAAUCUGACCACAUUCUUCAAUAGACCUAAUGUACAAUAGAUUGAACCAGUUAGGCAAUUAUUAUGGAGAGACAAUGUAUCCAAUUGUGCUAAAUUACCAAGUUCUUGUGGUAUUGAACCUGCAAUUAAUCCAGUGAGAGUAAGAAAUAGACAUUUGAGAUUCUGCUAUUGNAAGAAUUCAGAAAGACUUAAAAGUUCUUUAGGCACAGACAUACCAUGAUGAUGAUUAUUGCCGAGAUUAAAAACAUAUUUGGUCUCUGACAAACAUCAAUGGAAAAUAUCAAACAAUUGGAAAUAAAAUCAUUGAUUUCACCUUUGUACUAAUCAGUUAAACAAACUCUACAAAUAAAAUGUAAUGUCAAAGAAAAUAGAAGUUUGAUAGCAAUCCCAAAUGCAAAGUAAAAAAUAAUAAUGUAUCAACCCUUGACCAAGAAAACAUCAGCAGCAGAGGUUACAACCUAAACCAACUCAUCUAAUACAAAAUUACAAAUCAUUCAUGCACAUUCUAUGACAAACACAUUGUUAUUCAAAUAAGGUGUCACCUUUCAUCAAUUCAACAAGUCUCUCGAGAUCAUUUCAUAAAAAAAUUUCUCUGCCUUUUCAGUCUCUUUGUUCUUAAACAGAGCAGAGAUGAUUAUUUGAAAAGUUAUAACAUUAGAUAAGCAACCACUGUCUUCCAUUUUGGACCACAAGGUCAAUGCUUCAUCAAGCAAACCCUGCUUACAAAGACCACUGAUCAUAACAUUAUAAGUAGGGAUGUCGGGACUGUGACCUUUAUUCAAUAAAUCUUGAAAAAUCUCUCGUGCAUUUUUAAGUCUCCCCCCUUUACACAUGCCAUCAAUAACUAUGGUUGCAGUGCACAUAUCGGGCUGAAUUCCAUUCUCUCUCAUUUUCCUCAAUAAUUCAAUUGCCUUGUCUAGAUGUUGAUUUUUGCAUAAACCAUCAAUCAAAGAAUUAUACAUGAUUACAUCUGCUUGUUGAUUUCUACCAUGCAUCUCAUGAAAAAGAUCCCAAGCAUGAGAGAUUCUUCCAGUUUUGCAUAAACCAUCAAUAAGAGUAUUAUAAGUCACAGUAUUUGGAAUUAUAUUCCUGUUCUGCAUUUCCUGAAAAAGAUUUAUGGCCUCAUCCACCCUUUCGUUCCUUAUGAGUCCAUUUAUCAUGAUAGUGUAGGUCCAAACAUUAGGACUCACUCCCAUGUGGGUCAUUGCACUGAAUAUUUGUUUCGCAUUUUUCACUUUAUUAACUACGUAAUACCCAUCCAUUAGAGCAUUAAAGCUAAAAACAUCAGGUUUCACGUAAUCUUUCACCAUCACACCUAACACAUUCUUGGCUUCUCCUAACUUUCUUUCCUUACAUAAUGCAUCAAUCAAUAUAUUAUAGGUAUAAACAUUUGGCCUAAUGCUAUUUGAUACCAUUUCAUUUAGAAAACCAAAUGCUACCUCUACCUGUCCCACUAAGCAAAAGCCAUAAAUUAGAGUAUUAUAAUUAACAAGAUUAAGAGAAAUUCCUUUGAUAACCAUCUCGGAAUAGAAAUCAUAAGCUUCUUUUGGACGUUUCUCUUUUAAUAAAGAAUCAAUAAUAAUGUUAUACAUUACCGUUGAUGGACCUUGAAUCUUUCGGAGCAAUUCGAUGGCGGCUUCAGUUUCACCUAUUUUGCUCAAUCCAUUGAUCAAUAUCCCAUAAGUAAAUUGGUUGAGCCGAAAUCCUAGUGCUACUACUUUAUCGUGAAAAUUGAGGGCUUCCUUAACCUCACCGUUAUCACAUAGACCUCUCAUGAGUGUAUUUAAGGUUAUGGCAUUUGGAUGAUAACCCCUUUUGAGAAUCUUGACAAAUACAGAGAAAGCAAAAGGCAAUUGGUUUAAGUGACAGAAACAAUUGAUGAGGAGACUGAGAUUAACAAAGUUAUUGUGAAUUCCCUUGAGCUCCAUUUGCUGAAUGAGAGAAAUAGCAGUAGGGUAGCGCUUCACCCUCACAAGAAAUCCCAAAAUCUUUCCAAAUUCGAAGAUGGGAGGAACAUGACGCUGAUGAAGCAAGCGAUUGAAUUGUGAGACGGCUUCGUCGUGUAAGGAAGUCUGAGGGUGAGAGUGAGAGCAAAAGAGGGAAUUGUGGAUUGGAAGAAAUGGAGGAAACUUGGCAAUGGAAGGAAGAAGAGAAACCCUAACACUUCUUGAGAGCCACAUAUUUGCUGCAACAACAAUAGUAUGGCAUUCUUCAAAUUUAUGUUUUCUUCAUUUUUAAAAAGCUUAACUUGUAUGCUUUGAAUAUUUUGUUGGGACAAAUUUAAUGAAUUUAAAUUUUUUAAUUGGAUAAAAUUUUUAUAAUUACCUCUAAAUUUUAAAAGUUAUUUAAAUUUGAAAUAAUUAUUAACACUUACACCUUUAUUCUAAGUUACAUCCUUUUUCUUGUACUUUCAAAAUUUAUUCCUGUGUUUCCGAAUUUUGUCUUAAUGUAAAAACUAUAUUUUUAACGGGUAAAAGAAAAUUUCUCUCAUUAUUAUUCAAACAAAAUCCUUCUCCUAUCCUUAUUUUGCCUAUUUAUCACUCAUUUUUCUUAACUUAAACUUAAACAUAACCGAACUUCUCUUUCGUGUCUGCCUGUCUUUGAUUAUGGUUAAAACUACUUAAGCGUCCCUGUUUUCGUAAGGUCUUCCCAUUUUGGUCCCGUUCUUAUAAAACUUUCCAAUUGAGUCCUCAAAAGUACUAAUUUGAAACAAUCCAACCCCUACCGUUAAAAAUCGUAACGGCCGUUUAAAUAUCAAUGACGUGGCAUUAUAAAUUAAUUUUAUAUUAAUAAUUAUUAAUAAAUAUUUGUGUGAUCAGGAUUUUAGAAGGGUAAAUUUGGAAUAGAAAAUAAUUUCUUCUGCAGAACCCAAACAUAGCUCCCACUUCAUCUUCUUCCUCCGCAAAACNCAUAGUUCAUCUNCUUCCUCAAACCAACCNUAAAACANAAAUUUGCAUAUCUCGGAAUUUCGAUCUUUUUCCUCAGACCGAACAAAAAUAACCAAAUCCUUUAUAAAACCCUAAUUUCGAUCUUUUUCCCCAAUUCAAUUUGUCGAGCCCGCCACCGUCACAGUAGAGCCCGUCGCCAACGCUGCCAAGAGCCGAUGGAGCUUCAUAGGGUCAGUGGCGCUUCUCCCUUUGCUUCUUUUGUUCUGAUAAUUGUAGCCAUCUCCCUGUAUUGGGUUUCGUCUUCUGUAUGUAUCUACUGUGUGAUGAACCGAAAGAAAGGAUUUAAUGCUUCGAAUCCAAGAAUUUGGAUGGAUUGGUGUGCGAUGAUGGGAAAGCGUAGUGGAGAUUAGGGGGCUGAUUUGGUCUUCUCCGUUUUGAUUUGAAUCUAUUCAGAGUUUUGGGAUUUUUCUGAGGUCACAGAAGAAAUGCUUGGUUGAUCUUUUUGAGUCGCAUCAUGCAACUCUCCAGUUUCAUCACUGGAUCUGCCAAAGCUCUGUGCUGAUUCAUCCUGGAUAGCAUAAGAACUCUGCAGAAUGUUAAAGAAAUGAUUAAAUUGAUUUUUUUCUACGAUUUUUUAGAAAAAAAUAAAUUAAAUUGCUUUACGAUUUUUGCAGAACGAAAUUCAGAAGUCUCGUUACCACUAUUUUAUUGGACAAAAUUCAUAAAAUCGCUUGACCCCUCAUUUGUCCUUCCUGAAAUUGAAAACUGGCUAUCAAUUUCAGUCUCACAGACAACAGACAUGCACUACAAGACUUUCAUGGAUAUAUACUAAGGGUUAGUUGAGUCAGCAUUCAAUCAUGUAAAACCCUGAACCGAUAGUAAUUUUGGAUUUAUAAUGUUAUUUCUUAUUUGUUAGUUUUGAUGGGUAUUAGGUUGGCUGCAUCUAUUGCUUUGGAGGAAAAAGAAAAGUUAGUAAAUAAUGCAUCAACUUCUGUUGGGGCUUCCACUAUUGAGGAAGAUGAGUUCAGGUUCUGGGGAGGAGGAAGAAGAAAGUUUCCACUUUACCCUUUUAUAAAAUCUAUAUUCAUUAAUAGCUUUUAAUAUAAAAUUUAUUUAUAAUGCCACGUCAUCAAAUUUAAACGGCCGUUAACAAUUUUUAACGAUAGGAGUUGAAUUGUUUCAAAUUAGCACUUUUAAGGACUCAAUUGGAAAGUUUUAUAAGAACGGAACCAAAAUGGGAAGACCUUACGAAAACAGAGACGCCUAAGUGGUUUUAACCUUUGAUUAUUUUCACCUCAUUCCUGCAUCGAAUUUUUGUCUUGUACUUCUCUUCCUUAACUCUUUUUCGUAAUAAAUCAUCAUUGUUUAAUUACAUUUAUUUGUAAAUAUUUAAUAUAGUUUAGAUGACGGUAGAAGAAAUAAGGUGAAAACCUCGACUUUUAGAAUCCGGUAUUUAUUAAUUAGUGUUUUAAUAUUUAAAAUUAAAAUAAGUUAAAAACGUUGAAUAAAAAAUUACACGAAACUUUGUAAAAGUAUAAAUUAUAUUUUUUAUUAUUAUGUAAACUUGUUAUCAAUUGUUGGAAACGAUUAUAGUGCCACAAUACCGUACACAAAAUUAUUAAUUUGAAAGUAGAACAAUUAUUACUAAUGAUUAAACAUGUACAAAUAUCAUAAAUUAAAUUAAUUAUUUAAAAAAUACAGUUUGUUUUCACUCAUGAAUUCGGUUAUAAUAAAUAAAAAUAGUAAAAAUUGAUAAACUAUUACUACAAUAAUUAAUUAUGAAAAAUUAUAACAUUAAUACUAUUGUACUAUGAAUUAUAACAUCAUUAAUAUUAUUAUAUAAGUUUUAAUAUCAUUAAUAUAAUUAAUAAUAAAUCAUUUAUGAAUUUUAAUAGUGUUCAUUAGAUUUUGAAAUUUUGUAAAAGUGUUCACAUGAUUCAAAACACGAGAGAAAUAAAUACUUGGAAGAAAUAAGAAACAAAUUUUGAAAUCUGAGAAAAAUAAAUAUUUGUACUAUAUGUAAUAUACCGAUCAAAAUUAUUGGUCAUUCAUAGAUAAUUAUCAGGUAUUAAUUAUUGGGUUUAAUUGCUUAAAAUAUAUUGCACUAAUAGUUAAUCAAUGGACUUGGCUGUCACAGGCCCUAUAAAUAUAGAUGUGCAGAUACAAUUAUCUUUUCCUAUUUUUUUUAUCCUAAUUAAAUAUAGAUAGACCUCUUUAUGAAACAUAUCUGACUUGAGCGUCGGUGUCUUCUGCAGGUUAACAACCCAUCGGGGUUGAUUACGUUCUUGAAGAGGAUUGGACCAUCAAAAAAGAACAAAGCAAGGAACGACGACCGACUCUCGGACAAAUUCAUCUGAAACAUUUUGGUGCCCAUCGAGGGGCCGAGCAGCAUUCCCAUGAAGCCACGAAGAACCAGACGUGAGGUUACUUCAAGGGCUGAUGACCGCUCGGUAAUCCGAACGCAAGAUUACCUUGAGAGUGAAGAACCUGAUAACCCGAACGCGAGGUUACCAUAAGAGCGAAGAGCCUGGUAACCCGAACACGAGGUUACCUCAAGGGUUGAACACUAUCUUCAGAGUGGAAGAUCGCUCGGUAACCCGAACGUGAGGUUACCAUAAGAGCAAAGAGUUUGGUAACCUGAACGUGAGGUUACCUUAAGGGUUGAAUCACUCUCUUCAGAAUGGAAGACCGCUCGGUAACCCGAAUGCGAGGUUACCAUAAGAGCGAAGAGCCUGGUAACCCGAACGUGAGGUUACCUCAAGGGCUGAUGACCGCUCGGUAAUCCGAACGCGAGAUUACCUUGAGAGCGAAGAGCCUGGUAACCCAAACCUGAUGUUACCUCAAGGGCUGACGACCGCUCAACGCAGAAAGUUCAAAAAAGAACUCCUAUCAGUCAACUACUCAACAAACCUAGUCCUUUCCCACUCGGACCACCCGUGUUCCGCUUUGUCAGGUUCCAAUGCCUUUUUAUUAUAAAAAUAAAUUACAAAAUAUUAAAAUGUUUAUUUUAAACGCAUAUAUUUUGGAGUGAAAAUCUCUUGCACAGGAAACCGUUCAAAAGAGAACUCCUAGAGUUCGUCGCUUGGUAUAGGGAGUAAUGAAGACUUAAAGCGCAUCAAAGAUAGACUCCCUAAAUACAACGUGAGCGACCUCUUUUAAAGCUCAUAAUAAUCCCUAUGCACCUCUUUCAAAUAAAAGAGCUUGCUUGGGCUUGGGGGACUUAUGUACUAUAUGAAAUAUACGGAUCGGAGUUAAUGGUCAUUCAUGGGCAAUUAUCAGGUAUUAAUGGACCAGAUUGCUUUACGCUUUACAAAUAUAUGACAUUGAUUAUUGAUUAUUGGAUUUGAUUGCUUAAAAAUAUAUUACACUAAUGGUUAAUUAAUGAACUUGACUGUCAUAAGCCCUGUAAAUAUACAUGCAAUUGAUGUUUAGGUACAAUUAUCUUUUCCUAUCUUUUUCUAUCAUAAUUAAAUAUAGACCUCUUUAUGAAACAUAUCUGACUUGAGCGUCAACAAUCCAUCGGGUGGAUUACGUUCUUGAAGAGGAUUGGACCAUCGAAAAAGAACAAAGCAAGGAACAACGACCGACUCUCAGACAAAUUCAACCGAAACAAUAUCAAAUUUCAAAAUCUGAUAGAUUCUUAAACUAAGUUUCCAAAUAUGGUAUAUAUUAAUUAAUGUUUCAAUUUUAUUAAAAAAUUUAACCAUUAUGUCUCAUGUCUCAUUUUCGAGAAUAAAUUAGAUAUUACUAAAUAAAUAUGGUGUAUUUAGUUUUGAUUAUUUUGUUAUUAAAUAUAAAUCAUUUAUGAAUUAUAACACGUACAUAUAUUAUAUUAGUUGUUUCAGUAUAUGGGAUCCGAAACCGAGCUGUCACGUCUCUUUUCACCUCCCGUUCGUCCAACUUUCACAUACAAGAGCUCAUUUCCAGUACCGAACGUUGAUGUCCUGCAAAGGAAAACACUCUGACGCUCAAGUCAGAUAAUGCACCAGGAGGUUAAGCAGGAAUUAUUGUGUUCAAGAUGUCUCAUACCUGACUCUUCAUCUCCUAUUUAUAAACCUCACCUUCAUAAUUAAUGCUAAUAAUUACCACGAAACGUAAUAUCUUCCGUUAUCCUCCCAUCAAUCCUAAUAAAUGCCCCUCAACGUUACCUUACUCCUUGCUCUUAGCAGACCGACCGACUUCCCCCUUCUCUCUGACCACGGACUUAGCUCAAACCGAUCGGCCCAAUCGAUCCCCUACACUACACAAGCCCCCAAAGCCCCGAGCGGCUUUAACAACGAAGGGGUUUUACAGGCCUCUAAAGUGGAAUGCUCGAAGCGGUUUUCUGCCCGGUGGGGAUCGAAGCGUCGCGACACUCCGUCCACACGAUCAAACCUCGAUGUAUGGCUGAGAUACUCUAGCCCGUCAAUCACACAUGUUCAUCGAAGAGUCGCAAUUUCGUGGCCGUAGGAUUCGACCUGUAUCAACGGCGACGAUGCACACCCAAACCGCUUUAUGCGGCUAUAAAAGGUGGAGGGCCCCUUCUCAUUUCCUCCGUUCCUCACUUCCUCCGUUGCUCCUCCCGUCCCUCCUCAACUCCAAGGUAAUGUCUUCCUCUUCGUGGUCCACCGAUGGGUCCGAUAAUGAAGGUCGGGGGUACGCUGAUGGUGCAAUCGCUUCUUCUUCAUUGGAGUCUUCUUCAUCUCACUCCUCUGGUUCUCCCGUUUGUGAGGAAGCCGCUAACGACGAUGUUGAGUUCAACGUAGAUAACUCGUUAGAAUGGAUCGGCAAUGCCCCUCCUCCUAUUGUUCAAGGCUACGAUUGGGCCCCUCACGAGGUUAACGACUACCCUUCGUACUUCAUUUCCACCAACUCCAUAGUACGUCUGUUGGAACGGGUGGACCUGUUGUCCAACCUACGACGAGAUGCUGCCGAUAUAUCCCUAGUAGUAUGUCGUUCCAACGAACAGGCCUGCCACAGUCGGGAAGGGUAUACCCUAGAUUUCUUUUAUGCUUAUGUUACCCUUUUCCGCGACUUGGGUGUACGACUUCCCUUCUCGAAAUUUCAUAUGGGCGUACUUCGAGAGUUAAACAUCUGCCCAGCUCAACUUCACCCGAACGGUUGGGCCUUCAUGCAGGCUUUUGUUGUUCUCUGCACUGGCCUCCUCCUAACUCCUACUCCCGCCUCCUUCCUCUAUUUUUUCCACGUUCGUCCCCACCCCCACAGGUGUUGGAUUUCCCUAGUCCCAGCCAAGGAUAAACAACUCUUCACCUCGUUCAAUUCCUCCUACAAAGACUUUAAAUCCAAUUUUAUCAAGAUAGCCAUAUGAGAUCCCGGCCUGCCCAAAUUUUUCUUUGGGGAUAACCGGCCCAAAUUUCCCCUCUACUGGACAGAAGAGCCUAAACGAGUGAUCUCCUGGGCUGAAUCUGAGAUGACUGAAGCCGAAUUAGAAGUAAUUCGCCAAAUCGAUGAGCUACCCCGGAAGACCCCUUCUCGCCAACUCAUCGACCUCCUCGGGACUAACACUCUACGCGCUAGGGUGUUGGGUAAGCUUUCCUUUAUUUUCCUUCUCGAUCAGUCAAUAUUAACUUGCUAAAUUUGUUUCAUCUUUGCAGACUUCUUUGGCGGAAUGGAGAAACACCAAGCUUUCGCUCGCGCCCUAGCUCGCAAGAACAAACGAAGUGGCGACACUACACUCCCUUCCUCCAACACUAUCGCCCACUCCAUUAAUGUCGCUUUGAAGAUUCAUGAUCUGAGCGAUGACCCGAAACCGGUCGUCCCUGCCCCUGUGACCAAAACCAAGGGAAAAAGGAAGCAACCCUACGAGAAGACCCCUCUCCUUCCAAGAAGAGAAGGAACUUGGGUCUUCUCCUUUCUGGCCCUCCGGAUCCGAACGUCCACGUAUCCGACUGCCUCCAAUUCAACCUUUCCCCCAAAGAAAGAGAACCCUUCAAAACCAUGACCCCUACAGAAUAUUUGGAUAUGGCCUACGAGCUACUAGCUCGGGCCAGCAUCUGCCUGAAUUAUUCUGUUGGAACCACCAAACCGCUCCUUGUGUCAGAGCUUGAGAAUGCCAACAAGAGUUUGGCCACAGCAAAGAAAGAGAUUUCCAUCCUCACCGAACGCCUCGAAAAGGCUAAUAAACUUGCAGAGGACGAUCGGGUUAAAGCUGCUGCCACACUCCUUGAAUCUAAAAAUGAAGUUAAGCGUCUUCAGUAGUUCGUUGAUUCCCUGACCCUAUCCUUACAACAAUCUUCCUCCCAAGUCAAACAAAUCACCGAAGAGAGGGAUUUCGCCCUUGCUGACCGGGACAGAUUGACCUCUGAGUACUCAGCUCUAGAGGAUGAAAUCUGUGAAGAACGCCAACGCGGAUUCGAGCAAGGGAUCGCACAGUGCCACUACUUCUUUCAGACUCCCUUGGAGCACGAUGGUUUCAACAUUAUGAAGAUCUUUGUGGACGGUCAGCUUGUCGAUAUCUCCGCCCCACCUCCUUCACGAGUUGAAUCUAAUACCGACCAGGCUAUUCCUUAGGUUCCUCAAAACGUCCAGGUCGCUUCGGAAGCUACUACAUUUGUCCUUCCCUCAAGCGACCCUACCACCACUUAGCUAGCUUCAUUUUACUUGUAUUUCUCUUUUGGUGUACUUCAUUUUAUUUUCUUCGCACCUAUGUAACACAAACUUUUAAUUGCCAACUUUCUUGCACUUUAAUUUUACAGUUGUUAAUGUCUCCUCCUUUUGAUAGUCGCAUUAUAUACUUAUAAUAUUGUUUUAAUCCUUGUCCGCUCGUCCAACUCUUCUUACAUAGCGAAAUUCCAAGAUUUUUCUGAUUUCCCGCAUUCGGCUAAAUUGAAAAAUCUCUUUCCCGAUUUUCUUCUCUUAACCGAUGGGCAGUCAUUUUCCUGACUAUGCCCAAACAUCCACCCUCCCAACUCCUGGUGAAAAUCAUUUUCCUGAUUUUCUCGCGUUCGGCUAAAGCGAAAAUCAUUUUCCUGAUUUUCAUCCUUUAGCUGAUGGGCAGUCAUUUUCCUGAUUAUGCCUGAUGAUGGGUGUCGCCACCCAAUCAAAUUUAAUUGCAUAUUAGGAAUGCAGUAUAGCUAGGGAGUGACCCCUAGGUCGUCUCUCAAGGACCAACUACGGUUCAGAAUCAGGUCUAACACAGUGUAGGGGGGUUUUGAAAAGGUUUCACCAUGCAUGAAAAUGAAAUUAGAACAGUAAAAACGAAAAUUCACGCUGGAAUUAGGCAGCUCUGACCUUUGCUCAAUGUUUUAACCAUAACUUUUUCUACAGAGCUCUAAAUGAGAUGAGGUUUUUUUUUCCUGGAAAGUAGACUCAAUUAUCUUUCAUUUGAUAUAUAAAAUGUAGCAUUUGGAGCUCUGGUGUGGUUGCAGUAAUUUUUUUAAAAUCGAGUCCAGAGAGUGAAAAUGCUAAAUCAAAUACUAGACUAAACAAAUAUUUAAACACAGUUAAAUUAAAUUAAAUGCAAAACUAAAUUAAAGAAAUUAAAAACAACUAAUCCUACAAUACAAACUAAUUUAAAGCUAAGAAAGAUAAGCAACAUAUUAUUUUUUUUUAUCUAUCAUUCACGUGACAUCACGUGCCUUGCAAUUGAAAAUUGGAUGUUCCCUAGAAUUAAAUUAGCUUGUUGCAUCGUCUUGCUUCCUUUUCAAAAAUAAAAUAAACCUCCAAACGUCCCAUCUAGUUGUCACCGUGAUUGCUCUUAUCUAAUACAAAGUAAAAGCUUGGUCUAAAGAAAGUAAAUCCCUAGAAAAGUUAACCACCGAGCCUCAGCCUAAAAUCAAAUGAGUGUGUGCUUUUGCAUAAGCAAAGUAAAUUGAAAGAAAAUGUUCCAACAUUCAAUCACCGCAUGUGUCCCCUUCCUAUUUAAUAAUAAAACAAACUUUAAAGAAAUGUGGGUGGUGGCUGCACAUUUCUUCCAAUUGCAAAUGAAAAAAAAAAGAAACUUUAUGCCAUCAUAGAAUAUCACGGUGCACACACUUCUUCAAUAAAAAGCUAAAAAUAAAGAAAAUGUUUCUUCCUCAUUCCCAAGGCUUUCUAUAAUUGAAAUCUGCACUCCUCCUAUGCUAAACAGGAAAUUGCUGGAAUAAUAAAAAGAAACAUUAAAUGCAAAAAGUGCUAAAUGAAAUGAAAAGGACGAGAGUAAAUAACCAGGAGCUUUUCAUUCCUCAAGUGUAACAGCGUGUGUACCAGUUUUUUAAUAAACCAAAAUCCAAAAAUUCCAUCAUCCUCCCAAGAAGCUAUGCAUGAAAAACGUUAAAAAAAACUCCUCUUAAAAACGUUGCAGAAUGCCGAGAGUCCUCCUUAGCACAAGUGACGGCUGGAAGGGGAUUGUUGGAAUCCCUAGGGCCAAGUGUCUUCAUAAAAAUGGGUGGGGUCCAUCCUAAAAAAAUAAAACCCUAGGGUGACAAGUGUCCUACAAUUUUUGGGCUUCUCAUAAUUUUUUUUUAAUAAUGGCCCAAUGUGCAAAUGUUUGUCCACAAAGUUUAAAAAAUUAAAAUUAAAAUACAAUAAAAUUUAAAAUGUCUAAUUUGAGAGUCUUGAAUUUAUUUUGUCUCCUCCAAAUGUCCCAAAUUGAGUUUCCAAAAUUCUCCCUGAAAAUAAUAAUGCAAAUAAUUAGCUUAGAAAAUUCAAAUUAAUUAAAAUUAGAAUUUCUGGUCAAAUUAAGCAUAUUUAGGAAAAACGGAAAAAUACCGGACAAUUAAGCACAAUUCCCUGAUUAAUUCUAGCACAAUAAACUAAGUGAAAUCAAUAAAAUAUCGGCUCAUCACCUGAACGUCUACCCUUCCAACUCCUGGUGAAAAUCAUUUUCCUGAUUUUCUCGCGUUCGGCUAAAGCGAAAAUCAUUUUCCUGAUUUUCAUCCUUUAACGGAUGGGUAGUCAUUUUCCUGACUAUGCCCGAACGUCUACCCUUCCAACUCUUGGUGAAAAUCAUUUUCCUGAUUUUCUCGCGUUCGGCUAAAGCAAAAAUCAUUUUCCUGAUUUUCUCGCGUUCGGCUAAAGCGAAAAUCGUUUUCCUGAUUUUUCAUCCUUUAGCGGAUGGGUAGUCAUUUUCCUGACUAUGCCCGAACGUCUACCCUUCCAACUCUUGGUGAAAAUUAUUUUCCUGAUUUUCUCGCGUUCGGCUAAAGCGAAAAUCAUUUUCCUGAUUUUUAUCCUUUAGCGGAUGGGCAGUCAUUUUCCUGACUAUGCCUGAACGUCUACCCUUCCAAAUCCUGGUGAAAAUCAUUUUCCUGAUUUUCUUGCGUUCGGCUAAAGCGAAAAUCAUUUUCCUGAUUUUCAUAGUGAACGUCUACCCACCUUCUCCUCAGAGUUGCUUCUCCUACCUCGACUGACAUCAUCGUGUCUGUUCUGUAAGUCAAGUUAAAUGGUGAUUCCCCCGUCGCGUCGUGCGGCGAACAACGAUAUCCCCACAAGACCAGUGGUAACUCAUCAACCCACGCCCCCUUUGCUUCGCCCAUCCUCUUCUUUAAUUCUUGAAUAAUAAUUUUAUUCACGGCCUCGGCCUGACCGCUCGUCUGUGGAUGCUCGACAGAACUCGUGACCGAAGUUAUCCCCCACUCUUGAUAGAAGGUCACCAGCUUUCUAUCCACAAAUUGUCGAUCAUUGUCAGUAACAAUUACCUUCGACAACCUAAAUCGGCAAAUUAUCUUCCACACAAACUUCUAGACCUGAGCGGCUGAAUUUUUGGCUAAAGGCUCGGCCUCCACGAGUAAUACAACAGGUGACGGAUCCAGGAGUAAUACAACAACACCAAUCCCUUGCCGCUCCAUGUAAUGAGUACUCAAAUGCCCUUAAGAACAUGUCCUCAUCCGGGACAUCUGGAGGUUUCAUUGAAGAGCAUAUGGUGUAGAACUCCUCCAAAUGUCUAUAUGGGCAUUCACCUGCAAAACCAUGAAACCUAGGCAGCAAAUUUAUCAGUCCAGUGUUGAAAACACAACGCAUAUCCUCCUCAUCAAGUGGAAACGGCUCCCUAAGAGAACUCUCAUGAGAUGGAGGAGGAACCGUUAUGUUCUCAACAUAGAAAUCAGCAGAGUAUAUAUGAGAACCAUACUCAAAGUCAGAUGCAGAAGGAGAAUCAUAAUCAUAGACACAGGCAGAAGAAGCAGUGUUCACAAAAUCAAAGUAGGUAGACAUGUAGAAGGAAGGGGGAAAAAUGCAAUGAAAAUAUGCAACUAAAUGCAACACACAAUGACGAACACACAAAACAGAACAUCACACUCACAACACAAGACAAGACACAAUACACACUAACACAACAAAGACCUAAAACCGAACCGUUGGUCCCCGGCAACGACGCCAAAAUUUGAUGGGUGUCGCGGCCCAUACAAAUUUGAUUGCAUAUUAGAAAUGCAGUAUAGCUAGGAAGUGACUCCUAGGUCGUCUCACAAGGACCAACUGCGGUUCGAGAAUCAGGUUAAACGCAAACAGUGGGGGGGGGUGUUUGAAGGUGUCGUUGUGAAUGCAAUAUGAUGAAAUUAAAAAUUAAAAUUAAACACAACAGAAUACAAUUUAAAACAUUAAAGUACAUGACAAUAUUAACUAAAAUUAAAUACACACUAAAACUAAAGAAAGGAAAUGUUAUUCAUCAUGGAAUCAACAUUUAAAAGAAAAAUAAGUAAACCAAGAUAAUUGAGCAAAAUACUUCUCUAAAAUAGGAUUCAAUUAAAAAGCUUAAAAUUCCUCCAAAUUAAAUCACCACUUGCAGCAUAUCCCCAGCUCCUCCUUUUCUUCAUUGAAAUCCACGCUGAUUUCUUUUGUAAAAACAAAUUAAAUGGUGAUGAUAAUCCAUUCUCCCGGACUCGGCAGCGGGACGUGUCCAUGCUUUCAAUUAAAAGGAAUACUUCUUCAAAACUUCUUUCCCAGGUCGAUAGCUCCAAUUUUUGCCAUCAAUCCACGCCUAAUUUUCUCUCAAUGCAAAGUUAAAAGUGAAAUAAACAAUGCUUAAAACUUCCUCCAUGUCGUACCAUUUCUUCACAGACGUGAACAAUUAACUUCUCCAAGAAAAUUAAAAUUGGCUUCCAAUUCUAGAAUAAGAAUCACCGUGAAUAUUGCUGCAUCAAUCAUCAAGCACCUUAUCCGUACAUUGCUUCUGGAAGAAAAAUUGAUAAAAGCUCCACAAAAUAAAUCCUAGCUACCACCAAUUCCAAUCCAAUCAUCUAACUACUAUUCAAUCCAUAAAAUUCAAAUAAAUGCUAGCACAACCUUAGCAGGUCCGUGACAGCAGCUCACACUUCUCCGUACACUAUGCUUCAAUCAAAGGAAAUUAAAACAAAUAGAAAACAGUGCAGCACUUAAAACAAGGUGAAAAGGUAAAAUGUGCUCUCAUUCAUUGAUGUAAUAAAAUCAUGAACCACAUCCCAUUGUUAAAGAACCGUGAGCAAAACAUGUGUGUGCAAGCCAAAUAUCUCCAAAUAAAAAAAUGACGGCUGUCUUUUCAAAAUAAAAUACCAAGAAUCUCUUUUAGCCAAAAUCCAAAUAUAGUAUCAACAUUGUUCUUUUGAAACGUUGCAGCCCUUCCAAAUGCCAAGUCUCUCUUUUUUUUUUUCUUUAGUUGCCGAUAGGUGAUAAUCCAAGUCUGCAGCCAAAUUCUACUUAAAACCAAAGUGACGGCUGCAGCCCUUAGCAAGGGACAUGUGUCUUCAAAUUUUAGGAUGGGGUCCACCCUAAAGAAACCUUAAAGUGCCAAAUCAUCCUACUCCACAAUUGGACUUAGUCUACACUACCAAAAAUUGACCCAAAAUUACAAAACUUGGUUUAAAAAAAAACUUAAUCUACUAAAUUAAAAUUUAAUUAAUUCUAAAUUGUCUUUGUGGAGAGUCUUGAAUUUAUUUUGUCUCCUCCAAAUGUCCCAAAUUGUGUUUCCAAAAUUUUCCCUGAAAAUAAUAAUGCAAAUAAUUAGCUCAGAAUAUUCAAAUUAAUUAAAAUUAGAAUUUCCGGUCAAAUUAAGCACUAUUAGGAAAAACGGGAAAAUACCAGACAAUUAAGCAUAAUUCCCUGAUUAAUUCUAGCACAAUAAACUAAGUGAAGUCGAGAAAAUAGUGACUCAUCAAAAACCCCUUCGGUACAAAUCGUCACCCACAAGGCAAUAUCGAACGAUCCUCUUCACAUCUUCGGCGCCAAGGACUUCCCCCCCUCCUGCCUCCGAAUCAGCUGGAUAAUCUCAUCCUUCCAAGUGUUUUGUGAUCCUGCAGUAGUAACGUUGAAACAUUCUACUAUUGGCUUCGUCAUCACCUGUCUGAUCACUGUAGACAAUCCCCCCCUUCGCAUUUCCGCUUGCCAAUUUGGACAAUAUAUCCGCUCGAUUGUUUUUCGACCGAGGAACAUGUCGCAAUCGAAAGCUCUUAAAACAUGUCGCUAAUCGCUUUGCCUUGUGGAAAUAUUGCAAUAGGUGAUUGUCUUUCACCUGAAAGUUUUCGUUCAUCUGCCCUUCGACCAACCGGGAAUCGGUUUGACACUCUAGCAAGCUUGCCCCCAAAUCUCGUGCCAACUCCAUUCCUGCCAGCAAAGCCUCAUACUCUGCCUGAUUGUUACUAACCUUGAACUGAAACACCAAAGACUGCUCAAUCAGUACCCCGCUCGGGCCUUCUAAAACCACUCAUGCUCCUCCUCCCUGCUUGUUAGAGGACCUACCUACCGAAAGUUGCCAACAAAAUUCCUCCUUCUCCCCUGGUAAGUCAGCCGCAAAAUCUGCAAGAUGUUGGCCCCAAAACGACCCCUUCGGUUCGUACCUCAGCCCAAAUUCAAAUAAUUCUAUCGACCACCCGAUCAUCCUACCUGCUAAGUCAGGCUUUCGCAAUAUCUUGGCUAUCGGGUAAUCCGUCCCAACAACCACUUGGUGUCCCUGAAAAUAAGGUCUUAGACGCCGAGCGGCAUAAACCAGAGACAGGGCCACAUUCUCUAACUGCUGGUACCGAAGCUCUGCCUCCUUGAGGCUUCUGCUGACAAAAUAAACCAACUUGAAAUAGGGGGUCUCUUGAAUUGGCGCAGCACUAAUAGCCUCCUCUGUAGCAGCUAAAAAGACCUGAAGAUCAUGCCCCACUUCCGGUCGGCCCAUCACCGAAGGUCGAGUGAGAAUCUCCUUCACCUCCCUGAAAGCCUCUUCAUUCUCCUUGUCCCAACACUCCUGUGUUGUUCUCUUCAUUGUUCUCAGGAUUGGCUUUAUGUGCUCGGCCAAAUGAGGGAUGAACCGAGACAAGGAAGUCAAACGCCCCACCAACCUCUGAACCUCCUUCACCGACUGGGGACUCCUCAUUUCCAAAACUGCCUUGCACUUAUCGAGAUUCACUUCAAUUCCCCUUAAAGUCAACAUAAACCCUAGAAAUUUCCCUGCCCGAACCCCAAAAGUACACUUGAAGGAGUUAAGCCGCAUAUCAAACUUUCUAACUUGUCCCAAGACCUCCUCCACAUAUAAAAUAGUUUCACACCAGAAUGAUAAAUCUUCUUAACAGUCACAAAACUAUCUCUGCAAGUAGUGAUAGCGACCUAACAACUACGUGUUUAUAAAAUUUUCAAGUUCAAUUCCAAUUUGUGGCCAAUUUGAAUUUACUUUACCAGCAUGUAUGAUUUUGAGGGAAAAAAAGAAAACAAAGAGAAUAAGAAAUUCUAACAUUCUCAUCAAUAACAUUACAAAAUGAAAAUUAAGCACAAUUUAAUUUAUAUAAGGCAUAUGGUAAAAUUAUACCAUUAGAGGAGACAGAUUUAGUAUAAAAAAAUAUACUUUGGAUAUAGAAGUUAUUGUCUUCUAUGUAUACUUAUUUUAAUUUUAAAAAAUAUAUAUUUAAAUCAUAAAAUAAAAAAAUUAAUGACAAUAAAAUAAAUUCACUUUAUAUAUAUAUAUAUAUAUAUAUAUAUAUAUAAUUAAAAUAAUAUAACAUUGAGAUAUUUUAAAUUUGAAUCUCUAUUAUUAUUUAUUUGUGAAAACAUUUAUUAUUGUUCAAAUUUUUAUGAUAAUUAAAAAUAAUGAAAUUAUUAUUAAUAUUAAUAUCAAAUUAAAUAUAAAUAAUAUCUAUAAAAAUAUCAAAUUAAAGAAUGUUUAAAUUUUAAAAAAAUAUCAAAUUGAAAAUUUUAAAUAAACGAUUAUUAAAAAUAUCUAGUUAAAGUAUAUUUUCACCGGACAAUAUGUUAGUUUAAACUUUAAAAACAUAAAUGAAAUAGGAAAUGAACAAUAAUAGUGAAAGAAAUUUGGUGAUUUAAAGAUUAUAAAAUUAAAACUAAUAGUAUAUCUAUAUAUAUAUAUAUAUAUAUAUAUAUAUAUAUAUAUAUAUAUAUAUAUAUAUAUAUAUAUAUAUAUAUAUAUAUAUAUAUUAUGCUAUAACUUUUUCAAAUAUUCGAUAUUAUUGGGUUAGAGAAAUAAAAAAAUGUUUGAAAUAUGAAAUCUUCCUUAACACCAUGGUUAAUAAGUCUCAAGAAUAGGAAGAACUACUAUAGUCAUUAUUUUAAUAUCAUUUUAUCGUAUCAUGUCUAUUAGAUUUAUACAAUUGAUUUUAUUACGUUUAAUACCUAUUUUGGUUCAUUAGUUUAUAGAAUAUGUUUAAAGUUGUCCUCUUUUUUUUCAAAAAUUCAACAUCGUCCUAUAUUUUGCAAAAAACCGUUCAAGUUAGCCCUUUUUGCUUAAAAAAGCUAACAACAGAAUAGCCUCAUUGACAAAAACUUGAUGACUUAUACAAAUUAUUGUUGACGUGACACUGUGAGGUAAUUUGAGACCAAUGAGAAGAUGCCACGUGGCAGAUCUCUUUCCACACAAAGUUAGGGUUUCACAAUUGUAGACUGGGCAAGGGCUUUCUCUGCAUCGUCAUGAGAACUAGAGGAUCUACCACGAAUUGUCGUGGAGGCACGAUUUAGGUAUUCACAACAGGGGCGCGAUUGUUGUGCAAAGGAGAACGCCAUGAUACUAUGAUUUGGUCCUCGCAGUAAAUGAGUUUAUGGUUCUAUUUUGGAUGCAGGUUUAUGGCGACACUUGCGAGGAGAAUGGGUUUCAUGCAUUUGCAGGUUGCACGAGAACGAUGAACUUGCGAAGAAGAUGCGAUAUAGGGUUUCUAUUUUUGGAUUUUUGUGUUUAAUUUCGCUCUCACUUUUUAACAGAGCAAGGAAAGAGGGUCUUGUGUUUUUCUCUAUAGUUAGUGUCUUGAUUCCCCAUUAUUCUCCUGUUUUCACUGUGCUGUAGGUUGUGGCAACUGUUCUCACAACCAUGCAGCUACUUGUCUAGAAAAUCUUUGCAGACUGGAUCUGCUUACCCUUGUUGUUAAAGUAAAUCUUAGAAACAAUACCCUCCAUUUAGGUGGGGGCAGUAGUUCUUUAUAGGAGCUUGGCAGUUGGUUGUUGUAAAAGGAUUUCUCCUCUAUAAUUUUGUUCUUUACAUAAACAAUACCCAUAAUUUUCUUCAUUUCAUUUAAUGAUUUAUGUGUUAUUACCUAUACCACUUCUUGAUUGCAUCAAACUUUUCCCAUUUAUUGGAUUUGUUGAGAGGGGAAGUCUAGAGGAAAGGGAUCAAAAUUUUAGGAAAGGGGUAGAUGAAGGUCACAUUAGAAAAUGGAUGCUAAGAUUGCCAUUCUGGAGAAUGAAAUGACAAAUCAAGACAACUUUAGCAACAAUGUUGUUGAUGGUGGAAGAAAAUCAGAAGAAAUUGGUGUCAAUGCUGGAAAAGAAGAAAAUAGAUGUUGUAAUUGUGAAACCCCCUCACAGUGCCACGUCAAUAAUAAUAAUAAUAUAAGUCAUCAAGUUUUUGCCAAGAAGACAAGUUUGUCUUUAGCUUUUUUAACAUAGUAAGCAAAAGAGAUUAACAUGAACCGUUUUCGCAAAAUAUAAGAUGUUAGUGAAUUUUUGAAAAAAAAAAAGAACUUUAAAUAUAUCUUACAAACCGAAAAAUCAAAAUAGGUAUUAAAUUAUUUUAUUAUUAAAUUAAAAUAUUAUUAUGUAUUGUUAAUCAAUCAAAUUUCUGGGUAACAGAUGUUUUUUUAGUUUUUUAUUUAUUUUUGUUAUGUAACUGAUUUUAGUAAAGUUUAUAAUUUUGUAAAAUUAUUUCAUUUUCAUUUCCUACAGUACUUUAAUUAUGAUUUUGAAAACAUCAUUUCAGGAAUAACAUUUAAUAACAAAUUUAUCCAAUUAAAGAAAAGAAAGAGGGUGAAAAUUGAAAAAAAAAAGUAUAAGAAAGAGAAAGAGAAAAAAGAAAGUAUAAGAAAGAGAAAGAGGUGAGUCUAAGUUAGGCAAAGGAAUAUAAGAAAGAAAAAAGAGAAGUGACAGUCUUUUUUUCCACGUCACCACGAGUACAAACACAACAUUUUCAGUGACCAAGUAAACAAAUGAGUUUUUUUUUUUUUGUAAUAUUACUUUUAUUUUCUUUUCAUUUCCAAUACUAUUAGUGAAAAAAUAUAAACAUUAUGAAUACAAUUCAAUAAAUUAUAAUAUUUCUUUUUUGAAAAUGAAUUCGCUCAACAUUUAAAAAUAUUACAGUGAAUUUUAAAAAAUGUAUAAUUUUUAUAUUCAUAUUACUUUUAAAUGACAAAAUAACUUGUAAAGAAUUUAUUUAUUUUACUAUUAUUAAUGCUUAUUAUGAAAUUAGUACUUAAAAUACACACAGACAAUAAAUAUUUUGUGCAUAAUGCCAAAUGGUUCCAGUCUACUUCUACCAAAAGCUCCAUUUCUACACCCUACAUUUUCCUUCUUCUCGGUCGCUUUCGAUGCUAAAUAUUCCAUUUCAAAUUCAGGAGAUAUGUCCAACUGAAAAUUUUCAACAAAAUUUGCAUUGGUAACCUGAUCCCACUAUUUCAAGAACUAAGAUUUAGAAGGCAACCAAAGAUAAGAAUAAAGUAACCUACCUGAUCGACCAAUCCACAUCUACCAAAAUUUUUGCAACGCAAAUGCCAUAAACAAAAAUAAAUCAAGAGUUUGUUAGUUAUUGUAACCCUGCCUUCCAAAUCUCUACCAUCUGCAUUAGUGCUAUUCUGAGAAGCCGACGACAGGACAGUCUUAUUUUGAGAACAAAAUACUAAAAUUAUUAAUUUAAAUUAAUUACUCCAACUCUUUCUUCCAUAUGGAUACUGCUAUGCAAUAAAUGUAUGAGAUUGAAGCCAUGAUUUAAUUGCCUUCGGAUUGCCGUAGGAUUUAUCAGAGUUUGAAAAUAAAUGUAUCCUCUAGGCUAUAAUAUAAUUCGGUCCCGACCUAAACAAACUGUACUCAGAUUCAAAAAUACAUGCCUUGCUACUUAUGACAUCUUUCCUUCCGAAAAAUCAACAUAUAUCUUCUAGCAAUGCACCAUAUUAUGCUAAAAGACUCCAAGAUAAAGCAAAAAACACGUAAUUAUAAUCUUUUGGUUUCCCACAAAAAUAUCCAUGAAACUAUAUGAUGAGUGUUUAGUUUUAUCACUUUUCAAACUACUGGUACCAAACAGUAACUUAGUUUUAACCCAAAGUUUAAGUAUUAAAUGAGUAUUGAACCUGAAAUUUUAUUAUGAGAAAGUUGCAAAAAUGCUAAUUUGGGCAACUUCUCUAAUUUUUCGGGUAUGUGACCUUCUAUUUGGUUAGAAUCAAGGAAGAGAUAUGUCAAAUUAUACAAUCGACCUAAAGUAGGAGGAAUUGAACCUUCGUGAGUGAGAAAAAGAUAUUCAUAUUCUCCUAUAUUGACAAGAAAAAGAUGAGUAAAUUACAUGAGAAAUAUAAUGUUACCUUCAAGUUUGUUUGAAUCCAGAUAAAGAGUUUCCAAGUUCACCAGUUGAGCAAAAGUAGAUGGGAUUGAACCCGUUAGUGAAUUAUUAGAGAGAUCAAAUACAACUACAGUUGUUUGAUGAAGGAAUCCUCAAGGAACCUCUAACAAUAUCACUAACACUUCCAGCUUCAUUGCAGGAGAUACCCUCCCAAUAACAAUGGUCUGAGAUAUUUGAGUCAUCAUUCUGUGGAGCAAAGUCUGUCUUUCCUGAUUAAAUGAUGAGAAAAUGGAAGAGGUAGACAUGAUGACACCAAUCACAGAUGAUAGCUCAACCAUCAUAUAGAAGGCCAUAACUCGUAAACUACAAACACAGUUAGCCAUACUUGAUUGGUUCAGAUUCAAAUGCCUCCGAUAACUAAUCAGUUAUUUUUGUUAUAAUGCAAUUGACAAUUAGGUUUCUUAGUUGGAUAUAGAAGAUCAUGAAGAAAUCAGGGAGGAUGUUAAAAUGAUAUCAGGGAACGCUCCAAUUAUUUUCUCCAAGGUUGAUGAAGACUUUGCACAAAGAGGACUUAACCUCAACAGUUAUUGCCACUGAUCUAUUUGACUUUUUGAUUACUUUGGUUUCCAACUCUGUAGGCCAUGCACUUGGUGCUACCACCGUUGUCAAGGAGGUUGAAACUAUAGAUUAGUCUUCAGCAACCUUAACUCAACAGCAAAUACAAUAUUUGAGUUUUAUAUAUGGCUAUAUAAUUAAUCUAAGAACUUUAUCAUUGUAAUUAUGUAAUUUCUACAUAUAUAACUAAGUAAGAACUUUAUCAGCUGGUUAUGUAUAAUCAUACUUGAAUGAAAGGAAGUUGUACCAUGGUCCUUCAUACACAAAAGAAGUGGUAUAUCUCUAGUUCUUUUAGACUUCAGCUUGAUCAUCUCCAUGUUAUGAUAUGAGAUAAUAGGUUGCAUAAUGUUCUUACAGCGAAGGUUUUAAGGAGGAAGAAACCAAAGUAUAUCGGAAAUAAAAAUAUACCAGGAAAUUUUCCAAAUAACUCUUGUCAGAACAACAUGGAGAAAUAAUUCAAAUUCUAUGAACAAAAAGAAAAAGAAGAGGCACACUCAUCUAGCAAAUAUCUUUUUCAGAUUUCCAAAUUCUACCGGUAUAUGACCAGAAAUUUUGUUGUUUUGAAAGUACAAAAUAGUCUAGUUCUCUUGUUGGCCCAAUGCAGAAGGGAUUGAAUUUGUGAGUAAAUUAUUUGAUAGAUGUAAUUCCAUUAAUUGUGUCAAAUUUCCAAGUUAUAUAUCUGCAAAUUGGUUUCAAUCAACAUAAAAUCUGCCCACAUUCUUCAAUAGACCUAAUGUAGAAUGGAUUGACAACCUAAACCGACUCAAGAGAGGUUACAACCUAAACCAACUCAUCUAAUACAAAAUUUACAAAUCAUUCAUGCACAUUCUAUGGCAAACACUUUGUUAUUCAAAUAAGGUGUUACCUUACAUCAUUUCAUCAAGUCUCUGGAGAUCAUUUCGUAAAAAAAUUUCUCUGCCUUUUCAGUCUCGUUGUUCUUAAACAGAUCAGAGAUGAUUAUUUCAAAAGUCCUAACAUCAGAUAAACAACCACUUUCUUCCAUUUUGGACCACAAGGUCAAUGCCUCAUUAAACAAACCCUCCUUACAAAGACCACUGAUCAUAAUAGUAUAAGUAUGGAUGGUGGGAUUGUGACCUUUAUUCAGUAGAUCUUGAAAAAUCUCUUGUGUAUUCUUAAGUCUCCCCUCUCUGCACAUCCCAUGGAUAAGUAUAUUUGCAGUGUACAUAUCAGGCUGAAGUCCAUUCUCUCUCAUUUUCCUCAAUAAUUCAAUUGCCUUGUCUAGAUGAUGAUCUUUGCAUAAAGCAUCCAUCAAGGAACUAUAAGUGAUUACAUCUGCUUGUUGAUUUCUACCAUGCAUCUCAUGAAAAAGAUCCCAAGCAUCAGAUAUUCUUCCAGUUUUGCAUAAACCAUCAAUAAGAGUAUUAUAAGUCACUGUAUUUGGAACCAUAUUAAUGUUGUGCAUUUCCUGAAAGAGAUUUAUGGCAUCAUCCAUCCUUCCUUUUCUUGUGAGUCCAUUUAUCAUAAUAGUGUACGUCCUAACAUCAGGACUCACUCCCAUGUGAGUCAUUGCAUUGAAUACUUGUUUCGCAUUCUUCACUUUAUUAACUAAAUAAUACCCAUCCAUUAGUGCACUAAAGCUAAUAACAUCAGGUUUCACAUAAGCUUUCACCAUCACACCUAACACAUUCUUGGCUUCUCUUAGCUUUCAUUCCUUACACAAUGCAUCAAUCAAUAUAUUAUAGGUAUAAACAUUUGGCCUGAUGCUAUUUGAUACCAUUUCAUUUAGGAAACCGAAUGCUACCUCUACCUGUCCUACUAAGCAAAAGCCAUAAAUUAGAGUAUUAUAAGUAAAAAGAUUAAGAGAAAUUCCCUUGAUAACCAUCUCAGAAUACAGACCAUAAGCUUCUUCCGGAUGAUUCUCUUUUAAUAAAGAGUCAAUAAUAAUGGUGUACAUUACGGUUGAUCGACCUUGAAUCUUUCUGAACAAUUCGAUGGCGGCUUUAGUUUCUCCUAUUUUGCUCAAUCCAUUAAUGAGAGUCUCGUAAGUAAAUUCGUUGAGCCGAAAUCCUAGUGCUAUUACUUUAUCGUGAAGGUUGAGGGCUUCCUUAACCUUACCCUUAUCACAGAAACCUCUCUUGAGUGUAGUUAAGGUUAUGGCAUCUGGAUGAUAACCCCGUUUGAGAAUCUUGGCAAAUACAGAGAAAGCUAAAGGCAAUUUGCCUAAGUGACAGAAACAAUUGAUGAGGAGGCUGAGAUUAGCAAGGUCACAGAGAAUUCCCUUAAACUCCAUUUGCUUAAUGAGAGAAAUGGCAGUAGGGUACCGCUUCAUCCUCACAAGAAAUCCCAAAAUCUUUCCAAAUUCCAAGAUGGGAGGAACAUGACGCUCACGAAGCAAGCGAUUGAAUUGUGAGACGGCUUCGUCGUGUAAGGAAGUUUGAGAGUGAGAGUGAGAGCAAAGGAGGGAAUUGUGGAUUGGAAGAAAAGGAGGAAACUUGGCAAUGGAAGGAAGAAGAGAAACCCUAAUACUUCUUGAGAGCCACAUCUUUGCUGCAGACAACAAUAGUAUUGAAUUCUUCAAAUUUAUGUUUUCUUCAUUCUUAGAAAGCAUGCUUUAAAUCUCAUGUUUUGAUAAGAUAAUUAAAUUUAAUUUCAUUUUAAUUUUUUCUUAAGUGAUAUCCUUUUUCUUGUACUUUGAAAAUUUAUUCCUGUGUUUCUGAAUUUUGUCUUAAUGUAAAAACUAUAUUUUUAACGGGUAAAAGCAAAUUUCUCACAUAUUAUAUCCAAACAAAAAUCUUUCUUAUAUACUUAUUUUCUCCAUUUAUCACUCAUUUUUCUUAACUUAAACUUAAACAUAACCGUACUUUUCUUUCGUAUCUCAUUGACUUUCUUCUUCUUCACCUCAUUUUCCUACAUCAAAUUUUCGUCCUGUGCUUCUUCCUUUACUCUUUUCCGCAGUAAAUCAUUAUUGUUCAAUUACAUUUAUUUGUAAACAUUUAAUAUAGUUUAAAUGAAGGUAAAAAUAAGGUAAAACUCUUAAUCGAAUUUUAGAAUACGAUAUUUAUUAAUUAGAUUUUUAAUAUUUAAAAUUAAAAUAAGUUAAAAAAUUUAAAUAAAAAAUUACAUGAAACUUUGUAAAAGUAUAAAUUAUAAUUUUUUAUUAUUACGUAAACUUGUUACACAAUACCAUACAAAAAAUUAUUAUUAAUUUGAAAGUAGAUCUAAUGAUUAAAUCUGAACGAAUAUCAUAAAUUAAAUUAAUUAUUUAAAGAAUACAUUUUGUUUUUGCUGAUGAAUUCCGUUAUAAUAAAUAAAAAGAGUAAAAAUUGAUAAAUUAUUACUACAACAAUUAAUUAUGGAAAAUCAAAUCAUUAAUACUGUUGUACUGUGAUAACUAAUUAUGAAAAAUUAUAUCAUUAAUUAUAACAUCAUUAAUAUUAUUAUAUAAGUUUUAAUAUCAUUAAUAAAAUUAAUAACAAAUCAUUUAUGAAUUUUAACACGUAAAUAUAUUAUUUUAGUGUUUAUCGGAUUUUGAAAUUUUGUAAAAGUGUUCACAUGAUUUCAAAACAGGAGAGAAAUAUAUACUAGAUUUUGAAAUCUUAAAGAAAUAAGAAACAAGUUUUGAAAUUCAAGAGAAAUAAAUACCGAAUUUCAAAAUGAGUUUUUAAAUUGAUUUCGAAAUAUGGUAUAUAUUCAUUAAUGUUUCAAUUUUAUUCAAAAACUUAACCAUUGUGCCUCAUUUUCGAAAGGAAUAUAUUAGGUAUUAUUAAAUAAAUAUAGUGUAUUUAGUUUUGAUUAUUUUGUUAUUAAAUAUAAAUCAUUUAUGAAUUAUAACGCAUAAAUAUAUUAUAACAGUGUUAAAAAGAUUUCGAAAUCCAAUGAGCGUGUUCACCAAAUUUUAAAAUGUGAGAGAAAUAAAUAUUGAGUUUCCAAAUUCUUGAGAAAUAAAUACUGAAUUUUGAAAUUUAACGAGUUCUUAAAUUAAAUUUUAAAAUUUGAUAAUUUUUAAAAUUUAAUAUCUCUUUUAGUCGUUAAUUUAGAAAAAAAAAUGUUCAAGUUCGUCAUAUUUUUUUUUUAAAAGUUUAAUUUGGUCUCAGUUUUUAAAAAAAAUAUAUAAUUAAAUCCUUUUUUAAUUAUGGCGUUAAAUAUUUAACGAUUGAGCUAAUUUUAAUUUGAAUUUCAAAAUGUGAUGAUUUUGCAAAUAAAAUUUUGAAACUCGAUCAUUUCCUAAGUUGAAUUUCAAAAUCAUAUGAUUUUCUAAAUUAAAUUUCAAAAUCCGGUGAGUUUCAAAACUCAGUCCAUACAAAGAGAGACUAGUGAUGUGUUUGUUUUGAAUCAAUUAUUGCGAUCGUUGAUCACCUAAGAUGGAUUUAUGAUGAAUUGCACGUUCACUUAAAACGAUAUGCAAGAAAGGAUUUUUCUAAUCCUCCCUCGUCUGUGCAGAUUUGCAACUAUGUAUCAUUUAUUCUGAAUUUUACCCUUAUACAUUUGCAUAUGUAUCACACAUGAUAUAUUAAAAAAAAUAUAAAUAAUAAUAAUAAUAAUAUUCAUAAUAAUAAAAAUAAUAAUAAAAUAAAAUAAAUAAUAAUAAUAAUAAGAAAAAUAAUAAUGAUAAUAAUAUUAUUAUUAUUAUUUUUUAUUUGUUUGUUUAAAGUUACAUAUAUUUUUAAUUGGUCAAAUAAUUUUUUAAUUAAAUUGAAUUGUUAUUUGUUUUAAGAAAUUUAAACUUUUUUAUCUCUGAAUUUAAAAAAUUAUUUUUACAAAAAUUUCUAAUUAUAUAAAAUAAUUAAAAAUAAAAAUAAAAAGUAGGGUUAUUUUUUUUUCAAAUCAUUUUAAAAAAUUUCAUUUUAACUUUGAAUCAAAUUGUAUAUCUAUUUUGUCCUUUUAAUUUAUAAAAGUAAGCUAAAAUAUCAGCUUCAGUGACACAUAAAUAUUAUAUUAUAACUCGUUAUAAGAUAAACACUUUAUAUUUAUUGAAAAAAAAAUGUUUUAAAUAAUUUUGGCAUAGUAUAGAAAAGAAAUAGAUAUAUAUUUAGUUUAAAAAUAAAAUAUAAUGUUUACAAAUAAUUUGAGAAAAAAAUAUUUAACUAUUAAAAUAUACUAAAAUAUAUUAAAAUAUAAGAGACAAUAAUGAAAGAAAAGUAUAUAAGUUAUUAGAAAGUAAAAAUCAAUUAAAUAAUUUGUACCUUGAAAAGUCUAAGAUGAACUAUUUUAAAUUGUGUAAUUAGAAUUGUAAAAAUCGCAUGAUUUAAUUAAAUCAUGAUUUUGUUACAAAAGACUUUCUCCAUCAUACAUAUGGUUUAGUGAAUUGUUUUGUAAUUCAAAUUGUUUAUCGUCGCGUAUAAUUCAUCAAGAGGAAAUACAAAAUAACAAAUUACAAAGAAAUACAAUGAAAAAAUCCAAUAAAAAAAGUUCAAACAAAAAAAGUAGACAACAAAAGAGAAGAUAAACAAUAAUAAUAAAUUAUAAUAUAUCACUAAGUUCAACACUUUAAAUAAUGAAUAUUAUUAAAUUAAAAAUAAAUAAUUAAUAUUAUUAAAUUAUAAAAAGCUUCACAACAUAUGUACUCAAAAUUUAUCUUAUAAAUUGUUUUUGUGUUGCUAAAACUUGCUUAUAAAAUACCUAAUAAGUAACUUAUGUCUUUGUUCUUUUUUCUUUAAACAAGUGAGGCUAAAUACAAAGUUGAAUAAUUUACUUUCUCUCCUCUAAUCAAAGCUUAAACCUUAUUACUUUUGAACUUUUAAAAAGCACUCUUUGAGUGUAACAAUCCAAAGUUCAUUCAUUUAGGGAUUUAAUUUAUUGGUGGAACUAUAUUUAUCUGUUUGAAGACAAAACCUAAAAAUAGAUAGAAAAAAUUAUUGCAAUAUUAAUUUCAUGAUAGAAUCUCAUGUUGGCAACAAUGCUUCCAUCACUCACUCAUUUAAUACUUGUGCGUCCUUCCAAUAAUUCUUUUCAUGAGUCUCAAUUAAUUAGUUAACUAAUCAUAUUGUUCUCUGACAUGUAAACUUUAAUUUUUUUCUCUCUAAUUUAAAAAUACUGUAUUUUUGGUCCUUUUAGCAUUAUUUAAUAUUUUUCUAUCUUUCAAUUUAAAGAAUUAGAUGUACUACAUUUCAAUAUUUGAGGACUAUUAAAUGAAAUUUGUAUAUUUAGGAGGAAGUGAAAAGUUAUUUUAGACUUAAUUAAUUUUUCAGGAUUACAUACCUUAAUUAAUUUAGUUUUUAACAUUUAAUGUAUUAGCAUUUGUAAAAGAAACACUUAAAAUAAUUAAUGUUACUAAAAUUUGUAUUAAAAAAGAUAAAUGAUUUUAUUAAAAAAUUAAAAGAUUAGAUACAUUUUAAACUAAUUUUACAAACCUAGUCAAAUACGGCAUCUAUAGAGAUUAGAGUACUACAUAAUUAUGAAAUUAAUAACAAAGUUUUGUGACAUUAUUUUUCCAUCCUAAUUCUUUAGUCUUUAUUUUUAACAUUUUACUUUUUACAUUUUGAACAUUGAAUUAUGUUUUUGGAAGCGUUUUGAUCAUUUUCGGAAUCCACAGGAUAACUUUUUUUCUAAACAAUUAAUUCAGAGUGUUCUGAGUCCUUUUAGAAAAGUAAAUUAAGAAAAAUAAAUAAAUUUGACUUCUGAGUCCUUUUAAAACUUUCAACACCUCCGUAAUUUUCGUCUUACAAAUAUGAAUUGAUGCUUUGGGUUACCAAAUCCAGAAUGUAACUUGCACAUAUUUUGAAAAAUGAGUUAUGAAAUAAUAUAAAGUUACUAUAAAUUAAAAAAAUCAUUAAUUGUUUAGAACAUUAAUGGUGAUUUUAAAAUGUUACAGUGUUUAUUUCAUUAAAAUUUUGCUCCUACGACAAUUUCUUGAGACACUUCAUAAGUACAUUUGUUUGUUCAGGCUUACCAACAGUUACUCGAACGUACCCUUUCAGCUCUUUCUUGUCGUAGUGACGAAUCAUCACACCCAUUUGUGCGAGGUCCUCCUAUGUACAUAAAAAUAAUGUCUCAGUUGGCAACAAAUUUGCAAUUGGUGUUUGGAAAAAGUUGAAACAAAAGGCUUUUACAUUCUUCAAUAUGGGUUGAAAUUCUUGUUAAAUAACUAGAGUCUCAACUUAGUCUCUUUAUGUUUAGACAAGAUUCUCUAUCAACACUACAAGAAAAGAAUAACAAGAAACUGUUAACAUUAUUUGAAGCUAAAUUUUGUUUUUAACUUGUGCAUGAGUUAACUUUAGUUUAUUCAGACUUUUUGUUUUUUUCUUCUAACUUUCUUCCUAAAAUUGGUUAUGCAAACAUGGGUCCAAACAGGUCCUAGAUGUUUGUUUAAGAUUAAAAUGCAGAGAAGUUUAUUCAUGUUUGUUUACAAUCACAAAAACAUUCUUAAAAGAAAUAGUUGAUUUUACGAGAAGUUGUUUCAACUAGCUUUUGAUCUCAUAAACAAAUUUCUGAUUCGUCUGCUAAAAUGUAGAUUUUUCAGGGUAAUUAAAUUCUUGGUGACAUCUGCUUCACUGCAUGGAGCGUAUUUCUAAAAUUGUCUUUUGGAGGCCACUUCUCAUGAUAGAAUGAAUAAACACAAUAAAAAGCAUGCCAAUUACACAGGAAGAAGGCUUAUUUCAUCAUCAGAAAACCACAGGUAGCAAAAAUCAUUAGUAAAAUAACUAUUCGGUUUAAUCAUUGGAUUUUCUCAAUUAGGUCUCAGUAUUUUAAAACGUCUCAAUUAAGUCUCUGUUUUUGCAAAAUUGAAUCAAUUAAGAGCUUGACGUUAACUUGGGUGGAUGGCAUUAAAAUUGAGUGUGUGUGGCAUUGAGGCUUGGCUGAGGUGAAAGUUUAUGCUGAGUUGAGUUGGUUUUCUCACAUUUUUUUAAUUCAAUUUUUUUUGGAAAUAAUUGAUGCACACAAAACGCAACCUUUAAAUAACUCAUUUCUGCCUAAAUCAAAACGUGCGUUUUGAGUGUGAAACAUUACAGAAUAAAGAAAAAUUGCGAAAUUGGAGAUUUUGGAGGAAAUUGAGAACUCAGAAGAACCCUAAAUUGGAAGAGGAGAAGGAAACCCUAAGCAUCACGGAACUGGUUGCGACAGUAGAUUCAGUGAUGUCCUUCGACGCAGAUGUUUGAGACAAGGUUUAAUCAUAGUCGUCAUUAUUAUCUACUUUGUUGCAUAACUACGCUUUUUGAAUUGCCGUUGACAAAUUGGCUUUCUGUAGUGCGAUUCAAGGAAAGGAGGAGAAAAAUAGGUUCUCCUUCUUCAAGUCAACAGCGGCAUUUAUAGUUAUAAACAACUGAGUGUUAGACUGUGUGGUGAAUCACGCAGAUUAUCUGCCUCUUUCAUGAUUUGUAAUUAGAACGGUGUUUUAUCUAAUAGUUCACGAUGACAUGAAUAAUAUUUGAUGUUAACUGCAAGGAAUUGUAUUAAAUUUGUUUUCUGAUUUGAAACUAAACCCGCAGGUUUAAUUAAGGAGGAUGAAGCAGAACAGCUUAGGGCCUCUGUUGAUUUUCUCGUGGACCUGUGCAGCUCGCUUCCACAUUUCCCCCAAUUUCCCCAAUUUCCACUUUCUUCUGAAAUGUUCUACAAUCUUUGCAGAAUUCACUUAAUAAAACGUUUAGUGUGCAUGUUUAAAUAUUUGCAAUGAAAUUUAAUUAAAAAAUGUAUUAAAGCCAACUCAUCUCAGAACACACUGCCACCUCAGUCAACCUUUGCAUGUCACGCACACCUAAUUUUAACGUCGUCCAUCAAAGUUCACGACAAAUCCUUAAUUGAUUCAAUUUUGCAAAAGCAGAGACUAAAUUGAUACAUUUUAAAAUACUGAGACCUAAUUGAGAAAACCCAACAUAAAUAGGGACAAUCUAAAUGAUUAAACCUAACUAUUCUUCUCAACAUAAUGUCCUACUAUUCUUAAAGUGGCUAUUAUCCUAAGGAGAUCAGAAUGGUCAUUUUGGGAGACAGAAGAGAUGUCUUUCAAAUCAAAAUACCAAACUGACAUGAAGUAUCAAAAUAUGCACCAAACAAAAAUUGUACCAAACAUUUACAAGAAAAAAAACAAAUAAACAAAGGAAAAGUUUAUAUGUACAGAGAUCAGGAAAGGAAGAUUACCUUUAGCUUUUUUGCGUCCUUUCCAGAUGUAACCUCACAAAGAAUGAAAUUAGAAUGGCUUGGAAAUGGCCGAAGGAAUGGNNNNNNNNNNNNNNNNNNNNNNNNNNNNNNNNNNNNNNNNNNNNNNNNNNNNNNNNNNNNNNNNNNNNNNNNNNNNNNNNNNNNNNNNNNNNNNNNNNNNNNNNNNNNNNNNNNNNNNNNNNNNNNNNNNNNNNNNNNNNNNNNNNNNNNNNNNNNNNNNNNNNNNNNNNNNNNNNNNNNNNNNNNNNNNNNNNNNNNNNNNNNNNNNNNNNNNNNNNNNNNNNNNNNNNNNNNNNNNNNNNNNNNNNNNNNNNNNNNNNNNNNNNNNNNNNNNNNNNNNNNNNNNNNNNNNNNNNNNNNNNNNNNNNNNNNNNNNNNNNNNNNNNNNNNNNNNNNNNNNNNNNNNNNNNNNNNNNNNNNNNNNNNNNNNNNNNNNNNNNNNNNNNNNNNNNNNNNNNNNNNNNNNNNNNNNNNNNNNNNNNNNNNNNNNNNNNNNNNNNNNNNNNNNNNNNNNNNNNNNNNNNNNNNNNNNNNNNNNNNNNNNNNNNNNNNNNNNNNNNNNNNNNNNNNNNNNNNNNNNNNNNNNNNNNNNNNNNNNNNNNNNNNNNNNNNNNNNNNNNNNNNNNNNNNNNNNNNNNNNNNNNNNNNNNNNNNNNNNNNAAAGGUUUACAUUAGUACCAGGACCCCAAGUUAAAAAGUAAUUAACCAUCAGUAACAAGAUUUUGCACAUAUUAAUUCAACAAACAUAUGAAAACUCAAUAUCUAAUCCAUAAACUGAAAAUUUAGAAAGAAAAUUUGAUUUCUAGAGUGGUGCUGUUGGUUAUUCAGCUUUGCUCCUAAGAAUUGAGGUCUACAAAACAUUUACUAACUGAAAGUCAUCCAGGUCCUUUAUAAACAUUCUGCUUCCCGUUCCAAUCCUAUAUCCUACUACAUAGACUAAAUACAACUACUUUGGCCCUUCUUCACUCCAACCAGUGUCAUAAAGAGCUUCUAUCCAAUCUUCUUUGAUUUCAAGAUCUUCAACAAACAUGUUUUAAGAUAAUUUCCAUCUAUGAUUCAAUCCAAUGUGUUCCAAGAGUUUUUGAACACUGUUACCAAUCGCCGACUACCAUCUCAUCAAUCUGACAAAGUUCAAACAUUUAUUUUGCCAUCUGUGACCUUUUUCAACAUCUCUUGCCACUGUUCGCUAGUCACUAUUUUUGGCUACAUUUCCAACCAUCCCGUCAGGUCUAGGCUGGUCCUAUCAGGCCAGCCCAAGCAGAGUUCACACAUAAACAAUACCCAGCAGCAGUAUUUGCCAAGUGCAGCAGUAUACCAUGGCUAUGCUUCAGCUGAUCUCCCCAUUGCCAGAUUUGUGCAGCCCUCCUGUCCCAAAUCUACACAUGGUUUGUCAAUUUCUGGCUUGUGACCCAUUUCUCAUGUUUUUUUGCCACAGUUUGGUACCUUUUAUUCUCUCUCCUUGUUGACCUUGCCCUCUUUGGUUCAAAUCGUGCAGUAUGGGAUUUCGGAGAAUCAACCCUAGCCCUAUGACUUUCCCAGAAAAAUCAGCCUGGCCUAAACAUGGCUAUCCUAGAGAAUCAUCCUGGCCAUGCAGCUUCCCAAGCAAAUCAUCUUGAUCCCACCAUUCUACAAUCACAACAUUAUAGUUCAAUUUUUUUUCAACCGGUAUGCAUAUAGGAAGCUCAAAGCUCAGAAAGCUGCAGCGAGCAGGGUAUUAGAAUAUAUGAAAAUAUCUUAUAACUUAAAAUUUCCUAAAUUAUCCAUUGGGAUUAGUUUGCCUAUAUCACAUAAUCUCCUAGGAUUGUUGGUUAUUAUAUUUGUUUAUCUCAUGAUUUGUUUCUCUUAGAAAGUGGACUUAGGAUUGACUCAAUUGUACAACUUGGUUUAUAAGAUGAGAUUUGUACUUAUUUAUAUAAUUUAGUUAUCCUGAGUUGAUGUGGAAUCUCCUACACAGCUCCUCAUGCCAAGGAUUGGACAUCUCAAGCGUGGAACUAAACAUUUGGAAGUGACCUAUAAUGGCUCAAUAGCAAGUGACACAAUAGACCCAUAACUUCACAAGACUGGUUUGCAUCUACUUAUAACAUAAUUUGACUAUAUCUCCCGUCAAUGUAGGAUCUCACUCAAACACUUUCCCUAAUUAAUGUUAGGAUUAUGCACAAAUCAACACAAUAUAAUAUACCUCAGCUAAUACCAAUUGUGUUUCAUUAUGUCUCUUUCCCCCUCUACACCUAAAAACUCCUAAUUUCAAUAAUCAUCAAACACCCCCUUAUUUGUUGGCGCUUUCUUUGUGAAAAUAUUGGUGCCAAGUCAAUUUACUACUAUACACUACUAAAAACAAACAUUCAACUUAAAAUUCAGUGGUUGAAUAUAGGCUACUGGUGGUAUAGCACUAUAGCAGUCUGGACCCAUGUUGAUCCAUUACCACACAACGGCUUCACAUUGCAAAUUCCAUGAAAAUUGCAAUCAGUCACAAUGGGUGUCAUAUUUAACGGAAAUUGCUAUUAUGAUUCAUUUACCCUGUCCCCCACCCUUUCUUCUAUAGUAACUUUAGCAGUUAAAACUUUCACAUACGCAUAUUAUUGGUUAUGUCAAUUUUAACCAAAAAUCAUUAGGCUCUAACCCUUAUCAUAAUUCUCCAUAACAAAAAGAAACCGCAGACAUUAUAUUGCUUACAAUAAAAUAAAGAACAAUAUAAUAAUCUCAAAUUUUUAACUAAAAAAAUGCAUGACUUAGCAUGCACACAAGAAGCCUGAAACAAUUUUACAAUAAGGGAACUGGUUUUACAAUAAAAAAUUUAUAAGGGGGAAACACGAUAUAUCAAUUCAUAUUCAAGUUUAAUUGUGUAAAAUAGGGAAAGAAAAAAAUUAAUAAAAUACCAGCUCUUUUGCUAAAUGUCCGAAGAACAAUCAAAUUCUCAUGUUUCUUCACCCAACUCAUCCUCGAUUCAAUUGCCGAAAACUCAAUGUAUGCUUCAUCCAAUAUCACCAAUAUGGGAAGGUCAAGUAUUUUUAAGAGAACAUCGUCAUCAAUUAUACUGCCAUGAAAUUGUUACAUUAAGAUCCAUAUAAACAAUACCAUAAGCAAAGGAAACUCAAAUUUCAAGCAUAUUAAUGAUAACAAUCAUCUCCAGCCUUACUAUAUCCUGAUUCCGUAUUGUUGAUGAAAAAGAAAUACACUGCCUUCAUUGUGGUACAACUUCUAAUAGGACAUUAUAAUAUUGCACACUACUUUGUUUUUGGUCAGCCAAAACAUAAGUACAUUAUAUCCAGACGUACAAGGGGCACUCACAAAAGACACUACAAGUGCCUAUUACACUAUAAUAAUAGGGAAGCACGGACUGGACAAAAGCAAAACUGAAAAUAAAAGUGCACUAGGAACUCCAGUAAAUUCGAAGAAAAAAUUAACUGAAAAGGAAAGCACUACCACCAUACUACUCUAGGCACCUAAUUCUAACUAUUCACUUUGACGUAAAAAAGGAUAUUUGACAGUUACCUCCCAUCUGGAUUAUUUGGAGAUGUCAAAAAUAUGCAUUUGGGCUUCUCUUGUUUAACAACUUCUGCGAUCUGUUCAACAUUCAAGCUGAAGUCUGGCUUCCUUGGAACUGCAGUUUAAAUAAUGCAGAUGGUUAUGCACAUCUGACAUGACAUAAUAAGAAAAGGUCAAAACACAGUAAGAAAAUCAUAUACUGCUGGGAAGACAAGGAGUAAUAAAAAAAAUAAAAGGGAUGAAUCAACAAUAAAACCAAAGAUCAUUUCAGUAUAAAAAGUCUAACAAAACAAUAAUGCAACUAUGAUCAUGACAUAUUACCCACAAUACAGUAAUAACUAUGAUCAUGAUACAAACAAUUUUGUCUGACGAGACUGAAUAGCAAAAUAUCUAUGAUUGAUUUCAUGAGAAACCCCUUUACUGUCUAAGGUUCAAUCAGUUUUACAGAUAUCAGUUUCUCAUUUGACAUGUGUAAUGCAUUAAAAAAAAAUACAUUUUGUAGCUGUCUCUAGAUAAUGUUAUUCUUACCUUUGAUAACAAGUGCUCCAUUUACUGCAGCGUCAAAUUCAUACAUUGUGAAGGUUGGAGGACAGUCCACAAUCUUGUCCCCAGGAUCAAGCACACAACUGUAGUAUACAAGAGAACCAUGUAUGAUNNNNNNNNNNNNNNNNNNNNNNNNNNNNNNNNNNNNNNNNNNNNNNNNNNNNNNNNNNNNNNNNNNNNNNNNNNNNNNNNNNNNNNNNNNNNNNNNNNNNNNNNNNNNNNNNNNNNNNNNNNNNNNNNNNNNNNNNNNNNNNNNNNNNNNNNNNNNNNNNNNNNNNNNNNNNNNNNNNNNNNNNNNNNNNNNNNNNNNNNNNNNNNNNNNNNNNNNNNNNNNNNNNNNNNNNNNNNNNNNNNNNNNNNNNNNNNNNNNNNNNNNNNNNNNNNNNNNNNNNNNNNNNNNNNNNNNNNNNNNNNNNNNNNNNNNNNNNNNNNNNNNNNNNNNNNNNNNNNNNNNNNNNNNNNNNNNNNNNNNNNNNNNNNNNNNNNNNNNNNNNNNNNNNNNNNNNNNNNNNNNNNNNNNNNNNNNNNNNNNNNNNNNNNNNNNNNNNNNNNNNNNNNNNNNNNNNNNNNNNNNNNNNNNNNNNNNNNNNNNNNNNNNNNNNNNNNNNNNNNNNNNNNNNNNNNNNNNNNNNNNNNNNNNNNNNNNNNNNNNNNNNNNNNNNNNNNNNNNNNNNNNNNNNNNNNNNNNNNNNNNNNNNNNNNNNNNNNNNNNNNNNNNNNNNNNNNNNNNNNNNNNNNNNNNNNNNNNNNNNNNNNNNNNNNNNNNNNNNNNNNNNNNNNNNNNNNNNNNNNNNNNNNNNNNNNNNNNNNNNNNNNNNNNNNNNNNNNNNNNNNNNNNNNNNNNNNNNNNNNNNNNNNNNNNNNNNNNNNNNNNNNNNNNNNNNNNNNNNNNNNNNNNNNNNNNNNNNNNNNNNNNNNNNNNNNNNNNNNNNNNNNNNNNNNNNNNNNNNNNNNNNNNNNNNNNNNNNNNNNNNNNNNNNNNNNNNNNNNNNNNNNNNNNNNNNNNNNNNNNNNNNNNNNNNNNNNNNNNNNNNNNNNNNNNNNNNNNNNNNNNNNNNNNNNNNNNNNNNNNNNNNNNNNNNNNNNNNNNNNNNNNNNNNNNNNNNNNNNNNNNNNNNNNNNNNNNNNNNNNNNNNNNNNNNNNNNNNNNNNNNNNNNNNNNNNNNNNNNNNNNNNNNNNNNNNNNNNNNNNNNNNNNNNNNNNNNNNNNNNGAUGAAGGAGUCACCUGUCACCUGCAGAGGACCAUUGUUGACUUGCUCCACAGGAAUGGUAGAAGCCAUUGCCACAAACUUCCUCUGAUUCCCCUCAAAUGAACAAAUGGGUUUUAGAGGUAACCCCCCUUGCUGCUUCAGAUUGAUGUUGGAUUUUACCCAGCACAAAGCAGCUGAGUUGUAGAAAUCAAUCACACCCAUUGAAAUCUACACACAAAAAAGUAAAUAGAUAUAAUCAAUAAAUGAAAAGGAUACAAAGUGAACCAAUUAGAGUAGCAUGAGAAAGAAGGAAGAAAAGGAGAGCAUGACAUGAUUGUACCAGAAACAAAAAGAAGAAAAAAAACAGAGAUACGAGGUUAGGGACAUACCCUGCACAACAGGCAAAUGGGGAACUUGGCAGAGGUUGCUGUAGACGCCAACAAUUUAAAAUGGAAACUGAAAUUUACUCUGAAGAAGGCAAAUAAAUCAUGAAGGCGUGAAGGUAAUAAACCCUACAGAUCCACAUAAUGCAGAAAGAAAGACAAAAAAAAUAACAAAUAACCUAUUGUUUACUAACGAGGGGUGUGUAACAAUUUUUAUCCCCAUUAUAACACAAUAAAAUAUUUAUCAUUAAACAUUAUAUUUUAACAACAUACUCGUCAUUCGUAAUUAAUUAUUUGGUUUAGUUAAAUUUUAAGUUAUGAUAAAUUUGACUGUACUUAAUUAAGUCUUUAAUAGAUUUUUGUGAUUUAUUAAAUAUUUAAGAAAUUAUAUUUUUUAAUUGAGUCUUUGUAAUUUAAUUUAUCUAUUGCAAGCUUUCCAUAAGCAAUUGGCAUUACUCAACCACGACUGAAAUACACAUUGUUCCGUGUAGGACCUGUAACAUCCUGAUUUGGAUGUCACAUGCAGCAAAAUUAAAAUUUGAAAAGAUCAAGAAUAAAUUUAAAAAAAUUAUUACAAGAAAACUUAUUACAAUUUAAAUAAAAUGUAUCAAGUAAUAAAGAAAUUGUAGAGAUAAAGUUUAAGAAUUUCAAAGGAACUUAAUUUAUUGUAACUUCAAACAUAAUUGUCCAUAAUUUAAAUAAGUAAAAAUAUCGAUUACAACUUAUACAUUCCAAUAAUAUCUAAAACAUCAUAAUAAAAUUCCCAUAGUAGAUCCCCUCUCUCAUCAAUUAGCAACUCCAAAAAUAAUUUGCAUUCCUAUCUAAACUCCCGUAUAACAUACAUUAUUCGAUCAUUUCACACGUACAUACACACAGGCAAGCAAACAAACAAGUAUGGAUGAGCUAAGAAAUUCAUCUUCAAGGAAAGUAGGCAUAUGGAAAUAGCAAAGACUUACCCUCUAACAUCACGUUACCCCAAUUACAUUCUCAUAGACGUACAUCAUUAUACUAACUUAACAUUACCAGCUAUCAUUGAUUCAUCAAUAUUCAUAUCACCGCCAAUCAUGUAAAUAAUUCAACAAAAUUUAUCAUAUCUAUAAUAGUCAUACAUUUUCAAACAUAAUCAAUUAAGUCUAGCACCCAUUUUUAUGAGUAUCAGGAUUCUGUGAUGAUAUUCAUUAUUGGAAUACAUGCAUCCAUCUAAGUCCUGGUUUGAGAUACCAUUUAGAAUACUUUGUCAUUUAUUUAAGUUAUUUGACAGAACAUGUCACCAGACCGUAACCACAGUCUAUUUAUAUAAAAUUAUUAUUGCAAUUAGCAUUUUAGAGUUAGCUAAUAUUUGUUAGGCAUCAAAUUUGACAUUUUAAUGGGUGAAUAUUAGUAUGAUUGAAUUGCAUUCAUGUUAAUUCAUUACUCGAGCAUCUGAACUCACCCAAUAGCAACUAAACACCUAUUUAAGCUCUCACAACUUCAAAGAUAGGGUAAGAAGUAAACAUACAGUCAAAUUCAACACAUCUAGGUCCAUUACAGAUUUAACAAUCAAAUGAACUCGUCCCUUUUUCCUUUAAUACCUCAUUUUCAGAAUCCCAAGCAGAACCAGUCACAAACCAUCAACCAAUUAUCUGAACUCCUUAAUAACAUAUACAGAACUUAUUCCUUACCUAAUGAACAUUUAAUAAGUUACAUAGAGAGUAAAAUAGAGUAGGCAUAAUAUAGUUACUGCUCCAUCAGGUUGGCAGACAUGUACAGUUUAAUCCAAUUUUAAUUCUAAGUAUCACAACCCAUGCAUUCAUUUCUAGUUACCACUCAUGACAAUAAUGUAACAAAUUCUCUAAACAUUUCCAACCAUCCUAACACUUCAUAUAAUGUAACAUGUAUUCCAAUAAUCAUAUGAUUCAAGUCUGCAGACUAAGUAUGAAUUCAAAGAUACUACCUAAGUCAGAUUUCUUCAGCACACAAUAUAUAUCAGACAAUUAACAACUAUUUUGACUACAACAUCAUUUCUAUGAUUAUACUUUGUGUUCCCCAACCAAAAUUCCCUUCCUCUUCCCCUCCAUAUCACACCCAUCCUCACAGAUAUGCUCAGUUAUUUAAUUUAGUUAUUACAUACUCAAUUAAGUAAUGGUUAUUCUAACCCAUCUUACAUAUUCAAAUAAUUUGAUCCUCCAACUUGAAUCAAAUUCAGAAUUUCAUUUUCCAAUGUUCACUUUGAAGGUUUUCAUACCAGCCAACUACAACAUAUUUAAAUGACCAUGUAGACCCUGGAUAUUAUCAUUAGACGGCAAACCAAUUUAAAUUAUACCUAACAGUGGAAAUUCAGUAAUUUAAUUUACCAAUUCAAUAUUCAUCUUAUUUAUCAUGUGGUUUCACCUUCCAAUAAAUAGAGAUUUCAUACCCUUCAGGAACAUGUUAUUGAAUCCAGCUGCCAGUGUGUGUAACUAACUUAAUCAGUUCAAGGAACCACAGCACAUUCAGAUUUUACUAAAUUAAUUUAAGGUAUGACAGUACAGUUUAAAGCAACAAUGAGCCAUUUUAACUUCUCUAAAACAAUGCAAACAACAAGGAUUCGAUAUAGCUAGUUCAACCAAACAGUAUUGAAGUUGAUGCAGAUUUCCAAUUUCUAUUGCAGAAAAAAAAAUUGCGUAAUAUAACUUGCAUUAGAAGCCUCACAAGCCGGAUCGCAUUCAUUAUGCAAAUGAUACACCUCGGUCAUUGCUGAUCUUUAACAACUUUUUACAUAAUAGUAUUUAUCAACUCCACACCUACCCAAGGUUCAUUCAAGGAGAAAACCCAGAAAAUAACCGAAGAAGAAUAACCAGUUUUGCAAUUUUACUAACCUUAUAUACGUCCUGUCCAAUUUUACUUUAAUUUAUCCCAUUUCUAUUUAAUGCAACUUUAACCCCAAUGCAUAAUUUCGUUUUAUCAGAAUAACUUUGCACCAGGUACUUUAUCCUGCGUCAGCUUCCAAUGAGUGCUACUAACUUAUCCAUUUAAAACAACUAAUAAUUUUCCUAUUGAACCCUAAUAAAACAUGACUUGACCCAUGCUAUACCAAUGCGAACUUGAACCUAUAAUUCUCACAUACCCCAAGACUUAUUACCUAUUACGCUUAUCUAACAUUAUUAUACCAAUAACGAAUUCACCAACUGGACCACUAUUAUAUUAUGCUUAUUUAAAGUUAUUUCACUUAUGAAUUCCAAUUAUAAAAUCUUAUUCAUCUAUUUAUGAUACAACCACAACACAAUAUUUAAAGUGAAUAGAUUCUAUGAUGACAAUAUCACUGCAUUAGCAAGCUUUUUACACCGUCCACCCAAAAUAAUAAGACCUAAUAAUUUAAUGGAACCCAAUUGUACCACUAGUUAAAGUUAUUAAGGGAAAAACUCAAAGUUUCAUGGUAGAAUAAUUUCAUACAUAUCAUCUAAUCCAACUUUAGACUCUUAUAUAAUUAUUUCUCAUUCAUACUUUACAUCUUGUUACUUCCCAUUUUACUAUAAAUAUAGUACUCAAUCCCAUAGAAAUUUAACACCAUUACCUUGGAAACAUAUAAACUCGUUGUCACAGUCCAAACAUCAUAAACCCCUGCACUAAUAUAUAUACCAACCAGAAAUGAAAGAAAAAUCCCAUUCCCCUAUCCAGAAAAGAUACACAAAUCUAUUACACAUCGUACAGAGGAAACUUAGAUGCUUCAACAUAUUCAAACAACCAAAUAAAAGCAAAAUAACUCCUCAUACGAUCAUUUUUACUCUGAUGUAUGCCCUUUAAUUCAUAAACAUUUUAAAGCAUUCAAGACUCAAAUAAUUAGUCCCUUCCUUCCCAUAACAGCAACAAAAUAAUGCAUGAACAAUUUCUCAAUUCCAGCCAUAAAUUCUUUAGUUCAUUCUUAAUUUAUCACACAUAACAAUACUUUCAAUCAACUUCCCGAAAUUAAAGAUAACUCAAGUAAAAACCCAAUGUUCCUUACACCCACUAUAUUCCUAACUUUAAACUUCCAAAUCAAUUAUUAGUUAAUAGAGGAUACUUUAGCAGAAAUCGGUGUUCCUAUUGUACAGAGGAUUUCAUAAUUGCUACAAAACAUUAAAUUUCUUUUCUUUAUUUGUCCCUAUUAAAUAUUAUGAAUGAAUAUGUGUAUUCUAUUAAUAGUGAAGGUAAAUUUGGUACGUUGAUAACUAAAUUAAUUAUGUUUUUUUAUUGGUCAAUGUGAUUAUGUCAGAAGUGUCAGUGUAUCUUAUAUACCAUCGUGUCACUAUAUCUUAUAUUUUAGAUAUUAGUUAUGUUCAGGUGCCUGUCACUACAGCGGAUGCUUCAUAGAUUAUCAUUACUCUAUUAUUUGACAAAACUUGUUUAAUCUCCUAAUCAAGUGUUAAAUCUUGCAUUACCAUUAACAUACCAUUGUCGAAGAUUUCACUGAAAGACAGCAAAAAAAUCUAAACUCGCGCAUUCCAGAUUCCUACUACAAUUUCAGUUCAGAAAUAUUAAACACCACAAAGCAUACAUCAAUUUUCCAGUCCAUCUUUAAUUAAACCAUAGAUACCAACUUCAUAGAUUUAUAAAAUUGAAAACAGAACUCAUUAUAUAUUUGUUUCUACCAAACAACUAUCCUGUUCUUCUUUCCUUUUAACAGAAACCAUACCCUUAUAAUAUUCCCAUAUUACAGUAACCACAGAAAAAGGCACGAAUCAAGAAACAUAUGCAUAAUCACAUUUUACUACUGGCCACAGAGUAAACAGAAUUCUCAUUUUUCUUAACUCCAAUAUAACUCAAACAUCAAUUUAACAUAUUUCUCAUACUCAAUUCUUCAAUACCCUUUUCCCAGUCAUCUGAACAUUUAAUAACUCAAUUCCCCCAUCAUACAAUACUCGAGUGAACACAAAUAAAAAGAGAGAAGCAUCUUAUUAAACACACACAAUUAAACAACUCCCUAUACCUUGUUCGAUUUCCCCUUUACGGCAAUCCUCUUUUCGAAUUUCAUGUAUCUCGCUCUCCCGCCUCUGCGUUCACUCUCUGGCUCCCAAACUCGUUCUCUCAGUGCCUUUCACUCACCACCGGUCUUGCAUUUGGUACUCUCCGUCGCGCAGCUCUCUCUCUCAUGCCCUAGCCCCUUAGUCCAGGGUUUUUCGAAAAUGAAGAAAAAGAAAGGAGGAUAGAGAAAUGACGAGAAAAAGAAAAUAGAAAUGAACAUAUAAAUGGGUGUUGCUCCCUGACCAUCCCAAAUCCUCUUGCUAUGUCUUCACUAUUUUUUUUUAUUCUAUAACUAUAUUAUUAUUAAUUUAAUUUUUAUAUUUGACUUUAUUUAUUUUUGGCUUAAUAUUUUUUAUAGUCUCUAUUUUCGUCAAGUGCAUUCGUUUUUGUCCUCAAUUUAAAUUUUGUUCAAUUUGGUCCUUUUUACAAACGUCGUUUAAAUUGUUAAUGGUCAUUGCUCCAGCUGUGCAAACUCCAAAUGAGAUGGCAUAUCACGUUAAAAGUUGAGUCUUCGUGGCAGUCCUUUUACCACCCUAAAAUCAAGGUUCUGCAUUUGGGAAAACCUUCAUGUGCCUGCACCGCAAGAAGAAGGAAAACGCUGCUUUAGUCCAAGCAGCCUUCCACAUGUCGUACCUAGCAGGUGCAAGUGCUAGGUCGGGGGACUCAAGUCCUAAGGCCUCCGCUUGACUCUUUCUCAUUUUCUUCUCAAGUUUUGCAUAACCACCUCGUGAUAACACGUGUGGUGCUUCAUUUAGCCUUUGCCUUUCUUGGGCAACUAACCUUUUACCCUAUGAAACCAUGUAUAUUCAUAAGUGUAAAAUCAUAAUAAAAGGCAUUAAUUAACCAAAGAAAAAUCUUAAGAAACAAACUUGUCAGUCCUCAGACUCUCUAGAUGCACGAAACUGCAUCCACUCAUCCUCUGUUAUUCUGUACUUAUCACAUGGAUUCUCAUGUUGUUUGUCUCCAACGACAUAUAGACGUGUCAGUUUUGUCUUGAAAUCCCUCCAUCUAAUUGCUACAUGGGAUAACAUUUUCUUUCUAAUUUGACCAGUGUUUGGAAUAUCAUAAUGUUGUUGUUUAAAACAAAGAACAUGUUAGUGACAUAAUAAGAACAAAGAAAAAAGUAUAUCAAAUUUCUUUUAAGUAAACAUACCUAAAUAUCUUGCCAUGAAAGUUUCUUGUCGACCUCUGGGACGUCAUCCUAAGAUGCAAGAACAAUAGAAACAUGGGUUUUUGCUAACACACCCAGAUAACUCCCAAACCUAUCAGCAUUUGGCCCUGAAGGCAGACUUAAUCUCGAGUUAAUGUCAACAUGUAUCCUCUUCUCCGUAAUGCGUCGGGAUGUCACAUUUGGCAAUCGUGUGACAGAUCAACCACAUCUGGUCUUUCUUGAUCCUGAGGUCGACAUACCUGAAAAAUGUAUACAAGGUUAGUACUAUAUCAAAUAUGAUAAAUAAAACAACAUUUAAAGUCACUAAAAAAAUAUAUCACAAAACCUAUUAAAAUAUUGUUUUCUCCCAGAUCCCUUCGUUGUGAUCAUUACGAAUUGCAUGGAUGUCAUCUGCUACGUCAUCAACCUUGUCUUCAAUGGGUUUUGAUGCAAAAGAUGUUGUCUCAAGUAUAUUAAGAGAAUCUUCAUCAUCAUAUUCGUGCAUGUUUUUUCCUUUCAAUACCACUGACUGUUCACACAAUCAUCAAAUAUCCAAUAAAUGAUAUUCUCAUGAAUGAUCAAUUAGCUAAGCACAGAUAAAAUCAUAGAUUCAUGGAAUCAUUCCUCACCAAAAAAGGUGUUUCAUUCAAUCACUCAAGUGUUUCAAAAGGUUCACUCUUUCCCUCUACUAUCCACAUGUCACAUAGAACAAAAUUGUCUUUCAUUUACCACAAUCAAUCAUCAUCACAUACACAUGUCAUCACAAGGACUUUUUCAAGGCUUAUAAUGUGGUUGGGCUAACAAGAAAAAUUGGUUUUUCUAGAUCACAGAAUCCUUGAGUUAAGAGAGUCAUUCAAACAUUCAUAGUUCAAGCACACACUCUCUUUUUAUCAAUUUCACUCAUUCCCAAAUUUCCCUCUUCUUUGCAUUGAGCUUUUCUUUUCAUUCUAUCUUUUCUAUCUUUUUCAUCUUUUCAUGCUUUGCUCAACAGAUUAGCUCAAUGUUUAUCCUUCUUAAAUUUUCUCAACAACUCCAAACUUGAACCUUAAUCAAUACCACACAAUAAUUCUCAACUUAACUCAAGGUAAAGAUUUUCAAAAAGGGUUUUCACAUACUGUUUAAAGCUUAGGUUCAAAAAGGGUAGAACACAUGGUUCUUUCUCAUGGGACGAAAAUUUCAUGCAUUGGCUAAGAAAGGGCUAAUAAAAAAUGGCCUUGAUCAUAUGACACAUACAUACAAUUCAAUCAAUCAUAGAAACCUGGGCAAUAUCACUUAUGCUUUCAAGUAGAUAGCAAUCAUUCAAUCAAAAACUCUAGAGUUCAAAACCUCAUAAAUAAGCUUAAUCAUUAUUCCAAACAUCCAGAUAAAUGCCCUGCUUAGCAUCAUAAUCACAAUCACGAUAUCAUCAUGCAUCUGUUCACAUAGCUUGUGAACCAUCACCUGUAUAUCAGCAUACAAUGCAAUAUCAACAUCAACCGAUUAUCAAGCAUCAUUAAGCAACAUUCAUCAUGCAACAAUAUCAAUCAAACCAUCAUAACAGAUAAAGUGCCAGACCAAGUACAUUAAAUCCUACACUACUCAACAUAAGCAAAUAAAGUUCAAAUUACAAAUCCAAAAAGAUAAAGAAAAAUCCUGUUCUAGUGUGGAUAACAUCCAUUAGUAGAUGCUAUAUAAGCUCCUCAGCCUAUACUGUCAUCGGAGUCCUUCUCCUCUCCAUCUUCAGAAUCCUCAAAGUUCUCAUCCUCAUCAUCAUCUUCUUUAUCUGGAGCUUCAACUGCUCCAGAUCCACUACCCUGCAUAUGCUCUGGCCAAGCCACCACAUUGUUAAACUCAUCCAUAGUCCACCUAUGUGUAGGAGGCGUGUCAUACAUGCCUAUGAUCAUCUCGACAGUAGCCACCUGUCCUCGGUGAAUGGACUCUAAUCUGGACUCCAUAAGAGACAUGUACAUGUCCCUCAUUUAAAAAGGCUCUGCCUCAUGUGCUGGUCCCUAAGCCUGUGUGGUGGAACUCUCCUCCUAGGGCGUCUUUGAGGCACUGACUGGGCUGCCUCAACUCCUCCACAAUAUUGUUUGUAGUAGGCCUCAUCAAUGGCCUUCCUAGGUCGCUCAAAUGGUGGAGUAUACGUGUCCACCCCAGCUGCAUGGCACAGGUGUGUAAUCAAGGAGGGAUGUCCCAGAGGUGCUUUGUUGCUCACUGUGCUUGCACAACUCUUAAUCUCGUUUGCAAUCACUUGGCCAAUAUUGAUAUUCAUUCCUCCAAGCACACAGUAGAUAAACAUGGCCCUGUUAACAGUGAUGUGGGAGACAUGUGAGCAUGGUGUCACAUUGGCAUGAGUGAAUGCCAUCCAAUACUACGCUAGUGGUGUCAAGUUGGCCCUUUUGAUGUGAAUGGCAAUACCACUCUGGUUCCUGUGAAAGUGCCCUCCAGGCACACAAAGCAUUCUCUCUGUCAUCAAAACCAAUGCCCUCCUCAACAUUCAAAGCAUAUUGGCACUGCAUACCUAUCCAUUCUGUGUUAAGAAAUCUGUUAAUUGUUUCAUAAUCAUACCAGAUGACCUUUCCACGCACAUAGCCCAUGUACUCCAUAAAGUGAGAGUCUCCCAAUGGCUUGGCAUUUAUAUAAAACUCUUUAACCACUGCUAUAUUUGCAGGAGCAGGGUAUGUAGCCAGAUUUUCCCAAUUCCUACUCUUCAACUCCUGCCCAAACUGUGGAGCAAAAUCUGGUAUCCAAGCUGACUUCUUGUCCAUCAAUAGGCGUCUCUCCUGGAAGAGGGGAUGAUGUUGCUCAUGUCUUCUGGAGAGGAACUUGUUAGAGUGAAAUUUGUCUGGUUCCCUCCUCUUGGCUCCAACUAUCUUAAUUCUCUUACUAGAAGAAGAGACCAUCCCUGCAUCAAAUACCAGUCAUAAAACCAAGGAAAACCUCAUUAAGUGUUAGCAAAACACUAAAUCUCGUCUAACCACAACGCCUAUCAGCGCUAGGGAUAAAACAGGACCCCUCAACGUCACCUACACAUAGAAAAAGCAUAAAAACAAAAUCUGCAGGCUAACACUCAACGGUGCCACUCAGCGCUAUCAGUUUAAAUUUUUGCAAAAUCUCCCCUAAAUGCUUCUAAUCUCCACCCACAUGCAAAUUUCUUCAUUUCAGACCACAAUCAUACAGUUUAAUCGGUCCAAAAAGUUUCUAUUUCAACUAAUCAUGCAUAAAAAUCAAAAGUCCUAAUCUUUCAUGCUUAAGCAAUAUUCUCAUACAAAUUCAUGCUUUGAAAACCCUAGAAUAUAAAAUGUAUGACUUACUUGGAUGGAGAGACUUUGAAUGUGUGCAAAGUGCUUGUUAUUUGAUGAUGGAUGAGACCCAAAUGUGGUGCUCCCUUAGAAACCCCAAACUUUGACAGUGAAAUGAUUCAAAGAUGGUGGAGAAUGUGUUUUUGAGAAGUGGGAUGAAGGGAGAAGUGAGGGGAGUGACUUAGGAGGGUGUUUAAGAGUGAAAAAGAGAGUGGGGAUCUGAGUGGAAGGCUUGGGUAAACCCUAAGGGGUGUUUAAAGUGUGCAAUGGGUCAAUCACGCUGGGCCCAACUUAAAAAAAAUAGAAUUCAAAUUUGCAGUACCACCGCUCAACGCUAGGUACCGCUGAGCGGUGGGCACGAUUUUAAAUCUUCCCCUUUUUUAUUUGCCCUAAGCGUCAUUUGACCAAUAUCCCUCAAUUUCAACUCUAAAACUUCAAAUUUCAUAUAAUUCCCUUCACUCCACUCACAUAUGCAACUAGAACAUAACCAAAUCAUGCAAAAAUAAAUCAAACAACUGGGUUGCCUCCCGAGUAGCGCUUGUUUAACAUCACGAGCCUGACCCAAACCUUUCUAGCACUCAUCAGUAAGUGCAAAUCUUACAACACCCAUCAGUAGGUGUACCUUCUUGUAUCCUUCAGUGAAUAUUAAAUUAUCUAGCAUCCCUCAGUAGAUGCUACCCAACAAAUAGUGUUUAACAAUAUUCAAAAUUACAUAACCAAAAUAGUAAAAAGAAACAAUAUAUUUAGGUUACUGGGGUGCCUCCCAACAAGCGCUUCUUUAAUGUCAUUAGCUUGACCCAAUAAAGUUCAGGUUCCAUCUUCCAUGUUGGUGUCUCUUUUACUUUCAUCACACCAACUCAUCAAUUGCUUUCGGUCCACCUUCUUGACUCGCCUAAAAUAUCGAGCCUCAAUCUCUAUCACUCCCUUCUCUUUUAAUCCUUUCACAACCCACAACUUCUUCUUAUAUCUCACAGGAGUACCAAGCUUGAAUUGUGCAUCCUCCAAGUCAAAGUGGAUUGUUCCUCCUUUAUCAACUUUCUCUUCUUCCUUAACCCGCAUCAAAACACAAUUCUUACCUUUGUUGACCGGCUUUGCAGAUUUAGGUUUAGCCACUAGUGCAACCUUCCUUGCAGCUUUGUGACCUAUCUUCUUAACUUGAAUAUGCUUAUCUUUAAAAACAUCAUAGAUCACCUCCUCUUCUUGGUCUGUAAUCAUAAUUAAUCUGUCAUCCACAUUAAUGACUACUUUAGCCGUCUUCAUGAACGGUCUUUCAAGAAUGAUUGGGAUCUUAUCAUCCUCCUUCAUCUCCAUGACCAUAAAGUCAACCAAGAAUUUAAGCCUUCCUAUGCGCAUCAUAACAUCCUCCACCACACUGUAGGGUUUCUUUGGUGACCCAUCCGCCAUUAUCAAGGAUAUCUUUGUUGGCUUCAACCUAAGACCACCAAUCUUUUUCAACAUAAAUAGGGGCAUCAUAUUAAUGGUUGACCCUAAAUCAAGUGGAGCUUUCCCUAUCUUCAAACCUUCAAUGGUGCAAGGAACUGUGAAACUUCCUGGGUCUUUCACUUUAGGAGGAUGUGCUUUCUCCAAUAAGUCAUUGCAACUUCCCUGUUCAUCAUUAGCUUCCUCAUCAAAAUCUAUCUUUUCACCAAGGUAAUGCUUGAUACGCCUAGCAUAGACAUGAAUAUGUUGAAGUGCUUCAAUCAACAGUAUAGUAAUCUCCAAUUGAUUGAAGAUUUCUCUAAAGCACUCACAUCUUCUCUCCACUUUCUCACACCCUUUAGGAUAAGGAAGAAUUCUCUCAUCUUUUUCUAUUUUUUCUUCUUCUUCAAAUUUUUUCUCUCCCCUCUUCUCUUCUUCUUUUUCCAACUCCCCCUCACAUAUUUUCUCUUCUUCUCUCACUAACUCAACACUCUUUUUUUUCUCCUCUGCUCUCUCCUCAACAUUCACUAUAGCCUUACAAUCUUCUUUAGGGUUAACCUCAGUAUUAGCCCCAAAUUGAUUCUCUGCUUUCUCCUCUAGCCCUUUAGCCAAUUGACUAAUCUGCAUCUCCAGAUUUCUGAAGGUAGCCUCAUUGUUUUUAUGGUGGAGUCAUGCUUCAGCAUAAAUUUCUCGAACAUAUCCUCCAACCUGCUAGUCUUGUCAUUUAAACCAAAUACAUGUUGCCAUAGUGGUGAUGGGUGCUGUGGUGGUCUAUUGAAUUGGCCUCGUGCUUGUCCAGAUUGUCCAAUUUGACCUUGACCCAUGCUUGGGUGAGGUUUCCAUCCUUGGCUGUAAUUACCUUGGCGGUAUUGGAAUUGGUUGCCCAUGUAGUUGACUUCUUCUUGGGUCUCCUUUGGAAAAGCACAUUGACCAUUGAUAUGGUCACCACCACAAAAAUCACAGAGUUGUUGUUGCACCUGUGAAAUAUUCUUCAGCUCCUUAGGCAGUUGAGCAAGAGUCUUUGUCAGAUUCUCCAAUUGUUGAGUUAUAAGCUUAUUCUAUGCAAGCAAAGCAUCUUGAGGAGGCAAUUGAAGAACUCCAUUUUGUUGAAGUAGCACGCCCCUUUCACUAUGAGUUUCAUUAUCAUUAGCCGUCAUGCUUUAUAUCAACUCAUAGGCUUCCUCCGCAGUCUUGUGCUUAAUGUUACCUCUAGCUGAGGCAUUUAGCAUAAGCUUUGUUUGAGUGUUAAGACCUCCAAGGAAUGUAAGGACUACAACUGUAUCAUCAAAACCAUGUACAUGCGUCUUCCUCAACAAGCUUUUAUAUCUGUCCCACGUUUGGCCUAGGGUUUCCUCUAUGCCUUGCCUGAAAGAAGAAAUCUUCAUUUUACCUUUGUUAAUUUUUUUACUGUGGAAAAUAUUUGCUUAGAAAUUUUGCCACCACAGCCUCCCAGGUCUCCUCCUGAAAAGAAUUCAUCCAUAAUUUAGCAUUGUCUCCCAAUGAGAAAGGAAACAAGCUAAGUUUGAUAGCUUCAUCCGACACUCCAUUGAUCUUCACUAUUUUACAGAUCUCAUUGAACGUGGUGAGAUGAUCAUAUGGACUUUCAUGUGACAACCCAUUAAAUUGAUUGCUUUGCACUAAGUGUAUCAAUGCCGGUUUAAUCUCCAUGUUCAGUGCAUUGGCCCUCGGCCUUGUAAUGCUGUUAAAGUGUUGAGGGCCAACCAUAGUGGUUGCAUCCGCCAGAGUAUGUUUAACAGGAGCUUCCUCCUCAGCUAUCUCUUUUGUGCUCUGGUUGGAUGCUUCUGGUGAGGGUUGCAACAGUCUCUCAGGAGAGGGGAAUAAUUCUCUAGAUGAUCUUCGAACCUUCCCUCUCCUUCAGUUGCACUCAAACCUUCAAGAAGAGGUUGUUGAUUUUUCUUGCUCCUAGUAUGAAUUGUCUCCUGCAUACACAAGAAACAAAACCCUAAAAAGCACUUUUAUAUAAAAAUAAAACAAAAACAAAACAAGAACAAAAAAUCAAGUCAAAUUCAAUCAAAAAUCACACUACUAGAAUAGUUAAACAACGAGUCCCCGGCAACAGCGCCAAAAACUUGCUAAGCAUUUGGCAAGUGUACCGAAUCGUAUCAAGUAAUAAUAAACAGUAAGUCCGAGUAUCGUUUCCCUAGAGACUCUUAGGCCUAAACGUUCGUGUGAUAUCUCAAUUUCUUAAGACUUGAUGGAACAAAAAUUAGGGUUUUAGAUGCAAGACAGAAAAUAAACAUGCAUGCAAAGAUUGAUCAAUUGAGAGUUUGAACUAUAUGAAUGAAUGGUGUUGUUGGGGUUUAUGAUUUCAUCCUAAUCCACUCUCAUAUAUUUACAAUUCCUACUUAAUUCUACUUCUUUAUCAAUGUUAGUGCCACUUUCUAAAUUCCCCUAAUUUAGAUAUCUUGGUGAAUAGAGCCUACUCCUAAUUACUAGUUUACUAUGUCUAGUCUCCCUAGCAAUUAAUCAUGCAUUACAUAAUUCGCACAGAAGCUUAAGGAAAUUGGCCCUCCUAACCCUAUGUCUAGGUAAUAUCACAACCAAGAGAAUUCUCUCAUGUCUAGACCUACCCAUACGUGUCCAUAUAGAUAGAAUCAAAGAUUAUGUUAUUGAAUAAUGUCUUAAAGAAAGCAUGCAAAUAUAAUGGAGGAAAAACUCUAACAAUUGAUAAAAGAAAGCACAUGAAUAAAGCAAGAAUUUCAAUAUAUGAGAGUUUCAAUAGGAUUACAUCGUUUCCCUCAACAACAAAGGGGUUUAGUUCACCAUAAUCAUGGUGAAACUAGAUGGAAAUAAUGGAAUGAAUGAAAAGACAACCCUAGAUUCGAUAAGUUGGAGCUUCCAUAUCCAAAAUCCGCCUCGAAGGAGUGAAGGGAGUGUUUCUGCGGCCUUUCUGCCAAAAGAUCACUCAUCUAGGUCGUCUAAACCUAUUUAUAGUUUCUUAAAUCAAAGCAGAAAUUGGCCCAAGCCCAAUAGUACACCGCCCGACGAUGGGUUCGACAUUUGAUAUCACCCCUCAGCGUUGCCGCCUGAGGGUUGGCUAGAGAAUUUCCUGAAGAGUCCACCGCCCGACGGUGAGGUCAACACUCCUGUUCACUCCUCAGCGGUGGCGCUUGAGCAUCUGACAGAGAUUUCUCUGGAAAGUACACUGCCCAGCGGUGGUUUCACCGCCUGACGAUGGUUGUGACUCUUCUUUUCUUCACUCUUCCACCUUCUCUUGAGUCCAACUCUUCUCUUCUUUAACUUCCUUUAUUCAAUUCCUGGUAACUCCUGCCAAAUCAUGGGAAAACCAGGCAUAAAACCAAGAAAACCAACUUUAACUCUCUUAUUCUCUAACUUAAGCAAAUUGAAUGAUUUCAAGCUAAUUCUAAGUCAUAAAGGGUGUGUUUAAUGUCAAAUUUAAGUAUGAAAAUAACGGUUUUUGAACCGUUAUCAGGUUUCCGACUUAUCCUAAUCCACUCUCACAUAUUUACGAAUUCUACUUUUUCAUUAAUGUUAAUGUCACUUUCUAAUUUACCCUAAUACCAAUGUCUUGGUGAAAAGAGCCUACUCCUAAUUACUAGUUUAUGAUGUCUUGUCUCUCUAGCAAUUGUUCAUGCAUUACAUUCGCACAGAAGCUUAAAGGCAAUUGGUCCUCCUAUCCCUAUGUCUAGGUAAUAUUACUCUCGAGAGAAUUCCCUCAUGUCUAGAUCUAGCCACAUGUGUCCAUAUAGAUAGAAUCAAAGAUUAUGCUAUUGAAUAAUGUCUUAAACAAAGCAUGCAAAGAUAAUGGAGGAAAAACUCUAACAAUUAAUAAAAGAAAGCAUAUGAAUAAAACAUCAAUUCAAUAUGAGAGUUUCAAUAAGAUUACAUUGUUUCCCCAACAACAAUGGAGGUUUAGUUCACCAUAAACAUGGUGAAACUAGAUGAAAUUGAUGAAAAGAAUGAAAAGAUAAACCCUAUAAUUGAUAGAUUGGAGCUCCCGCAUCUAAAAUCCACCUCCAAGGGGUGAGAAGUGUGUUUCUGUGUCUCUUCUGCCAAAAGAUAGACCAUCUAGGUGUGUGUGGAUGUGUGGGUGUUUUUGUGUGUGUAUGAAACAUGGAAUGGAAUUUGUAGAAAAUGUUUGGUUGCGGCACUAUGCUAAAAUGGUUUUAACGUGGGUUGUUGUUUUGAUUCGUUUUGUUAUGAUUAUUAUGUUUGACACUAUGGUUUUUUUGUAUAUAUAUUAUUAAAGAAAAUUGUAUUUGAUGGUAGUAUAUUACAUAAGAAAAAUACCACUUUAGAUUUUAAAAAAAACACAAUUAUUGAAUUAAAUAUUUACGUAAUACGUAUUUUGUAAAAGUUUUUUCUUUUAUAGGUUUGGAAAAUGUAGUGUUAUUGUCUUUAAAUAACUGUUGCAAGUUUUGUUUGAUAUUAUUUAUAAAUAAAUUGUAAGUAAAAGCUAAGAUUGGUUUAACUAGUUUAUAAGUUUUGGCGUGCUUCAUUUAUUAUUUUAUUUGUGUAGAAGAAAAAAAAAUUACAAUUAAGAUGGCAUGAUUGAAUUAGAGGAAUGUUAUGUGGUUUAUAAUGUUGUAAUGAUUUGGCAUAUGUGAGAUUAAAUUGAAUUACAUAUGUGUUGUGAUUGGAAUUGGUAGAUUGUAUGAAUUAGUCAUUUGAAUUGUGAAUGUGUGGUGACUCAAUAAAAGAUGGAGACACUCUAUUAGUUUUUAGUUGUGAGCUCGAAUGUUAACUUUCCUCGUAAAGCUCUUGGAGAGUAGAGGGAAGGAUAACUCUACGUAACUGUACUAGAAGUGAAUUUCGUUGGAAAAAUUCAUCAGAAAGUGAUAGGAAGUAACACUAGUUUACUUCGUCCAUAAUACUUUAGGAGAGUAGGGGAAGUGGACCAUGUCCGUAAGGCUUGUGAGAAGAGGAGGGGAGGACUUCACUCAUUGGAAGAGUAGGGAAAGUGGUCCGUAAGGUUUAUGAGAAGCAAAAAGAGAGGACUUCAGUUGUAAAGCUCUUGGGAAAUAAGGGAAGUAGAACCCUAUCUAUAAGGCUUGUUGAAGCAAGAAAGUUUCUCUAGUGAUGAGCAAUUAUAGUAAACUACGUGCGAGAGUUAUAUUGAAAAUAUUGAUGUUGAUGGCUGAGUUCACUAAUGGAUUGUGUUAUUUGUAUUGUGGAUUAUGCUAAGAAUUAUUGUGUGAAAUAGUAAGUUCGAUGAGUGGUUGGGGUGAGAUAACCCGUAGGUUGCAUAAGGUUUAGAAAUAUUGUGAUUAUGCAUGGUAGGAUGAGUUUUAUAUUGUUAUUGAUGUAUGCUUGUGAUUAAUAUACUUGUUUUUCUUCUGUUAGUUUACCCUUAUGUCUUUGUAUUUGACAUACGAGAGUAUAUUAAGAUUGCAUAUGAUCUUGUUUCGGAUGCACAAUAGUAAAAAGCUUAUGGUUUGUAUUGGGAAUAAAGAUUUGCAUUUAUGAUAUUUUAAAACAAUUUCUUGUUUAGAAAUAAUAUAUAUAUAUAUAUAUAUAUAUAUAUAUAUAUAUAUAUAUAUAUAUAUAUAAAAGAUGAUUUUGACUUUGGAUAUUUUUUUAAUUUGAGAAAUUUAUAUUUGAUGAAAUAAAAGGUUUUUUUAAAUGCGAAAAAAUUUCUAUGUAUUUUAGUAACAUCCUUACAAAGUGUCAUAGGCAUCGAAACCGAAAGCAAAUGCACGGAAAUAACCGAUUGAUGACCCUGAAUUGUCUCAUUUAGUUGCUCAAUCACCCCUAUGUAGUCAUGGAUUGGCCAUGGUCACAAAAACUUGAAAGCUUAGAAAAUAUUUUAUACUAUAUGAAAUAUACCGAUCAGAGUUAAUAGUCGUUCAUGGACAGUUAGCAGGUAUUAAUGAGUCGGAUCACCUUAGGCUUUACAAAUAUAUGGUAUUAAUUAUUGAUUAUUGAAUUUGAUUGCCUAAAAAUAUACUACACUAAUGGUUAUUCAAUGGACUUGGCUGCCACAAGCCCUAUAAAUAUACAAUUGAUGUCCAGGUACAGACAUCUUUUACUAUCCUAAUAAAAUAGUGACUUCUUUAUGAAACGUAUCUGACUUGAGCUUCGGAGUGUCUUCUACAGGUCAACCACCUAUCGGAGUGGAUUGCAUUCUCGGAAAGGGUUUGAUAAUCAAAAGAGAGCAGAGCAAGGAAGGGUGACUGACCCUUGGACCAAUUCAACCGAAACAUAUUCAAUUGGUAAUUUUAAAAAGUAAGCAAUGCGAGGCUGGAUGAAUUUGUUAGAACUGUCACUAUCAACCAAAAUCGUAAUUGCAAUAUGCCCAAUGUGACUUGUGAACCUAAUGGUGCUGACACCACCUACUAUUGUCAUUGCAUUGAGUUAAAAUAAUGUUUUUUAAUUACAAAUGUAGCAUGAUAUUUGGAAUUUGUCUAGACUUAAAGAUCCAAUUCAUGACACUGUUACCAAAGAAGUAAGGAAACAAAGUUUCAUGUUUAGUACCUACGACUUAAAUGAAUUUGAAGCACAUUGGAAGGACCCUUGAGAGGUAGAAUUGCAUGGCAAUAGAGUCUUCAAAGAAAUAGUAAUUUGAUUGAAUUUGUUGUCAUUCUCAUGAAUGGUAGGCUUCAAGAUUGAAAACAAAAAGAAUUUAUUGAUUCCACCAAUUGAAUAUGAGCUUGAAGGUAUAAAGAAUCUUCAACCAAUACGAAUUUGAGGAUAAAUUCUCUCCAAAAAGAAGGGUAUAAUAGAGGACUGAACAUAUAUGAAAAGAACUUGAGGAAAAAUAUUUGUAAUUCAAAAUAUCUAUGACAAGGUCAAAGAUUAAAGCAUGUCUUCUUAAAUCUUAUAAUAUUCCAUAAAAUAGGAAACAUAAACGAAGAUCACGAGCACUAUUAAAGAAUAAUUUAGAAAAUUAAAUAAAUUAUAAAUUUAUUUUAAUUUUACAUAUUAAAUUAGCUAGGCGAAUCAAUUUUGUGUUUGUUGGGCGAGUGUGCUUCACUAAGAAAAAGUAUGCAUCUAUAGUAUUUGUUUUUUAUUAUUUUUAUGAGUUUUAGGCUUUGGGCUUUAUUUUAAGGUUUCUAGGUUCUUAAACUUAUGUUCCUAUAUAUAGAGGUACCAAAAGCUAAUGUAAAUAUUUUGAUAUUGCAUUUUUGAGAGAUGAUUCUCUUGGUUCUUGAUUAGAUUUCUGACUAUUAUUAAAGAUGAACAUCUUUGUAAUGAAUCUUCACUUGAUUUAUCAAUAUGUUAGAUAGUGGCAUCCUUGUUAUUUUGCAUUUUUCUCUAAUUUAUUUUGUUCUGCCUCUUGCAGAUUCAAAUUCAGAAACUAUCACACAUCUCGAAUCUAGAAAAUGUUCUGGUUUGAAUAUCUUUUUUUUUCUUAUUAUUUUGUCAUAUUAAAAAAACCUAAUAUUUUAUCCAAUUUUUUUAAGUUUUUAAUUUUUCUUGUUUUUGUGUUCCUCAUUUAAAUUGUGUAAUUCUACAUUUGAUUCGUGGAAAUUAUCUAUGUUUUUUUGUUAAUUGUAGUCUCAAUUGAUGGUUUUACUUGAUCUUGCAUGAGUUUUGGUAUUUGAAGGGCAAUUUAUUUAGUUUUCUUUAUUUGUGUUUUGAACUGCAAAAAUUAAAAAAAAAAUAGUGGAUCUAAGUUAAAAGGAAACAAAUAUAUAUUAGAAGAAAAAAAAAGUAAGGAUCCAAUAGUUAAAAAAAAUUGUAGGGUUUAACACAAAUUAUGUUGCACUAUUGUUUAUGAUUAUUAAUUUCUUAAAUUAUAUUUAGUCUUUUUUUUAAAGUCUCUAGGUUUUCUCAUUUUUUUGCAUUCAUAUUAUGUUUUUUAUUGUUUUAGGCUUCUUCUUUAUUUAAAAAAAAAAAUCCUUGGAGUUUUGUCUAGAGUUUUGUAUUUUCUUUGACCUCUUAAGUCAAGAUUUAGAUCUCGUAACUUUUUUCACAUUGUUUGUUCAGUGUUUGCUUAAGCAUACUGGAGUUCUGUACCAAACAAUAAAGGGAAUUUGAGUGGAAAAAUGAAAAAGAGCGCUAAAGGACUUCAAAAAAAUUAGAUGUGUUGAAAAAAAGAUAGGAGAGAAAGCUUAAAAGAGCACAAGAGAAAGAAGCACUAAUAGAAACAGAAGAAAGAGAAAAUAGAUGAAAAGAAGAGAAAGAAAUAAGGAAGGACAAAGAAAGAGAAAAAAGAGAAAAGGAAGAGAAAGAAAAGAGAGUAAGAGAGGAGAAAGAAAAUAGAGAAAGAGAGCAAAAAGAAAAGAGAGAGAAAAGGAAAAGAAGAAAAAUAGAGAGAGAAAAAGAGCCUCUUGAGUUGUUAUUAAAAGAAAAUACUAAUUGGUCUCUUUUUGUUUUGUUGCCUAGGAAAACUUCCUUUAUCAAGGAACCAUGACAUCAACAAUAGAAGGAAGACAAAAUGACAGAAAAGGAAGACACAAGCUUAGAACACAAAGAACCGGUGUUUGAUAAUCUAUUAGUUUAUUUGUCAAUUCAUUUGGAUAUUCAAAGUCAUUAUUUUAUUAUGAAACAAACUUAGAAAUAUAUGCAUAUGAGGUAACUUGUUUAACCGUAUUUAAGCAACUUACGAAUAAUCAAAGUCAUACUUAUAGUUUCAUUGUUUACUUAGAAAAUAUUCUUUUUAUUUUCUCUGAGCAUUUCAUUUUUAACUUAAAAUUGUUUGAUGAUUUUUGCAGGUGGGUAUUUGACCAUAGAGGCAUACCUUGAAACCUUUGAUAAUAAGAGAUUGGUCUCUUUCAUAAUCCAAAUAUCAUUUUAGUAGAAUUUCUAUCUUUUAUUAUUUUAAAUUUGUGUCUUUUUGUAUUUGGAUCUUCUAGAAUUCAAGUCGAAUUCUCUCCAAAUAGGAGAGAAUGAUAAGGAACUUUCAAGUGGUACGAAUUUGAGGACAAAUUAUUUUCAAGAAAGACGGUAUGAUAAAAGACUAUCUCUUGAGCAUAUAUGAGAAGAACUUAAGGAAGAACAUUUGCAAUUAAAAAUUUAUUACAAGGUCAAAGAUCAAAACACGUCUCCUUAAAUCUUGUAAGUUUCCAUGAAGGAGAAAACUUGAAUUUCAUUAACACAAUUGAAGAAUAAUUUAGGAAAUUAAAUAAAUUGUAAUUUUAUUUUAAUUUAAUGCAAAAUUCGUUAGGAGAAUCCUUUUUGUGUUUGUUGGGUAAGCGAUCUUCGCUAGGUGAAAGUCUCCAUCUAUAAUUUUUGUUUUUUGUUAUUUUUAUGUAUUUUUGGCUUUGGGUUUUAUUUUAAGGUUUUUAUGUUUUCUUAAAUUAUGUACUUAUAUAAAGAGGUACCAAAAGUUGAUGUAAACAUUUUGAGUCAUAUUAUAUGCAUUUACUUUCUUUGGAACAAAAUUCUUUGAGUUAUUGGAUUAGAACUCUAUUUUUAUCAAAGAUUAACAUACUUAUAUGCUAGAUUGUGACAUUUUCAUUUCUGUCUUAUUUGGCAUUCUUUUAUGAUUUAUAUUUGUUGUGUCUUUUGAGAAUUCAAAUUCAAAAAUGAUUGUACUAUUUCCUAAAUAGAAUCGUAUUAAUAUUACUUCUCUGAUGUUGUAAUAAUUUGUCUAAAAGAAAUAAGUUACGAAGUCAUAGUAGUUAUAUAAGUGGAAAGACUUAAAAAACAUAUUACACAUAAACAACACCUAAGACGAAUCUCUCGUUAUUUCAAAUUACCAAUAAGAGGUUGAGAAAGUCAAUGAUUUCAUAUAUAAGAUCACAAAAUGAUUAAGUGAAUUUAAGAAUAAGAGCAUAUGUAGAAUAAAAGUGAAUGAAAAAAAAAUAUGAAACAUAACAUCGAACCAUAAACAGAAUGGAAUUAAGGAGAGAGGAUCAAACAAAGAAUUUGAAACAUUAACCAUAAUUAAAACUAAAAAAGGAAAUGGUGAGAAGACUUGGUAGAAUGGAAGAAGAGAUAACCCUUGAGAAGACUGUUCUUCCUUCAAGAUAAACAUUAUAGAAUGAAUCACUAUUUCAAACUUCUCUAUAAAAAAUCUAAAAACUUUCGCGAUACUUUUGAAAAGAUUUAAUUAAUAAUUGGUCCACAUAUUUAAAUUUAUGUUUUAUUAUAUAUAUAUAUAUAUAUAUAUAUAUAUAUAUAUAUAUUAUACUAUAUGAAAUAUAUCGAUCAGAGUUAAUGGUCAUUCAUGGACAGUUAAUAGGUAUUAAUGAGGCAGAUCACCUAAGGCUUUACAAAUAUACGGUGUUAAUUAUUGAUUAUUGGAUUUGAUUGCCUAAAAAUAUAUUGCACUAAUGGUUAUUCAAUGGAUACAAUUGAUGUCGAGGUACAAACAUCUUUUACUAUCAUAGUAAAAUAGUGACCUCUUUAUGAAACAUAUCUGACUUUAGUGUCAGAGUGUCUUUUGCAGCUCAACCACUUAUCGGAGUGGAUUGCAUUCUCAGAAAGGGUUUGAUGAUCAAAAGAGAGCAGAGCAAGGAAGGACGACCGAUCCAAGGAAGGAAACACACACACAUAAAAUUUUGAGUCUUAAUCUUUUUUAAAUAAAGUUAAUUUAAUUUAUUAUAUUAAGUUAGGUUAAGUCUAUUUAAAAUAUAUUACAUGUCAAAAUUCGAGUAUUUUUUAUAUUGUGAUUUUUCUAAUUAGAUAUAUAACACUUUCUAAAUCUUAAAACGUAAUAUUUUUAAGGUUUAAUCAUUUUGGAGGUCCUUAUUUGUGCAUAUUCGUGUCAAUUAGGUCCUUCUAUUUUGAAAGUGUUCAAUUUGGUCCCUAUUUAUGUAAAAUUGAGUCCAUAAUGCCUUUGUCGUUAAUUGUUGUGGAUGACGUUAAAUUUCUUGCCUUGUGGCAUGUUGAGGUAGCAUUUAAUUAAUAACGACGUGGCACGGUAACAACUUAUUACGUGGAUUUAUUUGAUUUUAAAUUUUAAAAAACUUUAAAAUAUGGUAAACUUAAUAAAAACAUAACGUUAUAUUUAUUUCUAGAAAUGAAAUUAAAACUUAUUAGGAUUAAGUUUGGUAUUUUGGGUCAGUUUUUGAGUGUGCCAAAUUAGGGAAAAUUGGGGGAAAUAGGGUUUUUCGUGGGUUUGUUGUUCUGGUUCAAAUUUGGUAGAAAAUAGGGUUAUAGUGAGAAAUUAGUUGUGGAUGAAGUUUGUUUUUACGAUUUUGGAGUCAUCUAUCGGUGGUUUUUCGGUGGAAUUGGCAAAUUGUUAGCGGUGAAGCAUUGUGGGUAGCACAUGUAGCAGAGUCUUCUGAGUUGACUCAAACGUAGAAACAGUGCAUAGUGUUGGCAGCGAAGGAGGUCGAGGAGUUGGGAGGGGGAGAAGUCGAGGGGUAGAGGGUGGUGAGUGGCAGAAGUGGAAGAUGAGAGAGUGAAUGAGAAUCUGAAGGUAGAAGAGAUAGAGAAAGAGAAUGAGAAAUGUGUUGUGUGGCAUUGGGUUAUUAUAAUGUAAGGAAGAGGGUGAGAGUGGAGAGAGGAUAGUGCCAUUGAGACAAAUUUACAAACAUGUGGUGUGCGUGAAGAAUUGGGUGAGCACAAUAGCGAUGUAGAGUGUGGAUGAAUUGGGAUGAGGGUUUGCCACUUGGUGGUGAAGAAGAAAGAAUGAUCCUAUUGUGGGAUGAGUACCAAAAGUCUCUUUUCUGGUAUAAAAUGUUGUAAUAGAAAAUAUACAUAUAUUUACAAUAUCUUUAAAUCUAAUUAAAUAAUAAUAUUACAUUAAGGUAUAAAAUUUCACUUCACCUCUCGUUCCUUUUCUUCUCCCAUACAUUAUUUGGUUAAAUAGAGUAGAAGAGGAGGCACAUACACCUUCAGAAAUCCAACAAACAAAGUAAUUUAUCAAAGAGGCCACCUUAGAAAGUACCAACACACAUCCACACCUUCCAUUAUAUUUCCCCCGACAACCAAAGUAGAGCAAAACCCGUUGAACCCAAAAGCCAAAACCACCAAAGGAAUUCAAUAAUCCAAUGCAAAGAUAAAUCAACCAAUUAAGCAGUGAGAAAUAAAUUAUCACAAAAUAAAAAUUGACUCCUUUUUUCCACUUUUUUCUCAUCAAUAAAAACACACUAAAAGUUCAUAAACCCAUAAGCCAAAGCCAUAACCCACCAUGUGAUUGGUGACUCACUGGCAAGUGUACCAGAUCGUUCCAAGUAAUAUAAUUGGUAAAAACCCAACAUCGUUCUUCCCAAGAGACUCGAAAGGCCUUAUCGUUCGUGUGAAUUAAAAUCGUAAGACUUGUAAAUAAAAAUUAAUUGAUUGGACGUAAGAACACAAAAUAAACAUGAUAAAGUAUUUGAUUCAAUUAACGAGAAGAAAGCUAUGGAUGAAUGGAGUUGUUGGGGGUUUACAAUUUCAUCUUAUUCGCUCUCUCUUAUUUACUCCUCUUGUUUAAAUUGCUUGAUUAUCUAAUCGUUAUGCAACUUUCUUAGCCUACCCUUAACCCGAUCCCUCGGCGAAAAGAGCCUAUUACUAAUUACUGGCUUGCUAUCCCUAGCCUCCCCUAGCAAUUAAUAAUGCAUGAUAGAAUAGAAACGAAAACAAUUGAUCGUCCUACCCAUAUCCCUAGGUGGUAUUGCUUAAUCAAGGAAUUACUCACCAGUUCAUGACAUUACUAUAUAUCCCCGUAUCAAUAAAGACAAACAACAGUUAUCGAAUGAGUUAAACGAUAAAAGCUUUAAGCAUAGAUGAGAACCCAACAAUUAAUAAUCAACGCAUAUGAAAAUCAUAUAAAUAAACAAGAUUUUCAAUAAAAGAGAGUAUCAAAAGAUUACAUUGUUUCCCCCAACAACAAAAGGGUUUAGUUCACCAUUGUCAUGGUGAAUCUAUAUGAAAAAUGGAUGAAGAAUGGAAAAGCAAACCCUAGAUAAGAAGAAAUGGAGCCUAAGCAUCAAAGAGAUCCUCUCUAGAGAGUGAAAGUAGGUAUGGCCGCCCUCCUCUGUCAAAAGAAUGAGAUUGAGAUCGCAACAGGGCUAUUUAUAACUGAGAAGCGUCACAGAAAACAGGCCCAAGCCCAGCAGACAACCGCCUGGCGUCACACUUAUGCUGCCUGGCGGUUUUCCCAUAAUCGCGUCACCGCCCGACGGCAGGGGUUCACCGCCCGGCGGUUUGCCUCUUAUCGCAAAUCCGCCCAACGUCCACGCCUGAUGCCAUCUCCUCGCAUUGGACCGCCCAGCGGUGUAAUUUGCCGCUGGGCAAUUCCUCGACUCUUCAUUUCUUCAUUUUUCUUCACUUUUCUUGAGUCUAAGACCUUCAUCUUCAACUCCAUUCUUCACUUUCUCAAAAAUUCUACAAAACAAUGCAAAACAAGCAUAAUGUCGCUAAAAACAGCUUUUGACACUUUACUGACUCAUUUAUUGAGUUUUGUUUGAUUCUAAGCUCAUUCUAAGCAGUAAAGGAAGUAAUUUGGUCUAAAAUGACAUAUGAAAAUAACUGUUUUUCAACCGUUAUCAGUGAUCGAGAUCAAAUUCUUCAUUAGGUCUUUUUUUUUUUAUGUUGUCAUCUACAUUAAGGUAUAAGACUGUUUAGUUUGAGUCAAAUGUGUUUUUGUCUCUAAUCAUUCAUAACUUUUAGGUGAAUUUGAUUUUGAAAAUAAUAAUUUUACUUUGUCGAGGGGGAUGCAAUGUUGGGAGAGGAAGGCGUAAUAGAGGUUGAGGGGGUCGUGGAGGAGUGUAAGACAAUGAGGCGACGGGCAACGACAAUGAGAGAUGGGGAGGCACGGGAGGUGUGCCAAGGGGUUUGAUUGAGAGGUAGGCAUGGAUGUAGAUGUUCAAGAGGUGGGUGUGGGAGGGUGAGAAGAAGGUUUCCCAGAGAGGGGAGAAGGUGAGGUUAGAGUUGGUGAGGAAGACGAAGGUGAUUCUAGGGGUGGAAGAGAGGUGGGAGGUGGUGUGUGGGGUGACGACGCGGCGGAAGAGGGCAAGGGUGUCGACGUCGGAUGGUGAGAAUAAGAGGUGAGGGGGUGGAUGAACUUUCUUCAACCAUUUUUAGGUUUUCUUCUUCUCUAUGUGAUGAGAUUGUGGAAGCAAAAAUAUAGGGAGUUUGUUUAUGGUUGGAUUUAGAAUGAUUAAGACGUUUAUGAGCUUUGAAAUCUCUUCAUUUAAGAGGAUUGUUUUUAUUAAAUAUAACUUAUUUUAAACUUAAAAUAAAAUAAUUUCACGUAAUGAGACGUGCCACGUGGUUAUUAAAUGCUACCUUAUCAUGCGACCAGACAAGAAAUUUAAUGUCGUCCACAACAAUUAACGGCAAGAGCAUUUGACUUAAUUUUACAUAAAUAGGGACCCAAUUGAGCACUUUUAAAAUUCAAAGAGCUAAUUGACACGAAUCUGCACAAAUAGGAACCUCCGAAAUGAUUAAACCUAUUUUUAAACAUGUUAACGUCAAUUUAACAUAAUGAACCAAAUUAACUCUGUAUAAAAAUAUUAAGGUUUAAUCAUUUCCGACAUCCCUAUUUCUGCAGGAUCGUCUCAAAUAGGUCCUCGUAUUCUAAAUGCUCUCAAUUAGGUCCUUUAUUGUGAAAAAUUGAAUCAAAGUAUACCUUGCCGUUAAGUUGGCUGGACAAAGUUAAAAAAUUUUAUGCGUGGCUUGGUGACAUGAGCAAGUGCCACUGGCGUGGCACACAUUGGUUGUCUGAAUUGGCUUUCUUUUAUUUAUUCAUUUUAAAAAUUCACGUUAAUCAGAAUGCAACGUUUUCUUUAUGAAAAACAGAUGACUAGUUAUGUUUAUUUAAUUUCAUUGUUGUCUGGGUGUGGAAUUUGGGGAAAUUUGGGAAAAUAAUUGGGAUUUCAAGAAAUCCCUAAAUUGGAAGAUUGAAAUCCCUAAGGAGAGUGAGGUUCGUCUUUAACCUUUUUCAGCUUUUUAUUGGAGGGUGUUUUGGUGCGACGCAGGUGGGUGGGUGUUGAACGUUGUUGUUGGAAGACGAUGUCGAAGGAGUAUUCUUGCUGUUCAUCGACAUGCAAUGUGUGGCAGAAGGAGAACAAUAAUGUGUGUUCACCAAUUUGCCACUGUGGAGUGAGAUGUGCGUUGAGAACUUCUAAAACUUUAAAGAAUCGUGGCAAGUCAUUUUGGGGAUUCUCGAAGUAUAAGGUAUGAUUUAUUUCACCUAUGUAUUAUGUGGAAGUGUUUCUGAUAAGAGAUUGUUGCUUAUACAGAGUGGUGCUGAAGAAAGUGGUUGCAAUUACUUCAAAUGGUGCACUGAUGUUACGAAAGACAAAAGGGGCACAUGCUUGAAGUCUGAAGGAAACAAAGAAAGAUUGAUGCACAGUGAAGAAAUGGAUAGUAAUAGGAAUUGUUAAGAAACAGGUAGGCUUCAUUUUACACCAAGAGGGUGGGGGGUGAAUUGGUGUUUGUUCAAAAACAAAAUCUUUUCGCAAUCUUGGUAUGAAAAUUCAAAGCUUUUGAUCUUUCCUUGAAAUGCAAGUAAUGAAAAUUAAAUGCAGCGAAAAAACGCAGUAGACUGCUAAACUGAUAAAGUCGACUGGAAAAUAAAGAGUGCAAGGAUAGAGAAAAUCAAACACUGAUUUUUAUACUGGUUCGGUCAACAAUGCCUACAUCCAAUGUUCUUCCAACCCAGGAAGCAAAUGCACUAUAAUGGUUGCGGUUUUUACAACAAGGAAUUUAUAGAAGCACCACGCAAAAAUAUCAAUAUCCUCUCUAACCUAAAACCAAAAUAUAGCUGCACACACAAAAACCAGAAUUGCAACAAGAAUCCCCUCUUCUGUAAUCUGCACCCACGUCGAACAAUCCUCAACGUGUAACCAACACUCUUCACAGGAUGACAAGCCUAUCAUAGUAGACUUCAUAGGUUGCCAAGCCUCUCACAGCAGACUUCACAGGUUGCCAAGCCUCCAAUCAAAUGCAGCAGUCUUCACAAGAUGCCAAGCCUAUCAAGAUCAAACCAGAAGCAUCUUUCUUGUGCAGAUGUUGCUCAAACAGUAUGCGCAAUUGACUCCUCCCUUUGAAUCUCUCUCAAGAAAGAUUACUACCGUCUUCUUGGAGAAUUCUUGGAGCUUCUAAAACAGAGAAUUCAAUCUGAAACAAGAUAAUGAAAAUGUCAGAUCACAAAAGUCUUACAGAACAAUUCGUGUCCUGUCUAUUUAUAGUUUUCUGUUAUAUUAUAUUGUAUCUCAGUCGAAUAACCUACUAAUUCAGUUGACUGUAUUAAAACAGUUAUAACACACAGUCAACACAAAGGCUCCUCAAUCAACAAAAUCAACAAACAUUUAUGACAGUUGANCUGGUCAGUCAAUCUUAACUAACUUUUGAAAAAUAUAGUCGUUGGAGCGUGUAGGCUUAACAGAAUUCCAAACAUAACAGUAAUAUAGUCGAAUGUGUGUUCCACACUGUCGACUAACACAUGAAAAAUCACUUUGAAAUUCUUUUCAACUCAAAAUCUCACACAGCACAGGUUCACAAAGUGUGUACAAAGACUUUAGCAUAGUCGAAUCCAUCAUGAGUGUAUUCGACUGAACUAGAACUUUGUCACAAAAAGUAUAAGUUCAUAAAGGUGCUUGUGAUCUUUUUUUUUUUUUUCAGAAAUGUGCAGUUAAUCAAAAAACAUUUUAUCCCAAAUUUCAAUACAAGCAUGUUCCACAAAUAUAACACAUCAAUCAAUCAUAGGAACAUACAUUGUAAUUCAACAAAACAUGUUCAGCAGAUAUGACAAUCAAUAGAACACGAACAUGUAAUACUGUGACAUGUGUACUGUUAUUAAGCAUUGUGUUGUCAUCAUCAAAAACUAGUUUGAUAUAGAGUCUGUGUUGUCAACAAUCUCAACAAUCUCCCCCUUUUUUGAUGAUGGACAACCAUGAUUAAUAACUCAACCAUGUUUGUACAGUUCCACAUAUGACAGAGUAAAAACAUAUAUCAGAAACAAUUAUUACAAUUCAGUUACUCUGCAUAUACAACCAAAUACAACAAAAAUAUCAUCAAACAGAUAAAGUAUGAUGCAACAAUUCUCCCCAUAUAGACUUGCUCACAUACACUCAUCUAUAGUUCUCCCCUUUGUGCAUUAACAAAAAAGGAAUGCUCAGAUAUUUGUGCAGUUUUGGAAAACAAAGAUGCAUCAUAAAGAUGCUCACAAUGAUGCUCUCAUAGUUCACAAGUUCAUCACAAAAUAGUGCAAACUCCCCCUGAAAUAUAGGUGUGUAAUGAAGCAAUGAGUAAAAUAGUGAUACUCCCCCUGUCAUUAUGCAUGAAUUUCAAAAACAGUUUGAGUGCACAAUGCAGAGUAUCACAAACUAACAACAGUUUAAGCACAAAUUUGUAUCAUAGUCAAGUUAUCAAAUCACAUGUAAAUGCAAUAAUACAAAUAUCAACAAUCUCACAGUAUUAUCUCAAUUCAGAUAUGAAUCAUGUAAAGAGCAGAGAUAAUAUCAUAAUAAUAAUGAUUUAAGCAGUAAGUAAGGAUAGAAUCAAAUUCCAGAAUUGGAAUUGUUAACCCAUUUAGACGUAGUCGAAUGCUUUAAAUCAUCAGUCGAAUGCAUUGCUUUUCCAAAUGUUGAAUUCCAAUUGUAGAUGUCCAAAGCAAUGUCUUUCCUGCAAAACCUUUCAACAACCUUUUCUAGAUCAAGCACAAUGGUUAAGAAAGAAUAGAAUCAAAUCAUAACAGAAGUCAAUAUGUAAGAAUGCAUGACAGUUUAAGCAUAGUUGACUUCAAACAAAACACAGUCGAAUCAAUCAAACAAAGUAUUACAUAUCAUUCAACAAUUUAAGUGACUGGAUUGAUUCAAAUGACUAAUUUCAUUUCCUUGGAUAAAAGAUAUUACAAUGGUGGUGCAAGAAAUAAGGAAAUACAAACAAAAGAUGGCUUUAUAUGCCAUUUCACAAAAUGAAAAGACCUAGUCUAGGACUUAAAAUUGCUACAAGUACUGGCAUAUUUCAACUGAUAGUCCUUAGUCCAUGUUAGAGGAUUUAGUGCAGUAUUCGUCCGAGUACUGUUUUCCUCUUGAGAUCUAUCUUCAUCAUUCAGGUUCCCAUUGACGGACUUUAAUUGAUCAGCCAUAAAUAUCUCAAACUUUGUCACAGGUGAAAAAAUUGGUUUCAUCUUCAAAGAACCGUCCAAUUGAAGUCUUUUUCAUUCCCAUUUCUUUCAGUGUACUAUUGUUUAUCUCAUUUGAAUAAUCACAGCAGCAGGAUUUUUCAUUAUUUAAUCUAACACCUUGCACCAAGAGAAUCCUGCUAAUGAGAACAACAUAUGGAAGAUACGGUGAGUUCUUGAAAGCUGCCAACCUCAUGUGAUUUUUGAUAACUUCUAUCUAGUUGGUGGGAAUUUUGUUGAUGAUAGCAUGCAUCAAAUAUAUGUCUUCAGUGGUUAGAUGAUUAUGAACAAUUCUCCCAGGUAGUAUGAUCCAUGAAAGAAUAUGAGCAAUAAUCUUUUCUUCCUUCUUUAAACCAUUAAGAGAAAACUUUCCUUGUAGAGAUACAUCUUCAGGAUAUCUUCUCCAAUUUGAGUACAUUUCCUUUUUCUUUAAGUGUGUAUUUAGUUCAGAGUUGGGCAAGUGUGAGAGUGCACCUUUUGAUUCAAGUUCAGUGAACAACUUCCAGAUGAAAUCAUCUAUCUCAAUGUUUACACCCUUUACUCUGGACCUCAUGACGCCAUUUUCAAAUUUAAGAUUGUGGUAAAAUACUUCCACCAAGUCAGGAUACCAUGCACCUUUCAUUUGGACGAAGCUUGAUAGAUCUUGGAACUCCAGUAAUUCAGGAAAAUUGAAUCCCUCUUUUCUAAACUUUCUAAACUUGAUGUAGUAUGGACAAGCUAUCGUUUUUGAUAGGUUCAACAAAAAUUUCCUUCUUGACACAUCAUCACUAAUCCAUCCUCAGGGAUCAAGAUUUCUUGAUACAACAGCUUCCUUUCCUUUUCCUUUGUUUGAGCUUUGGUUUGAAGUGGCCAUCGUGGGAUCACAAUUUUUCAGAAGACACUUUCUUGGUCUAAGGAUUAUCAGAGAAAUUUGCUUGUACAAUAACAAACACAAUACAAGAUUUAGAACAAAUGUGAGCAUUUAAAGUGUUUCAAAAGACCCCUGAUUCAAAUUCUCAACGUUAAAAAAAAUUUCUACCAUUAAUUGACUUAGUCGAUUGAAUUAUAAUUGGAGUCGACUGUGACUCAAGAAAAAAUCAUUUUCAGCCAAAUUCAAUCAGUCAAAUCAAUCAAUACUCAUUGCAAACAAUCAUACAACAAUAAUUUAUCAGUAUAUGCAUGAUGCAGCAGAUAGAUAUAGAUUUACCAGUUGUAGACACUCAAGGUUUUUUAUUUACUCCAUAGUUGAUUCAUCCUUGAGACCAACUUUGCAUCAGUUGUAUAUCCUGCAAAACAAUUAAUUUUUGGCUGAUGGUACCCAUUUGACUUUGGGUCCUUGAUUGUUAGUUCUUAUUACAUGUUCCUUUGGUAUCCAUACACAUAAUCCUUGAGGAAUAGCAACAUGUCUAUAAUACCAAUUUCUAACAGUAUGACCAACACAAUUGCAAUAAAAACAUGCAUUUCUAGCAGGUUUUCUUAACUCAUUAAAUUUCCUAGCAUUGGUUUUGUUAGAGUAAGCUUUGUAACCAAUUCCUUAUCUAUUAUUAAUUCUACUAGAUGAAUUUAACACAACAUCUAAAUUGUCUCUACCUUGAGUAAACUUAGUUAGCGUGCUAGUCAAGUAAUCUAUCUUUGCAAUGUGUGUAGGACAAUUUUCACAAACUUUUUCAACAGUAACAAUUUUAAUUUCACAAUUUCUAGCAGAUGACAAAGCUUCAUUAAGUUCUUUUUCUAAUCUUUCAUUUUCUGCAACAAGGUCUUUAAUUCUAUUUUCAAAAUCUCUUCUUUCUGAGCUUAGUCGAUUUACCUUGUAUUGCAGUCGCAUGGCUUCAGCAUGUAACUCUUUGAAAGCAUCUUGAAGCAGAUCAUAUAUGACUUCUACUGGUUCAUUUGAUAUGUCUGCAUCAUUGUCAUAGUCAUCCCAUGUUACACCUAUCAUAUAACAUAAAUUUGAUUCCUCCUCUUGGUCAGCAUCCUCAUCACUUGAGCUUUCAGAUUUAGAGUUCUCCCAAGCAAUGUAAGCUCCUUUUUUUCUCAUAUUUCUGCCUUGAGGGAAUCUUUUCUUUCCUUUUGGCUUUGGCUGUAAUUUAGGUCAGUCAGGCUUGAUGUGACCUUCUUUUCCACAUUCAUAGCACUGGACAACAUUUGUGUUGAAGCUCUUCCUUUUGCUUUGACCUGCAUGGUUAGACCGUUGACUAUCAUUUUGCAUAUGUCGACAAAACUUUCUUACAAUCAAGGUCAUCAACUCUUUGUCGUCCAUCUCUGUUUCUGUGAUGUUCUUGCUUGCAGCCUGCAGAGCAAUGGACUUCUUUUCUUCAAUCUCCUCCUCAUCCUUCAGUCUACCAAGUUAUAACUCAUGUUCCCGUAACUUGCCAAACAAGGUAGCCAUAUUCAUAGUUGUAAGAUCUUUGGAUUCAGAGAUUGUAGUGACUUUUGGUUGCCAAUUCCUGUUCAAGCUUUUCAGAAUCUUAAUGUUGAUCUCUUCUUUGUCAAAGACUUUGCCAAGCGCCAUCAGGUGAUUUACAAUAUGAGUGAAUCGUUUCUGGACAUCAUAGAUGCUCUCACCAGCUUUCAUUCUGAACAAUUCAUACUCUUGUAUUAAAGAAUUCUUCCUGGCUCUCUUGACUUCAUCCGUGCCUUCAUGUGUUACCUCUAGAACAUCCCACAUUUCCUUUGCAGACUUGCAUUGGGAUAUCCUGAAAAAUUCAUCAAUUGUUAGUGCAGAGGCAAUAAUAUUUCUAGGUUUAACAUCAUACUGAGGUUUUCUAUUUUCAUCAGCAGUCCACUCAGUAAAAGGUUUCAAAACAGUUUCAUUAUCAACAGUUUUUGUAGGCACAUAUGGACCAUUCAAAGUGGCAUCCAAAAUUCCUUUAUCUUGCGAUUCAAGAAAGAUCUGCAUGCGAAUUUUCCAAAAAGGAUAAUUUUCACCAGCAAAUAGAGGUGGUCUGUUUGUUGAAGCACCUUCACCAAAAGUUUGAAAAUUUCAAGUCAUCCCCAGGUUUUACAAUUGAAUAGAAUAAAAAUAGAGUCGACUGAAUUUUCAAAUAUCUUAUGAAAACCAACUCCGAUACUAAUUGUUAGGAAACAGGUAGGCUUCGUUUUACACCAAGAGGGGGGGGGGGUGAAUUGGUGUUUGUUCAAAAACAAAAUCUUUUCGCAAUCUUGGUAUGAAAAUUCAAAGCUUUUGAUCUUUCUUUGAAAUGCAAGUAAUGAAAAUACAAUGCAGUGGAAAAACGCAGUUGACUGCUAAACUGAUAAAGUCAACUGGAAAAUAAAGAGUGCAGGGAUAGAGAAAAUCAAACACUGGUUUUUAUACUGGUUCGGCCAACAAUGCCUACAUCCAGUGUUCUUCCAACCCAGGAAGCAAAUGCACUAUAAUGGUUGNGNUUUUUACAACAAGGAAUUUAUAGAAGCACCACGCAAAAAUAUAAAUCUUCUCUCUAAUCCAAAACCAAAAUAUAGCUGCACAUACAAAAACCAAAAUUGCAGCAAGAAUCCCCUCUUUUGCAAUUUGCACCCACGUCGAACAAUCCUCAAUGUGUAACCAGCACUCUUCACAGGAUGACAAGCCUAUCACAGUAGACUUCACAGGUUUCCAAGCCUCUCACAACAGACUUCACAGGUUGCCAAGCCUCCAAUCAAAUGCAGCAGUCUUCACAAGAUGCCAAGCCUAUCAAGAUCAAACCAGAAGCACCUUUCUUGUGCAGAUGUUGAUCAAACAGUAUGCGCAAUUGACUCCUCCCUUUGAAUCUCUCUCAAGAAAGAUCACUACCGUCUUCUUGGAGAAUUCUUGGAGCUUCUAAAACAAAGAAUUCAAUUUGAAACAGGAUAAUGAAAAUGUCAGAUCACAAAAAUCUCACAGAACAAUUCGUGUCCUGUCUAUUUAUAGUUUUCUGUUAUAUCAGAUUGUAUCUCAGUCGAAUAGCCUACUAAUUCAGUCGACUGUAUUAAAACAAUUAUAACACACAGUCAACACAAUGGCUCCUUAGUCAACAAAAUCAACAAACAUUUAUGACAGUUGACCUGGUCAGUCAAUCUUAACUAACUUUUGAAAAAUAUAGUCGUUGGAGCGUGUAGGCUUAACAGAAUUCCAAACAUAACAGUAAUAUAGUCGAAUGUGUGUUCCACACUAUCGACUGACACAUGAAAAAUCAUUUUGAAAUUCUUUUCAACUCAAAAUCUCACACAAUAUAGGUUCACAAAGUCUGUACAAAGACUUUAGCAUAGUCGAAUCCAUUAUGAGUGUAUUCGACUGAACUAGAACUUUGUCACAACAAGUAUAAGUUCAUAAAGGUGCUUGUGAUAUUUUUUUUCUUCAGAAAUGUGCAUUUAAUAGAAAAACAUUUUAUGCCACAUUUCAAUACAAGCAUGUUCCACAAAUAUAACACAUCAAUCAAUCAUAGGAACAUACAUUGUAAUUCAACAAAACAUGUUCAGCAAAUAUGACAAUCAAUUGAACACGAACAUGUAAUACUGUAACGUGUGUAUUGUUAUUAAGCAUUGUGUUGUCAUCAUCAAAAACUAGUUUGAUAUAGAGUCUGUGUUGUCAACAAUCUCAACAGGAAUAUGUUAAUUAAGUUUGAGAAAAUUGUCUUCGUUGUUCAAAAGUGGACGAAGGUCUUGAUAUUUUUUGUUUGUCUUUUAUGUGUAAUAAACACAAUUAUAGUUUCAAUGUUGAUGACAAUGGGCUGAUGUCUUGUAACUGUUUCGUAUCUUUCUUCCAUUUCAAUGAAAAUCAGACUUGUGUGAUGUGUUUACGAGUAACGAAUUCAAUUGUUGUUAUGAAAUUUGAUAUGACUAAAGAAUGUUUUUUCCUUUAAUUUUAUAUGUUAUAAAGAGAGGUCUAUAUAUUGGUUUUAUAUGGUAUGGACUUAGCAAUUAGCUGCCAAACGCAUAACAAUCUGCUAGGUUGGGAUAAAUCUGAGAUCUAAAGCUGCGUAACAAUCUACUACCAUAUUAGUGAAACCUCUAUCACCCAGUAAUAAGACAUAUAUUGUUUUUGUCAUAAAAAAUAUAGAGUGAUAAGUGAUAAAAAAUAAAGAAAUAUAUAUGAUGUACAAGAAAUAUUUGUGGACCAAGAUGUACAACAAAUAUAACUGUUGUAUUUUCAUUCAUAACUGAUAACCAGUGAUAAACAAACCAAAUAUAACAAACUGUUGUCUUAUACAAAAAGAAACAAAAAGAUUUGACAAGCAUUACAAUUGUUCAAAAAUGACAAGCAUUACAAAAAGCUACAAUUGUUCACAUGGUGACAUUGUCUAAACAUUAAAAUUUUUCAUUUAUCCCCUUGAACUACAACUUCAUCCUGAUUUGAUGAUGACAUCAUUGGUUGAGUUGACAGGUUAGUUUCUUCUGUUUGGUGGGAGUUGACUGGAGGUGUCUGUGUUGAUUUGAUUCAAGAAGUCCUAUUGUGGCCCAGUUCCUUACAAAUGCCACAUCUUUUCUUUAAACCACCCUUCCUCAUUCUUCUGUCAUCCUUGACCAACUCCCAAUGCUUCAAUCUUCGCUUCUUCUUUGGUCUCCCAGGCAAUAUUCUUUUUGGUUAAGGGAGGACAUCAACAUAUGUGGCAAUCUCCCACAUCUUAUUACCAUUUAUUGGAUACACAAUUGAAGAGAAUAUUGCUUCAUAUGUUGACUUCCUAAAGCAACAUGUAAUGAACUCCUCUGCAACUAGAUUUAGGAAUUUCAUAGCAGCCAAGGAGUGGCAGCAUGGUAUGCCAGUGAUAGCCUACUUCCUUCAUGUACAAAAGUUUUCAUCUAAAUUCACUACAAACUUGUCACCAGCUUGGGACACAUGGUGAACUUCAAACAUCUUGUUUGCUGACCAGCUGUAAAGUGAAAACAAGAAACAUAUUUUAAUUAUAAACAAUUGACUAGCUGUAAUAAUAAUAAACAACUUCACAGUUUAACAUAAAUCACAUAAACAAUAUUACAUUUAGCUUACCUCAGAAUCCAAUAUUUAGUUAUUUGAGACUCCUUAUUUAGUCUAGUCUUGAUUUUAGGACAAAUCUCCCUAAACAAUGAUUAUAUUUUUGUCCUGUUAGUUGCCCAUCUCUUCAUCAAGUACAGGCGGAUCUCUUCCAACAUGCUUAUGAUUGGCUUAGACCUUGUAUGCACCAUUACACUAUUGAUAGCCUCUGACAUGUUGUUUACUAAAGUAUCACAUUGAGCUUUGCUGCUAAAUCUUGAUCGUGACCAGUACCUACAUUAGAUAAGGAUAAUCAAUAUUAGUGUUGAAAGCUGGGAGAUUUAAAAUUAACAAUAGAAGUUGAAAUACAAACCUAGGAGGGAUUUUUAACAAGUAUUUGAAAGCCUCGUCAUUAAGCUGUUUUAUAUUUCUCAUUUCUGAUUCCCAUGUUUGUGGAUGAGUUGUUGUAGCUGCCUUCAACAUCAAACGCUUUAGCUGUUUUCCAGGGAAUUUUUUUUUGAAAUUUGCAUACAGAUGCCUAACACAUAAACAUUGAUCAACUCCAAGGACCACUUCUUGUACAACUUGCAGUAGUCCCUGUUGAAUCAAAUUAUGACAAUGUUGUUAGAGAUAUCAUUUCAAUAUGAAUGUUAAUGAACAUAAUUAGGGAAAAGGUCAUGUGCAUUACCUUUUGUUGGUCCGACAUAAAUGUAAAUGAUGAACUUACUGCCUCCCCACCAAGAUCUUCAACGAGAAGUUCAAGGAACCAUUUCCAAGUAUCCUUGUUCUCUACUUCCACCAUAGCAUACGCAAGAGGUAGCAUUUGGUCAUUUGCGUCUCUACCAACAACACUUAACAAUUCACCACCAUAUUUUCCUUUCAAAAAAGCACCAUUCAGCUCAAUAAUUGGCUUGCAGGAUACAAAACUAUCCUUGCAGACCUUCAGACAAGUAUAAAACCUCCUAAAAAUGUGUCCAUUCUCAUUCUCUUCAACUUUAACCUUCAUUGUGGAUCCUGGAUUACGAGCUCGGAGCUCAUUCGCAUAAUCAUAUAUCCUUGUAUAUUGCUCUUUGAAAGACCCAUCAACAUGGUCUGAAGCAAUGGUUUGUGCCCUAUAAGCCAUGCAUCUAAAUACACAUACAUUCCAUUUUCUAUUUAUCUUUUCACGAAUUUCCACUCCCUUUACUUUGGGAUUUUUUCUAACAGUUUUUUCCAAUCUCUUACUCAGCCAUUUUGCAUUAAGUAUUCUUAGUUUGUGCUCUCUACUACAAUUGUGGUUGUUGUUAAGACUCCAGCAAGUGUAUGAAUCGUAUCAAGUAAUGUAAAUGGUAAGACCAAGUAUCGUUUUCCCUAGAGACUCAUUGGCCUAAAUAGUCAUGUGAUUUGUUGAUUAUUUAAAACUUGAGAAUGAAAAUUAGGUUUAGAAUGCAAGAUAGAAAAUAAACAUGAAUGCAAUUGUUGAUCAAUUUGACCUAAAGAAUACAUAGGUGAAUGGUUGAUUAAAAUAUGGAAUGUUGUUGUUGUUGGGGUUUCUGACUUAUCCAAUCCACUCUCAUGUAUUUACGAAUUCGACUUCUUCAUUAAUGUUAAUGCCACUUUCUAAUUUACCCUAAACCCGAUGUCUCGGUGAAGAGAGCUUACUCUUAAUUACUAGUUUAUAAUGUCUUGUCUCCCUAGCAAUUAAUUAUGCAUACAUUCGCACAGAAGCUUAAAUGCAACCAAUCCUCCUAUCCCUAUGUCUAGGUAAUAUUGCUCUUGGGAGAAUUUCAUCAAUUCUAGAUUUUCCCGUAUGUGUCCAUAUCAAGAAAAUCAAUGAUCAUGCAAUUGAAUGAGUUAAACAAAGCAUGCAUAUAGUGUAGAGGAAAAACCCUAACAAUUAAUGAAGUAAAGCAUCUGUAAUAUAAAUCAAUUCAAUACAUGAUAGUGUUUCUGCAUUUCUUUCUGUCAAAAGAUAGACCCUGUAGGUCGACUAAAUCCUUAUAUAGUUUAUAAAAAUAACAAAAAACUGGCCCAGGCCCACGAUAACAGCGCUCAGCGUUAAAAUCACGCUCAGUGGUAGGUGCGACACUUUAGAAUAACGCUCAACGUUGGCGCUUAGGUGCGAAACAGUGAACUUCAUCAGCAAGACUGGCGCUCAGCGGCAAAGUAACGCUUAACGGUAGGUGUGACACUUGGAUUUUGCCCUCAGCGAUGACGUUCAGGCGUCAAACAAAGAUCUCCAUACCAAACGUGGCGCUCAACGGUGAAACUGGCGUUGAGCGGUGGUUGCGGUUCUUCUUUUAUGCUAUUUCUCAGCUUUUCCUGAGUCCAACUCCUUGCUACUUCAACUUCUUUCAUCCAAUUCUUCUUAAUUCCUGUCAAAACAAGGAAAACCAAGCAUAAAACCAAUAAUAUCACCUUCAACUCUCUUAUUCUCUCAACUAAAGCAAAAACAUGAUUUCAAGCUAGUUUCUAAGUCAUAAAGGGUGUUUUUAGUAUCAAAAUUAAGUAUAAAAAUAACGGUAUUUCAACUGUUAUCAGUUGUCAACAAUAGUCCUUAAUUGCCACGUAUGAAUGGCUUCCAUAUAAGCACAAUAUGCCAUCCAAGGGCACUCUCCUUUUUAGGCACCCAUACAUUUUAGCCUAAUUCUCUUCUUAUCAUUUUUAAAAUAUUUAAUAUUUCUGCCAUUUUCUACUGUAUAUGUUUUGAUGGCAUCAACAAAGUCUUGCUUGUCAGCAAAAUAAGUUUGCAGAUCCCAUUUAUAAUCUACCAUUGUCUUAGGCAUAGAGAAUGUUACAAACUUCCCAUAACCCUCCUCUUCAUCAUCUUGUCCAUCACUUUCUGCUCCACUGUCUAAUUCAUCGGAUUGCCAUUCAUCAUUGGACAAACCUCUAUCAUCAUCACUAUUUAUUCCAUCAUCAACAUCACUAUCAUCAGAUUGCACAUCAACUUGGUCAUUACCAAACAAAUCUGCAACUCCAUCUCCUACCUCCUCUUUUAUAUCACACUCAAUAUUUACAUCAACCAAACCUUCCAUAGAAUCAUAAUUAACCUCAUCAUUGCAAUCAUCAUCACCACUAGAACUCCAACUACGAACAUCACCAGCAUCCUCUUCAACCUCACCCACAACAACCUGUGUUUCAAUAACACCUUCAACAACAUCAUCACCCUCAACUCUUUCUUCUGAAACAACAACAAUUUCGGUCAUUCCAUCACAUUGACCUCUCCCACCUUCCUCUUUACGUUGACCCUCAACCAUACCCCCUUAUUGCUCUUCACGUUCACCCUCAACCAUACCCCCACCUUCCUCUUCACGUUGACCCUCAACCAUACCCCCUCCUUCCUCUUCACGUUCACCCUCAACCANNNNNNNNNNNNNNNNNNNNNNNNNNNNNNNNNNNNNNNNNNNNNNNNNNNNNNNNNNNNNNNNNNNNNNNNNNNNNNNNNNNNNNNNNNNNNNNNNNNNNNNNNNNNNNNNNNNNNNNNNNNNNNNNNNNNNNNNNNNNNNNNNNNNNNNNNNNNNNNNNNNNNNNNNNNNNNNNNNNNNNNNNNNNNNNNNNNNNNNNNNNNNNNNNNNNNNNNNNNNNNNNNNNNNNNNNNNNNNNNNNNNNNNNNNNNNNNNNNNNNNNNNNNNNNNNNNNNNNNNNNNNNNNNNNNNNNNNNNNNNNNNNNNNNNNNNNNNNNNNNNNNNNNNNNNNNNNNNNNNNNNNNNNNNNNNNNNNNNNNNNNNNNNNNNNNNNNNNNNNNNNNNNNNNNNNNNNNNNNNNNNNNNNNNNNNNNNNNNNNNNNNNNNNNNNNNNNNNNNNNNNNNNNNNNNNNNNNNNNNNNNNNNNNNNNNNNNNNNNNNNNNNNNNNNNNNNNNNNNNUAGUAGACCAGAUAUUAUGCAGAGUGUUUGUGUAUGUGCUAGAUACCAAGCUAAUCCUAAAGAAUCUCAUUUGACUGUUGUUAAGAGAAUUCUAAAAUAUCUUAAGGGAACUACUUCCUUUGGACUUUGGUAUCCCUCUGAUGCCUCACCUAGUUUAAUAGGUUACUCUGAUGCAGAUUAUGGUGGUUGUAAAAUUGAUAGAAAAAGUACUAGUGGAACCUGUCAUUUCUUGGGUUGUUCUUUAGUGUCAUGGCACUCAAAGAAACAAGCAUGUGUAGCUUUGUCUACCACUGAAGCUGAAUAUAUUACAGCUGGAAACUGUUGUGCCCAAAUUUUGUGGAUGAAACAACAACUGGAAGACUUUUAUAUCUUCCUUGACAAUAUUCCUUUAAAAUGUGAUAAUACUAGUGCUAUAAAUCUAACCAAGAACCCCAUAAUGCAUUCAAGAACUAAGCACAUAGAAAUUAGGCACCAUUUCUUAAGAGAUCAUAUUCAAAAGGGGGAUUGUCAAAUUGAAUAUGUUGAUACCUUGCAUCAAUUAGAUGAUAUUUUCACCAAGGCUCUACCUAAAGAUAGAUUUUUUGAGCUUAGAAGAGAGUUAGGAGUGUUAGACAUGUCUAAGGAUCAAAGUCUAUGCAAUUUUUUGCAUUUUCGUAAACUUAACGCUUCAUAAUCGAUUAUCACAAGGUCAUAAUCGAUUAUUCAAUCAUAAAACUCAAAACUGGAAAAUUUUGAGCAGAUAAUCGAUUAUCAUCAGCCAUAAUCGAUUAUCGCGCUGUCAGUUUCAAAAAUAGAGUCGUUGGAGCGUCCAAUAACGGCUAUAAACGACUAGUUUUUCCAUUUUUCUUAUAAAUAGCCCCCCAUAAUCGAUUAUUAGACACCUCUUUGCACCCAAAUACUGCUGAAAUCAAAUCCAGAGCUCAAAAUCUCUUCAUUUCUCUUCACCUUCUUUAAAUUUCAUUUUCUCAAUCUUCAUCCAUGGCUGAACCAAGAAGGCAUCGUCGCAAGACAGUUGGAGCUUCCUCUUCUUCUCAACCACGUCUUGCAAACAUAGAUGGAUGGGUUUCAGAUCAAGGGAAACAUGCAGACUUUGUAAACUCUUGGCAGGAAAGGAAAAUCAUGGCGGUAAAGUAUAUCCGUCUUGACUUUUUAUGAUUCUAUGGCUUUCAAUUUCCAAACAUUUUUGCUGAGCAGGGACUAACGCAUCUGGUAGAGCAAAAAGGAUGCAUUUAUCCCGAUCUUAUAAGAGUCUUCUACUUCAACUUGCGCUAUCGGGAUGGGAUAAUAUCCACUAAGGUUAAGGGUGUACGCAUCAUUUUAGAUGAUGACGUGUGGACCAAUGUUGCUCAACUUCCCAUCUGGGAUGAUGCUGUCAAAGUUCACUUAGGACUUGAAAAUUUCAACAAGAUGAUGACUUUCCAAUCCUUCCUGCGUCAUCCUGAACGGCAAACAAAUAGAAGGCAAUUACUAGUUGGAGGUUUCAAAGUUGAAGAAAGGAUGAUCCACUACUUGAUUGUUUGGAUUUUAUGUCCUAGAGCAACCAACCAUGCUCAAUGCUCUGAGCAGGAUCUACUUCUUUUGUAUGGGAUUCUAAAUCACAUACACAUCAACUGGCCUGCUCUCAUUGCUGACACAAUGGUAAAAGCCAAAAAAUCUCAUUCAUAUCAAUUUCCCUAUGCUCUUCUUAUUUCUAGGAUUUUAGAAUACAAAGGUGUAACUGUUGAAGGAGAACUAGUUCAAGCUAUUGAAGCUGUGGGAUCAGAAAUUGGAGAUACUACCUUUCGUCAGAUGGGAUUCAUUACUAGAGGAAGAGUUCUUAUUCACAAAGAUGAUGAUCAUCCUGAUGAAGAUGAAGAUGAUGACAUAGACACUCAUAUGGCUGACCCAGUGAGUGUUGCUGCUCCAUCUGAUGCUGGACCAUCUAACAUACCUUCCUCUUCCUCAACUUCUAUGGAAGAACACUUUGCAAGGUUAUCUAAGCAAUUGGAGGAUAUGAGUCUAGCACAGAAGACACAUUUUGAUGACGUUUAUGAGUGGCAGCAAUCUCUUGAUGAAUACAUGGUUGAUCAAUUCCUUGAGCUUGAUGUUCGCCUAUCUAACAUUGAGAGUCAUCUCAAUAUCCCACCUACUGAAAGAUCCCAUAGUCCUGAAUUCUAGAUUUUAGGCCACUAAGAUUGUUUGUUAUGUUAUUUUCUUUGUGGUAUUUAGAAUUGAUCUUUAUGAAUUUCAUGUAAUUUCCUUUCUGUUCUUAAUAUAAUGAGCUUUUAUGUCAAUUUUAUGCAUAUAUUAUAUAAUUGAGGGGGAGCUCAUAUUAAGGGGGAGAUUUUUACAUUAUUCUUUUUUGCUUAUGAUCAAAAAGGGGGAGAAGAAAUAUAAGGGGAGAAUUAAGGGGAGAAAUAUAUUACAGGUAUUGCUAACUUUGUGUUUGUCUAUUAGCUUGUAUGUGUUGCAGGUAAACCAGAGUUGCUUUUAAAAAGAGAAUUUUUUAUCAUCAUCAAAAAGGGGGAGAUUGUUACCAAUAAGGAGUAUUGGUAAAACCUGAAGAUGUAUUUUGAUGAUGCUGCAACUUGUAGAUUUUGAAUGUAGUAGGAAAAUAUUAAACCUUGUAAUUUUUACUGGAAUAAUCAAUUAUGGACAAGCUAUAAUCGAUUAUCACAUGCUUUUUGUACUAGAAUAAUCGAUUAUCAUGAAGCAAUAAUCGAUUAUCAGAAGUCAUACUUGAAUAAUCGAUUAUCACUUAAAAUAAUCGAUUAUCACUUUUUGAAAACUCUGUAACGAACACGAAUAAUCGAUUAUCACUUACAAUAAUCGAUUAUUCAUGGCAAUUGGGAGCUUACCUUUGGCAUUCAGAGUACUUGGCUAUAUAUUUGUUUUUUGAAAUCUUCAGAAGCAACGUUUUAAACUGAGAAAGCUAAUUAGAACACUGUGUGUCAGAGUGAAGUUCUCAGAAAGCUUUUGUUCAUUGUUCCCUUGCUUGGUCUUGUGAAAGGAGAGGCUCGCAUAUCGUGUGUCGAUAAUCGGAGCAGACUCUCUUCAAGUUAGCAAGGUGCUCUGCGUGGUCUUGUGAAAGGAGAAGCUCGCGAAUCGUUGGUUGAUUGCCGUAGCGGUUCUCUUCAAGUUGGUAGAGUGGUUUUCUUCGUUUUAUAUUUUGUUCAUUUGAUUGUAAUCUGCAAAAUUGUUUUUAGUGGAACUGUUAANNNNNNNNNNNNNNNNNNNNNNNNNNNNNNNNNNNNNNNNNNNNNNNNNNNNNNNNNNNNNNNNNNNNNNNNNNNNNNNNNNNNNNNNNNNNNNNNNNNNNNNNNNNNNNNNNNNNNNNNNNNNNNNNNNNNNNNNNNNNNNNNNNNNNNNNNNNNNNNNNNNNNNNNNNNNNNNNNNNNNNNNNNNNNNNNNNNNNNNNNNNNNNNNNNNNNNNNNNNNNNNNNNNNNNNNNNNNNNNNNNNNNNNNNNNNNNNNNNNNNNNNNNNNNNNNNNNNNNNNNNNNNNNNNNNNNNNNNNNNNNNNNNNNNNNNNNNNNNNNNNNNNNNNNNNNNNNNNNNNNNNNNNNNNNNNNNNNNNNNNNNNNNNNNNNNNNNNNNNNNNNNNNNNNNNNNNNNNNNNNNNNNNNNNNNNNNNNNNNNNNNNNNNNNNNNNNNNNNNNNNNNNNNNNNNNNNNNNNNNNNNNNNNNNNNNNNNNNNNNNNNNNNNNNNNNNNNNNNNNAAGUUUUAUUCCGCUGCGUUAUACUCUUCGAAAAAUACCCCCUCCGAUACCAACAAGUUUCACUGUAGAAGUCUUUCAAAAACUUUUUGAAUAUAAGAAUGCUAUGCACCUAGAAACCAAACGAAGGUUUAUCUAUAUGAUAGCGCACCUAGGUAUCACGGAGACGUAAAACAGAAAUAACAACAAGCAAAAUUAAAGAAAGAAUGCAAAUGAAAAGGAAGAAGGAGGCAUGACCCUAAGUGAAAAUGCAAGUGACACUUAGAGCCACUUGACACACUUUCACCCAAAGAUGCGCAACUAAACUAUUACAAUGUUUAAUGGAGGACUUGGAAUUGCUUGGAAAUAAUUUUCCCAAGUCACACAAGUUUCAAAAAGGAAAAACAAUUAACAACAAAGGUUUCGUGAUACUAAGCCAAUAGUACAAGUAAAAGUGUUUGCAAAUAAACAACCAAGUGUGGCUGAUGUUUCAUAUUGCUGGAAUGCCAAAUUUUUUGGUAUGUUUUGCUACUGAAAAAAGGGCUGGAACAACAAUGUUCAAGUUCUCUUGGAGUCCAAGCUUGUGGCAACUUUAACAAGUCUUCCACUCCUUAAGAUGCUACCCCUUUGGAGAAACAAUCUAGAUAGUUAAAACUGCACCAUAAUGUCACAACAAGCCAAACAAACCAGUAAACACAGUUAGCACAAAACACGUUACUACAUCAGUUUUUCUUUCCAAACCAGGUUGCACUUUGGCAUUUUAGCAAACAGGUUGUGUACAAAAUUUCCAAACAAUGUAAAUCAAGAAAUUAAGGGCUGGAAAGGCAGGAUGGCACACAAAAGGAACAUAUGAUAUGCUUUAGAGUAGAUCAAUAAAACAAUUAAACGAAAACAAGCUGCAAUGGUGUCGAAAUCGAACUCAAUACAAAGUGGACAAAUCUGUUUGACAAAAUGCCCCAAAGGGAAACCAGAUUUGUGUCUAAAAAUUUCUGAUGUUGCUGAUGCAGAUUUGUUUAAAAUGGAUUGUACUGGUCUAGUUGAUUUUUAAAAAUGUGGUUAAUGAUAUUUUGAGGUAUAAUGCAAUAUUUGUGGUACCAAGUUAUUUCUACAAUCCAUACACAAUUGUGAAAUGCACAAAUCAAAUUCAAAACUUUUGCAGCAGCUGAUUUCUAGAGAAAAUAGGCUUAAAAUGGCUUAUUUGAGAGGCAUUUUUGUACAGAGAAAUUUAGACACCUAAUUUGAUGGUUGGAGCAACUUUGUAUCAAUAAUUUGAAGGUGUUCAAACAGUCAAACAGCCAAGAAACACACUAUAGCAGAAAUUGACUAGUUCACUUCCAAAUUAAAGCAAAUUUGAUGGUUUAGGAAGUGAUUUUGCACAUCGACUUAAAAUGGACCAAAUGAACAGUGCAUACAUGUUUCAAAUGGUAAAAUACAAUUACACAAAUGUUCACAAUGCACUGAAAUGAACAGAUUUGACAAAACACCUCUACUGUAGCCAAUUAUGCAACACUUUUUACACAAAAUUUGCACUAGAACAAGGGUGACAAUAGUAACUACAGUAGUCAAAAUGAAUUGCAGUGUACUCAAGGCUUAAAGGAUACUUCAAACAGGUUUAUAUUAUCAAAUGGAAUGUGUGCAAACUGUGAAACAAUGAAGACAAAGUCCAGUUCAAAAUUUCACUGGUUCACUUCCCAAAUUUGACAAAAGUUGGCUGUUUCAAAUGUGAAGUUGCACCAAACGCCGAAAAAUUACAAAUUCAACAGUUCACACAAGUUUGUACUGAGCAGAUACACUUAUACAAAUGUUCAAAUAGUACAAAUAGACACAAAUUUCCCAAAUGACAAUAGCAAUUGCUUAAAAUGUAUAAAAAUAAAGUUAAAUUACAGUAGAAUGAAAAUUUCAGUAGAGUCAAUGUUGGCUAGUUCAAUCAAAUGCAGAGGAAUUAUCCUAAUCAACUAGAUCUAGUUGCAGAUGAUCAACUAGGAGAUAUUAAGUGACCUCAGAUUCAACAAUGACAAAAGCACGGUGCAAAACUUGUGGACAACGUUUGACAAUUUCUGAAAACUUGAAAGUAAUCAACUCAAUCAUUCAUUUGGCAAAUUUGUGAUUCAUAUGAGUUAUGAUACUUCUAGCAAUGCUUAACAACACUAAAGAAACUUGUUCAAAGCUUUAAAAUCCAGAAAUCUGAACAGAAACAGAUUAUAGCAAAUCAAACUAGAAAAUGAUUAUUCUGCAAAAUUUGGAUUGGAAAAAUCAAUGUGCACUGGUGUAAGCUCAAAUGAUCAAAGUUGGACAUGAUGUCAUUGCUUAUACGAUCAACAUAUAGCUUGCAACAAACUGGACACACUUAAAAACUGAAAAAUUAAAGUUGGAGUGGAUUGAAACCAGUGAAACACGACAAUCACUUGCACAUGAUCGAACAAAAUUGGAAAAUGAAAAUUAAAAGCUUAAAUGACGAAAACCAAUGAACUGCACCGAUUAAAAUAAUAAAGAAACAGUAAGGAACAGUGAAAGAAAGCAAUUAUCCACUCAAACACAAAAUCAAACCAGGAAAUGUAAUGGAACAGUGAAAACAAUGAACAAAACAACACGAAAGAAAGAAAAAUUGAAAGAAAUAAUACUUAGCUCUUGAAGCAUGGUGUGGAUUCAACUGGCUCUAGAUGUCAAAUGAUGGAAGCGACCUCCACCUUCAAGAAUGGAGUGGCUCCUUGAUUCAGAAGUGGCAGCGGAAUGAAGAAUGGAUUGGAGAUGUUCUGUGAUUGCAAGGUGUUUGUGGUAAUGUGUGACUAUGUUUGGAUGUGGUGUGAAGUGAAGUUCUAACUCAGAAAGCUUUCCUAAGGGGAAAUGAGCUAGAGGGAGAGCAAGCUAAAGAGGCUCUAAGUUUGAACUCGAGAGAAUGGAUGGAUUUUGGCAGCAUUUCAUUAUCAUACUCAAGUUAUUUAUACAAGAGAUCAAGCUUCUUUUUUAUAGAUGGAGAAGAGUAAUGAGUCGUGUAGAGGAAGCUACGGGAAUGUGCAAAUACAUGUGUUGAAAAUGCAUAUCCCACGUGGAUUUCAAGCUCUAUGCCAAACACUUUUAUCACGUGUUUAAUGAGUUAAAUGCUGACUUUGAUAUGGCUAAGCGAAGAAGGGUUUUGGUUGGGCACCCUUCUUUUCCUUUGAUAUUUCAAGGCAUCUUUUCAUUCAUCUUUAGCAUUCUUGUUGAAUUCUGUGUGCCUUCCUUUGCUUGGCCAUCUUUGGCAAGGUUUUCCUCCUUUAUUUGGUGAUCUACAAAACAAAAUAAAUGUAUCUUAGGUAAAGAGAAUCAUGCUAAGACUUAGAUAAGGAAAGAGUUUUGGAAAUCUUUAUUUUACUUCCCUUUUUUUAGUCUUAGUUGUAGUUGAUACUUCUUUGGAUAGGAAGUCCCUAAAGGGGUUGCCAUCAGUUAGGUUUAAAAAAAUGAAAUUUUUUAAUACGGACCAAUUUUCAACCUAGCUCACUUAGAAUCCAGCUUACUCGGGUUGAACUCGAGGUGAGUCGGGUUGAUUCACCAACCCACCUAAUUUAAUUUAAUUAUCUAUUAUUUUGUGUUUUAAUAUUAUUAGUUAACAUUUUUUUAUUGUAUUGUAAAUGGGAAUAAAGAAAAAAAUGUUUUAAGAGUGCAAAAUAUUAUAAAUUUACCCAUUAAGAUUCUAAUCUUAUAACUAGAUAAGUGAUACAAAAAUUAUCAAUAUCGUAAACUUACUAUUCGCUUUUUGGGUUUGCUUUUUUAUUAUAUUUAAAUUCUAUUAAUUUUUUUAAUUGUCUUUGGAAUUUAACAUCAUUUUAGAGUGAAAUUACUUAAAUUUAAAUAAAAAAAAAUUAUUUAGAAAAAAACUUGUAAUUAAGUGAAUUAGUAAGUCAAUCCCUUUAACUCACCAACCCAUGAUAGACUAGACUAUAUUGGGUCAAGUGGUCUGUUUUGACAGCUUUCAAAAUCUAAUUUAAAAAAUCAACGAAUUCCAAAAUCUAAUUUACGAAACCAUCCAAUUUUAAAAUCGAAUUUAAGAAAUGACCUAAUUUAAAAUCCAAUUAAAAAAUCACUAAAUUUCGAAAUCAAUUUUAAAGACUUAUUGAAUUUCAAAACCGAUUUAAGAACUUACCAAAUUUUGAAAUACAUUACUUAUUUAUCUCAUAUUUUAAAACCAUAUUUAUUUACACUAUUUGAUACAUUUUUGCUUCAAUGUUAACUGAGAAACGCAUUUGAAACAACAAAUAAAGUUAAAAAAAUUUGAUAAAAAUUGACUAAAACCAGAGUUUUCUAAAGUUGAAGGAUUAAAUUGUACCUUAGUUUGAAAGAGGGACUAAAACCAAAAUCUCCCCAAAAUAUAGGGACUAAAAACAUAUUUAACCCUUAAUAAUAUCAUAGUUUAUAUAAUACUAUUAAUCAUAUUAUAACACAAUAUAAUAAUAUUAAUGAUAUAAUUUUGCAUGAUUAAUUAUUUAUCAAUUUUUAGUAUUUUUAUUUAUUAUAAUCAAAUUCAUUCGCGAAAACAAAUUGUAUGCUUUAAAUAAUUAAUUUAAUUUAUGAUAUUCCUUCAUACUCAUUAAUAAUAAUUUAUCUAGUUCCAAAUUAAUAAUAAGUUGUUGUAUGGUAUUGUCUAGAGCCGUCAAAAUGGGCCACAACCCGCGAGCCAACCCGGCCCGUCACGGGUUCGGGCCGGGUUGGGUUUGAAAAAUACAACCCACUUUUAUGCGGGUCAGAUUUCAACCUGGCUCAUUUAGACCUGGCUCAUGCGGGUUGAAGCCGUGGUGAGCCGGGUUGGCCCACCAACCCAUCUAUCUAAUUUUAUUUUUUUAAUUUAUUAUUUUAUUUAUGAAAUACUAAAAAAAUAAAAUACUUUCUUCACUCACUGUGUAUACCAAAAAAGUAACCUCUGCUCUCACAAAUCACUCUCAUGGUACUUGCUUUCAUUUGACGGUGCUCUCACCCUCACUUCACUAAAAUUCUUCUAGGAGCAGGUAAAACGCCCUUCCUUUUUUCUUCUCUUUUCUCCACAUUUUUGUUUUCUCACUUCUCUUUCUUUUUUUUUUUNNNNNNNNNNNNNNNNNNNNNNNNNNNNNNNNNNNNNNNNNNNNNNNNNNNNNNNNNNNNNNNNNNNNNNNNNNNNNNNNNNNNNNNNNNNNNNNNNNNNNNNNNNNNNNNNNNNNNNNNNNNNNNNNNNNNNNNNNNNNUUUUUUUUACUAAUAUUUUUUUAUUGAUUGUCGGAAUUGUUCUGAUAUUAGGAAAAUCUUUAUUAGUGAAUUUGGAGACAACAAGAACAAGGGUCAAGGGUUACAACAAGAACAAAAAAUGAUGAAUAUAAGAAACUUAUUUGUAUGAUUUUUGUGUUUGUUUCUGAAUAAUAUUUGGAUUAUAUUGUACUUUUUAUUAUUAUUUUGAAUUCUCUUUAACAUAAUUUGUUGGGAGUGAAAAUUGUUUAAAUUUAAAUUACAGAAAGUUUGUAUUUUUUAUUAUUUUAAAAAAAAUGUAAUUAAAUGAGCUAGUGAGCCAGCCCGUUUACCCACCAACCCAUGGUGGGUCGGGCCGGGUUCAAGUUUUUCUGACUCGCUAAUAAAUGAGCCGGGUUGGGUUGGCUCACUAAGUGACUAACCCGUGGUGGGCCAGGCCGGGUCAAGCCGGGUUACCCGUUUUAACAGCUCUAAUAUUGUGAAACGUAAUGUUUCCAACAACUUAUUAUAAGUUUAGAUAAUAAUAUAAAAUUAGAGUUCAUACUUUUAUUAAGUUUCAAGUAAUUUGUGGUUCAAUUUUUUUUAACUUAUUUUAAUUUUUAUAAACACUAAUUAAAUUUAUUUCGAUAAUUAAUAGGUCAGAAAUUUUCCCAUGUAUACAAUACAUAGAUUAAUAUAUUUACAAUUCAACAGUAUUAUUUAAAUAAUGGAUUACAUUGGAGCCAUUCGAUUCCUUAUCUAUAUUAUAAAUAGAAACCCGUUUAAAAAUUUUAUAUUUAAUAAGUUUAAAUUUUAAUAACUAAUAUUAAUAAAUAUUAUAUUUAAUUAUAAAAUGAUAAAAAAUGAAUACAAAUAUUUAUUGUUAUAUUUAUUUAGUAGUACUUAAUUUGAUUCUUCUGAAAAUAAAACAUAAUAAAUACAAAUAAUAAUGAAGCAUAACUAAGUUUUUGAAGAAAAUUAAAACUGGAUACAUACUAUAGUUGGAAAUUUGAUUUAGAUCUCCUCCAGUUUUGAAACCUAUUAUUUAUUUAUCAUUAAUUUUCAAAUUUUUAAUUUUUUUCUUGGAUUUCAAAAUUUGAUAUUUAUUUCUCUUCAAUUUUAAAAUUGUUAACUGUGACAUCCCAAAAUAUAUAACAAUGUAUAUAUAUAUAGAAUGCAAAUUAUAAUAAUAGAAAGCAGUAAGAGUAGUAGAUGAGAGUAUAUAAGCUACAAUCAUCCAAAAUUGAGAGGAAAUUUAAAACUUUACAAACAUAAAGUCUUUCAAAAUAUAGGAAAUAUGUAAACUAGAUCCUAAAAGCUAGGGGCUGCCUCAUCUCCCUCUAGAGCUUGCUCCAACGGAACAUCAUUUGCCUCUGCUCACACCCAAAGUUGGAUGAUCAUCGCAAAAAGAGAAAACCAUACACAUGCAAAACACAAACAAACAGUGCAAGGGUAAGCUAGGUUACAAAAUAUGCAAGUUAAUAUUUAGAAUUUAAAUGAAGUAUCGCGAGAAAUCAAGAAAUCAAUCAAAACAGCCUAUCAUGGUAAGACAAUAACUAUACUCGUCCGGACUUAGAAUGUAUGUAGAGUUGGGGCAGGUUGUGCACUUGUGGUGGCCUCUACUGCUUUGCAAAGCCAUUGUCGAGGGGUUUCACCCGACCACACACAAGGUUAGUCCGUUACCGCGGAAUAGACCUCCAGUGAUAGCGCCUACCUUAGGACCUCCCACUACUCUCACCACACGCGUCAAUCCUCUCUAAGUGAGAAUGAAAGACCGUUAGAGUGUUAGGGAUAACCCCCCAUAUGGAAGCCUCUUACAUUCAUUCUAACACUAAAUGAUCUCACCUGGAGAUCUUACUUUGAUUCCCAAGAUUUUUCCAUAUUCAUCAAGUUAUACUCUUCUUUGAAUUCCCAACACAACAUAUUACAAUUAUAUAAGCAUCUACCAUAUCAUUCCAAACUAUAACCAAAAACAUAUAUCCUUAAUCAAACAAGCAAAAGAAGGAAUGAAUCAAAACAGGGUGUUCCACAACUAGGCUGUAAAAGUUUCCACACUCUGUGGAUUUAGCUUGAGAAAACUGAAGGCAAAACAGAAAGCUCAACAGGUGAGUUGUGGUUUUUACCACAGGAAUUUGCAGAAUGGGGAUUUCUCCAUAGGUUGUGAUGUUUUCCAGAAACAGUUUCUAAUUUCUUCUAUGACUAAUUUAAAGAGAUCAAGAUUAAAUAAAAAUUGAAGGAAGUUACGUAGAGGGAAUAACCACUCUCUAAAAAAAAUUGAUGCAAAAUGAGGAGAAAAUUUCUAGAAGGAUUUCUAGGAGGAUUUAUAGGAGAAGAUUUUGAAAACGUAAUUGGAUAUAUAGGAUUAAAAACGUAUCAAAAAGGGAACACACAUAAACAUGGAGACGGCUUCAACGCUUUUUCUUCUUCUUCUUCUUUUGGUUUCCAACCAACAAUUCAAUAUCAACAUAACAUUGAAUCCAAACAGUUCAUCAACAUCAAUUUUGCAGUUAAUACCAAAACAACCAACAACCUUUGAUUCAAUUAGGAAAAUUCACAAAUUUCAUAUUAACUAAAAUUGAAGUUCAACAUAGCAUAUUCACAUGCAAUCUAUCACAGUUCUUACUAAAUCAAAAUCAUAAAAGUCUAAGAAUUUCACAUAAUAGCACAAACACCCUAGCUUCCCUUACCUUUGAUUCCCGCAGCUAAACUCAAGAGGACCCUAAACGCACCUUGAUGCUUCCAGAAUCGCUAUAUUCACCUAUAAAUCACCAUUUGGUGAUAGAAUUCAAAUUCAAAAGUUUUAAUUGAAACUAGAAUUGGAAAAGAGACACAAUGGGCUACAUGCAACAAACUCAUUACAUGAUUAUAGCCCUAAAUUGCACAGAAAAGGGGAAAACACUUACUAGUUGAAAACGAAAAUUCAAUCGGUUGAAGUUGGAGUUUACGGCGUCCAGAUUCCUUAAACUUUCUCAAACUGUGAAAUGGUUGCUUCAGUAGAGAAUGGACCUAGAGAGAAGGUGGAGAAAGUUGAAGAAGGGAACGUUAGAGAGAGAAAAGUGUUUUUGAGUUAUGCACCAGAUACGUUUUCCUUUUUGCCUCCAAUUAAGUGCCUAAUAUAUUUUUAAUUAUUAAAAAAAUUGGUUUAUCCCCCAAAGACCCUCAUCAGCCCCCUCUUUUAACUUAUUCCAGGUUAUUACAUUCUCCCCAACAACAAAAUUUUCGUCCCCGAAAAUUAAGACUUACCAGAGAACAGGUGAGGGUAAUACUUCUUCAUCUCUUCCUCUAAUUCCCAAGUGGAAUCGCCCGUCUUGUUGUCCCAAAUGACCUUGACAAGUCUAGUAGUUUUCCCGUCGAGUCGUUUGGUCAUCCUAUCAUCCACUCUGAUUGGCUGCAUCUCUAUGGAAAUAUCCUCCUUGACUUGCACAGUGUUAGCUUCUGGUAUGUGUGAAGGGUCAGGGACAUAUUUCCUCAGUUGAGAAACAUAAAAGACUGGGUGGAGGUGAUAAAAUGGUGGAAAAAUUAGUUAACUGUUUAGGGGAGAGUAUAAAUAAUUGAUUAAUGAUUUCGAAAGAGGAGUAUUUAGGUAUUAUCGGUUUAGGGUAGAGACUAGACUGCUUGGUCAGUAAAGUAAAGAGGCUUUAUAGGAAUCAUUUACUAGAGUUUUCUUCUUAAUUUACCAUACCGGUGAGAUAAGAUAUCUAUAUAUAUAUAUAUAGAGUUGACGAUUUAGAUUUCCUGAAUGAAGAAACCUAAAGAAAAUACUUCACCUCUGACCCCUAAAUGAUUUAAUACACACACCCAAACACAUACUAAAGCAGAGAGCAUGGACUGAAAAAGUAAAAGUAAAGGAACGAAAUUUUCAUGGCAAAAUAACAUUCCCAGAAACUCUAGAACACUUUUUUUUUUUUUUCCACAUUGCUUGUAAGUAUAAUUUAAAAUAACAAUAUAUAUUUGAAUUAUUAGAAGGUAGAAAAUUAUGCUGCCAAACCCAAAACUACUUGUCAUUAACUUAUGUCUUAUUUGAUGUUGUUUGAACUUAUUUAGUAGUAAUGAACCAGCAGACUUGUUGUUUUAUUAUUGAGAUUUACAGUUUUGCAUUAUUAUCGAAUUACAAUAUUUGAUCAUUAUGUUAUUUAUAUGUAUUUUAAUAAUUUUUUUUUAUAUGAAAUCUUAUGAGAAGAGUUAACGGACCUCUCAUAAUUUUUCGUAAAUUCUCUAGUUUGAUAACAUUAGUGAGCCUCCACUGCAAAUGUGAGUUCUUUUCCUACCCGUAAAAAUUGGUGACAUGCUCCAGUAACAUACCAGCUGCAUAUUGCAAUUUAUGGUUCAUACUUAUUUCAUGUUUGGCCUAACUUCUUUGGAGCUAAAAAAAAACUUCUAAAAUUUAAAGUUGAAAAUAAGAAGUUUAAACUUAAAAUUAGAGUUGUUUGCUUACUCUAUAUUUUAGGCUUAGAAAUUAACUUCUUUUUUUUCAUAAAAAAAAACUAACUUUUGAAAAGUUCAAUUUCUCAAGUCUACCUGGAGCAGCUUCUCCUCUUAAGGAGGAGUUCAAAAUAAGCUGGGCCGAAAACUACCCCUUAAUAGGAUAACUAAGACGCAAGCAAUCAAAAGAGUAGAAUUAAUAAUUCCAAUACCAUGUCUUUCAGGUAUGAGUGCAUGAUCAAAAUCUCUCCCAACUCUCCAUAGUAGGAAUCAAAAUAUGUUUUCAAUGAGGAACAAAAGAUAAGUAAUGAGUAUGCCUAUCAAAUAUUUACUACAUCUUUUAUUUUGUUCCCCUUUUGGCCAAGUAUUAUAACCCUCAAUGGCUAGCAUUGGGUUCAAAAAAGCACAAUUUAGCUACAAAAAAAUAUGGAGAAACAAUUCAUCAAUUGUUUUUUUUUUUUAAUAUUUAGUUAAAACGGUUCAGCUGAAUUGAUAGCAGACGCUGCAUUUUGUAGGCAUGAAGAGUAUUGAUAAAGUUUGGUUAUCAAAACACGUUCUAGUAAAGAAAAACGUGGCUUUUCUAUUUACAGAUCAUGACCCUACACUAAAGAUGAACUAUACAGCAGCUUCUUUUUGCAUGAGAUAAACACCACUAAAUUUACCAAUAAGUUGGGUAGAGAAAUAACAUCAACAGUCAAAAACUUGAGGUGGCUCUAACAAGAAAAAAAUCAAUAAUGUUUCCCUAAGGCAUGGUUGCACCGCAAUGACAUGCAAAAACCACAAUGGAAAACGAUAUUACUUUCUGAAUGCCAUAGCAACAUAAGAGCACACUAUUCCCUACUGAUGAAAAUUCAGUCAUAAUUAACAAUUAAAAACAUCAUGGGUCGUUACACAGGAUUCUAACUAGAAUCACAAGAGGAUGAAAAUUCAUGACUGGCGAUAGUAAAUCCGAAUCGUAGAUUGGAUCGAAAGAUCCUACGCUCAAACAAAAAUUAUACUUUUUAUGCCUAAUUAAUAUAAUAGGACCUAAAAAUAACAAAUAAAGAAAAUAACCUCUAUAUUACAACCUUAAACAAACUUAAAUUGAAAUUUCAUAACCAUGAUAAUAUAUUAUAAUUAACAGAAUAACUAUAAUAUAUUAUUAUGAAUAUUAACAGUUAAGAAAAAAAAAAGGAAGCAGUUAGGCUAAUAAAAAUAGAAUAGCUAUAUAUUAUAACAAGUUUUAUUGAAAGCGGUAUUGUAUUCAUUAUAUGAAUAUUUAUAAUUAUAUGUUAUACGCUUAAGUUCACUGAUAACUCAAAAUACACAUGCUCCUUAAAAAAAAUCUUGGCAAACCAGAAAAAGACACGACCACAAAAUGGAUGGAAAACGAAAUUUAGUUUGCAAAUGAGAGUAUAGUUUUCUAUGUUUGUUUGAUUUUCCAUUUUGCAAGCCAAAAUCCAUCUCUUUACAUGAUUGAAUGUUUAAAAUCAUAAUUGGAUAACUUUUAAUCUGAAACUAGUUAGGUCAUGAAUGUUGAAGAGAAGAAACAGUAACAUUGGGGGGUUUGGAGUAUUAGAGAGAACAACAUCAACUCUACCUAUUAUAUUCACUUUUUCAUAUCACUUCGCUUAAUAUUCAUACCAAUCAAAUCAUUUUUAUAAAAUCAUCUAAAACAAACUUUGCAAACACUGGUCAACAUCCUACUUGGGAUUGGCAGAGGAGGGCAAAAGAUACUAAAUAUAACAAAAAUCAAAGAAUACAAUAAAAGAAAGCAUAAAAGAUAUCUCAAAGAAAGGCUAGAAGAACCCAACAGAACAUAUAAAAGAAGCCAUGGUUUGUCAAAAACAGAAUAGAGGUAAAAUCACCCCUUGAUCGAGAACAAAACAGAUGUGUAAAAUAAUAGAAAAGGUUUUGGCCAAACUGCAAUGAAAGAAGAGGAGAAAGGUAGAGCUCCAAGUUGAGGUAGGAAACUGUAGGACCGUGAUAAGGGUCUAAGCCCAAAAUACAAAUAAGGAAUAAUAACAAACUAAUUAAAGAUAAAGAUAAGAUAUACAAAAUAGCUAAUAAUCUAAUAUAUCUAACAAUACUCAUUGUGAUUUGUUUUCAAUUUGGAUACGCAACAUUCUUAACAUUCUCACUAUUCUUAAUAUUCUCACUAUUCAUCCUUCCAUUUUCUUUGCACCAUUUGAAUCACCACCAACUUUCAGUUUACAGUAAGCAUUUUGGCCUAAACUUUCUGGCCUUUGAAUUGAAAUUUGAGCUAUUGCUGAAAUGUAGGGGUGUCAAAGGAAGACAACCAAGCUCACACAAUAUGGCUCACCACGAGUUGAGCUAAAAUUGAAUCAACUCAACCAAAUUUACUUUUUGGUGAGCCAGAAAUUUUGUAAUCCUGAUCAACCCAUCACGGAUUGGUGGAUUAGUGAGUUGACUCACUUAGGCCUUGUUCUGUUGUUACAUGGUCGUGAUUAAUGACUACAUCAAUCUCGUAGAGUUAGGUGCAUCCAUACGUGCAGGUGAGGAAGAAGGAGACCUAGAUGUCAUCUUCUAAAUAUUCAUAGAGAUAGAACCAGUAGUCUAACUUAGGAAGUAAGGACACUAUGGAACUGAUCGUUGAAUACAACCAAAGGUCGAAUCAGUGUAGUCAAUGUUAAAAUGAGAGUUUGACAGUAAUGACCGAACGGUAACAAAUAAAAGAACGAAAUUUGACCAUUUAGGCUUAGAGGAAAUGGUAUAACAUACCAUUUAGACUCAUCUUUCCACAGGAAAGACAUGACAAACCAGUAACUCACAGGUCAUCCUAAGGACAUCACCACGAGACUUUCCAGGCUCUGAUACCAUAAUGUAACGCCCUGGCAACUUACAGGGACUGUUGACUGCCCCCACACAUCACCACGAGACUUUCCAGUGUGCUUUGUCCUCACUCGCACACCAUCCCAGAAUUUCUCCAGGCUAAGCACGCUUAACCAUGGAGUUCUUAUGGGUUAGGCUUCCGAGAAGUAAAUGCAUUUUGGUGAUAUGGGUAGCCAAAUCAAUUCCUUUAAGCUAUCCUUCAACUGUAUAGUCCCAUACCUAUACAGUCUCCAGAUCCCUCUCAUUCCGGUGUAUGUUCGAUUCGUCCAUGUGCACCUUCCACUCGAAGCCUGCCAGGAGCCGCUCCUUGUCCGUGCCCCAUGCACCAUGCUUCUUGCACCGACGAUCACUUCCCGCCCUCGGCCCGGUUGUCACAUUAACACUCCUACCAAAUUUCAAAAUUCACUAAAUACUAAUAUAAUAGAUUUAUCUAUUACAAUUCAUAAAUGAUUUAUUAUUAAUACGAUAUUAAAACUUAUAUAAUAAUUUUAAUGAUGUUAUAACUGAUAAUAUAAUGGUCUUAAUGAUAUAAUUUUCCAUCAUUAGUUAUUGUAGUAUUAAUUUAUAAAUUUUUACUAUUUUUAUUUAUUAUAACUGAGUUCUAUCAACGAAAAUAAGUUAUAUUCUUUAAAUAAUUAAUUUAAUUUAUGACAUUCUUUUGUAUUUAUUCAUUAAUAAUAAUUGACAUAUUUUCAAAUUAAUAAUAAUUUUUUGUAUGGUACUCUAACACCAUAAUGUUUCCAACAACUAAUAACAGGUUUACAUAAUUAAAAAAAAAAAUAGAGUUUAUACAUUUAUUUAUUUUAAUUUGAAAUACUAAAACAAUAAUGGAUCUAUAUCCGAUUUCAAAAUUAAAUUUAAUCAUCCAAUUUCAAAAGUAAAAGAAAUAUAGAUGAGUGGAAUAAUAAAAGGAAGAAAACCUAAAUUUGAAUAAUCCCAUACUAUUGUUGUUUGGAGCAAAGAUGUGGCUCUCAAAAAGUGUUAGGGUUUCUCUUCUUCCUUCCAUUGCCAAGUUUCCUCCUUUUCUUCCAAUGCACAAUUCCCUCUUUUGCUCUCACUCUCACUCUCAAACUUCCUUAUACGACGAAGCCGUCUCACAAUUCAAUAACUUGCUUCGUGAGCGUCAUGUUCCUCCCAUCUUCGAAUUUGGAAAAAUUUUGGGAUUUCUUGUGAGGAUGAAGCAGUACCCUACUGCUAUUUCUCUCAUCAAGCAAAUGGAGCUCAAAGGAAUUCACAAUGACCUUGCUAAUCUCAACCUCCUCAUCAAUUGUUUCUGUCACUUACACAAAUUGGCUCUGGCAUUCUCUGUAUUUGCCAAGAUUCUCAAACAGGGUUAUCAUCCAAAUGCCAUAACCUUAAAUACACUCAUGAGAGGUCUAUGUGAUAAGGGUGAGGUCAAGGAAGCCCUAAAUCUUCACGACAAAGUAGUAGCAAUAGGAUUUCGGCUCGACGAAUUUACUUACCCGAUUCUAAUCAAUGCAUUGAGCAAAAUAGGAGAAAUUGAAGCCGCGAUCAAAUUGUUCAGAACUAUUCAAGAUCCAUCGACAGUAAUGUAUAGCAUUAUUAUUGACUGUUUACUUAAAGAGAAACAUCCGCAAGAAGCUUAUGAUUUUUAUUUUGAGAUGGUUAUCAAGGGAAUUUCUCCUGAUGUUGUUACUUAUAGUACUCUAAUUUAUGGCUUUUGCUUAGUGGGACAGGUAGAGGUAGCAGUUGGUUUUCUAAAUGAAAUGCUAUCAAAUAAUAUCACGCCAGAUGUUUAUACCUAUACUAUAUUGAUUGAUGCAUUGUGUAAGGAAAAAAAGCUGGGAGAAGCUAAGAAUGUUUUAAGUGUGAUGUUGAAAGCUUAUGUAAAACCUAAUGUCGUUUGCUUUAAUGCUCUAAUGGAUGGGUAUUACUUAGUUAAUAAAGUGAAGAAUAUUAAACAAGUAUUCAGUGCAAUGACCCACAUGGGAGUGAGUCCUAAUGUUAGGACCUACACUAUCAUGAUAAAUGGACUCAUAAGGAACGAAAGGGUGGAUGAGGCCAUAAAUCUCUUUCAAGAAAUGCCCAGUAGGAAUAUCCUUCCAAAUAGUGUAACUUACAGUACUCUUAUUGAUGGUUUAUGCAAAACUGGAAGAAUCUCUCAUGCUUGGGAUCUUUUUCAUGAGAUGCAUGAUAGAAAUCAACAAGCAGACGUAAUCACUUAUAGUUCCUUGAUUGAUGCUUUAUGCAAAAAUCAUCAUCUAGACAAGGCAAUUGAAUUAUUGAGGAAAAUGUGAAAGAAUGGGGUUCAGCCCGAUAUGUACACUGCAACCAUACUUAUUGAUGGGAUGUGUAAAAGGGGAGACUUAAUAAUGCACAAGAGAUUUUUCAAGAUUUAUUGAAUAAAGUUCACAAUCUCAACAUCUCUACUUAUAAUGCCAUGAUCAAUGGUCUUUGUAGAGAGGGUUUGCUUGAUGAGGCAUUGACCUUGUGGUCCAAAAUGGAAGACUGUGGUUGCCUCUCUAAUGCUAUAACUUUCGAAAUAAUCAUCUUUGCUCUCUUUAAGAUGGGCGAGACUGAAAAAGCAGAGAAAUUUUUGCACAAAAUGAUCGCUAGACUUGUUGAAAUGAUGAAAGGUGACACCUUAUUUCAAUAACAAGUAACAUUUAUGUGUUUGCCGUAGAAUGUGCACGAAUGGUUUGUAAAUUUUGUAUUAGAUGAGUUGGUUUAGGCUGUAAGCUCUGUUGCUGAUGUUUUCCUGGUCAAGGGUUGAUACAUUUUUAUUUUCUACUCUGCAUUUUGAUUGCUAUCAAACUUCUAUUUCUUUUGACAUUACAUUUUAUUUGUAGAAUUUGUUUAACUAAGUAGUGCAAAGGUUGAAAUCAAUGAUUUUAUUGUCUUUCAAGACCAAAACUGUGACCUCCCUCCCUAUAUAAAAAAUCUUGAUGAUUUUUCUAUUUCCAACUGUUUGAUAUUCCCCAUUCAUGUUUGUCAGAGACCAAAUAUGUUUUUUCUUUAGGGCCCUUUGCACUUCAUGGAAACAUUCCCAAAGAAUAAGCACACUUACUAAGUUUCGGGAUCUUAACCUUGGAAUAAUCAUCUUCAUGAUAUGUCUAUCCCUAAAGAACUUUUAAGUCUUUCUAAAUUCUUCCGAUAGCAAAAUCUCACAUGUCGAUUUCUUACUCUCACUCUAUUAAUUGCUGGUUCAGUACCACAAGAACUUGGUCAUUUAGCACAAUUCAAUACAUUGUCUCUCCAUAAUAAUUGCUAACUGGUUCAAUCCAUUCUGCAUUAGCUCUAUUGAAGAAUGUGGUCAGAUUUUAUCUUAUUUCAAACCAAUUUGCAGAUAUAUAACUCUGAAAUUUGACACAAUUAAUGGAAUUACAUCUAUCUAAUAAUUUACUCACAAAUUCAAUCCCUUCUGCAUUGUGCCAAUAAGAGAACUAGACUAUACCGGUAGAAUUUGGAAAUCUGAAAAAGAUAUUUGCUAGAUGAGUGUGCCUUUUUUUUCUUUUUUGUUCAUAGGAUUUGAAUUAGUUCUCCAUGUUGUUCCCACAAGAGUUAUUUGGAAAAUUUCCUGGUUUGUUUUUUUUCCCUUAUACUUUGAUUUCCCAUAUACUUUGAUUUCUUCCUCCUUAAAACCUCUGUUGUAUGAACAUUAUGCAGCCUAUUGUCUCACUUCAUAACAUGGAGAUGAUCAAGGUGAACUCUAAAAGAACUAGAGAUAUACCACUUGUUUUGUGUUGGAAGGAUCAUGGCACAACUUCCUUUUGUUCAAGUAUGGUUAUACAUAACCAACUGAUUUAGUUCUUACUUAAUUAUAUAUGUAGAAAUUACAUAAUUACAAUGAUAAAGCUCUUAGAUUAAUUACAUACCCAUAUAUAGAACUCAUAUAUUGUAUUUGUUGUUGAGUUAAGGUUGCUGAAGACUAAUCUAUAGUUUCAACAAUGGUAUUGGCACUAAGUGCAUGGCUGUCAGAGUUGGAAACCAAAGUAAUCAAAAAGACAAAUAGAUUCGUGGUUAUAACUGCCGAUGUUAAGUCCUCUUUGUGCAAAGUCCCCAACGCAGAGCUCACCAGCCUUGGAGAAAAUAAUUGGAACGUCCCCUGAUAUCAUUUUAACAUCCUCCCCUGAUUUGUUCAUGAUGUUCUUUAUCCUUGCUAAGGGCAGAGAGUGGAGCCCUGUCCUUCCAGAUAUCCCUCCACACAGUAGCCCUGAAUAUGCACCAGCUUCUUUCAUAUCUGUUCUACUUCACUACUAUGUGUUUCUGAGCUAACUUUAGUGUUAAUGUUUGCGAGCAUACUCUUAGUUGUAGCAUCAGUGUCAAGUUUCAGUGUUAUAUACACCAUUUUCAUUGAAUCCUUCACAGUUUCAUUCCAAUAACAUUGUGGGCCAAGACUAAUUUGGUUGGCCGGCUAAGUGGUUUUGUAAGAAAUAAUUAUGAAUCUUUAACUCCAACAUUAUUAUUCUAUUUAUAUAUUUGUUGCUUGUGUCUAGAAACAUUAGGGAUCGAGAACUGUAAAAUGAUUAUGUAAUGAUUUGACUUAUUUCUUGGUAAAGCAAUAUCAAUAAUGACAAGGGUUCUUCCCUACAAGUAAUUAGCAAUUUGAAACGAUUGCUUAAUCAAAGAAAUAUUUUAGGCACAGAUACAGUUUUUUGGACUUACAAUCUGCAACAAUCAGUUCUCUAAAAUUGGACCUGUCAUUUUAUUUUUGGGUCCCAAGGCCAGCCCUGGCCUUUUCUAGACUUAAGCCAAUUUUCUUAGCCUACAGUUCAAGCAGCCCCCAUGAAAUGGGUUGCCAUUCCACUAGGGUUGGUUCAACCCCCAAAUGUACAUUUUUUUCUGCACAAACAUUUCUCCACUGAUGGAGCUUCAGUACUGGCAGCAGCACAUAGUGAAGUUUGACAGCAUCACAGUUCGACGCGAGCACUCGACGACAGGACACGGUGAGUCUCAUAGGGUGUCAAACAUCUCGUGGGCUUUCUUAACCCUUUGAGACUCCUUUUUAGCUUCUUUGGAUGCUUGAGCUUGUCUGUCUUUUAACUUGUCCAGAGUCUCUUGGCAUGAUUUUAAAAGUGUGACUGCCAUCAAAGUUCUUACAUCGUUGUCUUCUAUCUCUGUCCCAACACCAAAAUUAUCUUGCAACACUAAGUCUGUGAGAAAAAAGAAAACCAGAUAGAUGAAAUGUGAAGUAUAUUAAAACAGAGAUUACCCUUUUGUGCUCUAGCCUUUAUGAAGCUUGAGAUUAUACCCAGCUCAUACCUAUUUCCUUCUUAAGCCUAGUAUAGUCUAGUUUAGAAUAUCUUUGUUUUAGUUGGUGUAGGUUUUUUAACAAUUUUUGUUUUACAAAUUCCAGCAGAUAGUUGUUUUUCCUUUAGAAUGAGUUAAUAUAGGUACCGUGUUUUUAUUCUCCUUAGGAAGUAGGUAGGUUAGUUUACAUACAACUCUAUAUUGAUGAAAUGAAUUUGCUUAGUCUAGUUUAAUUGUAGUUUUUGUUUCUGUAAUUGAAUUCUGCUAAGUCCAGUGAAUUUUCUUUUAGUUAUAGUCUAGUAGCAUAGUUAAAUUCUGCAGUUUUAAUUUUUAAUAACUAAAAAGAUAUAAUUGUAGAUUAGUUCAGUUAAUUUGAGUUUCUUUAAAUAAAGAUUAGAGCUUAGAAGUAGGAAGUUAAUUUUUAGGUUGUUCUGUUUUACUGCAGUACUUUUAGGCUAGUGUAGGGGCAUUUUCAGAUUUUGGUUUUAUAAUUAUAGAGAGUAGAUAAUUUUGAGAAUGGUUUCUAAUGGUAAAUUUAGGUUUGUUAGCAUAGUUAUGAUAAUGUUUUGGUAGUUUUAGCAUUAGGAUAUAUGUUGAUGACAAUUUUAAAAUUUUCUAAGCAACUACUCUGACAUUGCAUGCUGGUAUAAUUUGACGAGGUGCAAUGCUACAAAGAAGCUGCUAACAUAUAUUAGAAGAAUAAUAUAUAUUAGAUUUUGAUGUAUCCAAGUAUCUCACACUUAUUGGAUAUUGAUGUUUCCGCCAUAAUUGUAUAGGCAAAAGCUACGAUAUGUAUCAUUUCAACCAUUUACUGUAUCUUUGGUUUUUAGCUCAAGUAAAACCUACCUGAUAAAAUGUUUCACAUUGUUAAGGGUCUCGUGUUCAAUUGCAAGUUACUUAUUCCAGAUUUUGUCUCUUUUUUAUUCAUUUUUCCAGAUUUGCACAUUUUCUCAUCUUGCUAGCUUAGCUCUCAGUUUUAUAUUAAUUCCAAAGUGACAUUGAUUUUAUGAACUGAUUGUCUUGGGAAUUAUUUGAAGAGUUGUUUAAUUUUCAGAAAGUUGUUCAAUAGUUUUUGGAGUCUCGAGGGAUAAGUGCACAAGUUUGAAUGAAUAAGCUACUCGUGCUUUAAGUUUCAACCGUGAUGAUUUCAUGGUCUCAUGAUUGAAAGUUUUUUAUUACAGUAGGUGUCUCAGAUGUCUGCAACAAGUGAAGUUAAAGUACUGUCUUGUCAAGAAUAAGCUUGAAACACUUUUCAUGGUAUUAACUAGAUGAAAAACUUACAAAAUUGAAUAUCAUUCUAUUUACAUUUUUUAUUUGUAAUUUAUAUUUCUUUUAUGAAUUCUUGAUGCUGCUUGAGCAACAGAUUGUGAUAGCUGGUGGGUCAAUCUUUAUGGAACUGAGUUGGGUGGGUUUGUAGAGAUGCUUGCGUUAUGGUUCUCAUCUUUUUUUAAAGAUUAUCCUUUAUCUUAUGUCCAUGGUUUUUGUGAAGAUAUAAGAUUCCAUCUAAUGUACUUUUUUCAUUAUUUAAAAUCUAUUGCAUGCUUUAAUGAAGGAUAAUAGCACCAUCAAAUGAUCUUUGCCUCUUGUAUUUUUCUUUCGAAAAGGGAUUAGAUAUAGUUUUUUUAUUCUAUAAAUAUGAUGUUUUUUGUUUCAGCAUUUGAUCACUAAGAUAGUCCUUCAAUUGUCAUAUGUUUGUUUGCAGAGGUGUUUCUAUUACGCACGUCAAGUUGGGUUUGGGUUUGUUAUUAUAAAAGUGACUAUUUUUUGUUUUUACUUUUAUUAUUAUUUUUUUUAUAUUAAAAAGGAAAGCUCAUGGCUUGUCUUUAAUCAUAGGGUUUUGGAGAUAUUUGACCGUAUGUAAGGAGAGAUUUUUUUUAUCAUAAGGCUUUGGUAAUAUUUGAUAAUGUGAAAUGUGAGAUCUUUUUGAUCAUGUGAAUUAUUUUUGUCUUCCGAACUUUAUCCAAAAGGUUAAAUCGUAAGAAAUGAAUUAUUUUGACAGCUCUAUAAAAUACAUAUUAUGUGUGAGAUGAAAAAUCCAUAUUUCUAAUAGCAUAUGUAAUAUAUAUUUCUAUUGUUUAACUUCAACAAAAGAAAACAGCCACAUAUGUUAAUAAAAUAUUAUUUCUAUAACAAAUAUGUAUCCAUUGUUUUUCUUUGGUUUUAGCACCACCAUUAAUCUUUUGUUUUAUACAUAAUAAAGCGUGAACUAAUAUAUUUAUUAUUCUAUAAAAACACUAUCGUAUAAAUAAAAAUUCUCAUAACAACAAAUAUUAUUAUGCAUAAGAUAAUUUUUAAUGCAAAAUAACAUAUAGAAUUGGUCAACUCCUAAUUCAUGCUUAGCACACAAAAUCUCCUUUAAAUGUUAAAGUAAUAGUCAGUAAGUGUUUCAGGUGAAAAUUAAAGUCUUAAAUUUUCUUGCUAACAAUUUCUAACCAACUGGGUUACAAACACUGUUUGAUCAUAGUUCAAUUUUAAUAAUAUUAAAAAGAGUUUCAUCUUAUUUAUUUAUUCUACUAAACUUUAAAUUAUUUUUACUUGAGUCUUACACAGUGUCAACCUAAUCUUAGGUCUUUUCGGCCAGCCCCUCUUUGGUGUGAAUUAUGUCACGUCCACUCUUAAAUUUUCAAACAUGGUAAUUUCGAGCCAGAACAUUAAGCCCAACCUUAACAAGCAUAGUUUAUUCAUAAAAAUUGUAAAAAAUAGCAAAAGUUGCCACAAAUCACGGAAUUCAUAAGUUCAUCUUAACUUGGAUAAUUAUUUCCUUUUCAAUUUCCAAACUAAGGUUCUACUAAUUUUUAUCUUUACCAAUCAAUUCCUCAAACUUUUGUUUUAGUAUUGCAUUUUUUUAUUUAUUUUCUUGUGUUCUCUUGGAUAAAUUAUGAAUUAUUUACUCCAAUUUUUACUAUUUAUUUAAUUAUUUGUAUGAUUUUUUUACAUAUUAAGAUUAAUAUUUAAAAAAAAAAAUUAUAAGAGUUACCUUUAUUAGUAAUGUUUAUAUUCUUGCAAAGCCAAAAUGUAUUUACAAUAGUCUCCACAAGAAACACUUCUGAAUCUUCUUCAUCAUUAUAAGUUUAAGAUGUAUCUCCCUAUGAACUCUCCAACUAUUGAACACACAAGAUGCCUACAAAGACAAUUCAACAUUCAAGUUAGAUAUGUACUAAAACAAUAAUAAAUGCUAAAAUGAAUACUUAAUAAUUAUCUCGUACUAUUUAUAGUAUUAUCAUGGACUUUUACCUGGAUAGGCUUAGAUUACCUAGGUUGGAUACAUUUCUUAGACAGUUUAGGGUUUUGUUAAUGCAUCUCAUUCUCUAAUCCUUUUACUAACCUUUCUCUCGAAAUCCAACAUGGUCAAGGUAUGUGUUGCUAUUACAAUUAAGAUGUUCAUGUCGAUAGGAUGUUAUCUCGUAUUGAUUACAUCAUUUCUAUCAUAACUCAAUUUUAAUAAAUUAUAUGCUGACACUUUCUUUUAUUAUAAUAGGUUAUAUAUUCUUGAAUUAUAAUUCAUUUUAAAAGUAAUUUAUUAGAAAUUUUGUUUUAAAAUCAAAAUUUUAAACAAAAGAAGAAACUAUUAAGUGCAAUUGAGGCUUUUUCCACGUCCAAUGAAAGUAUAAGAAGAACUACAUGGUGUAAAAAAGUAAUAGUAUUAUCCUUGAUAACUUCAUUAGACUACAAAUAGCCACUCAAGGCUUGUUACACUAUGAACCUAAACUAUUUAAAAUCACUCAACCAAGCUAUUGUUUAAAAUUAUGUUCUUUAAAGUUCACAUAUUAUUAGUAAAGGCAUUGCAUUGCAACAAAUAAAAGGUAUUUUGUUCAAUUUACAAGUUAGAAAUAAAUAAGAUAACACAAGAAAAUAAAAGAGUUCAAUAUGAUGUAAGAGUUAAAAAUAUUAUAUCCUAUGUCUUAAUCCAUGAUGAGUUUUACAAAAUCUCUAUAUGUAAAAGUAGAAAAAAAAAUGUGAAAUAUACUUUAACUUAUCUAUGAGGCCAUAAAUGAUGUCAAAGGAGUUAAAAAAACACUUUAAUACAAGAGUAUGAAAUGUUCUAAUACAACAAAGAAAAUAUUUAUGAUGUGCAAAAGAAAUUUAUUCACAUCAUCAACCAUCUAGGUAAAAGUUUUGAUACCAAUGAAUUAAAUAUAAAAAAAAUUGUGUAACUUUCUCAAUUUCUUACCCUCUUUAUUCUAUCAUUGUUUUGCAAGAUUAAAUUUUUAUAAACUUUCCAAAGAUCUAAUACUAUGAUAUUAGCAAACAAAGCUUAAAAUAAACUUAAGAUUUAUUAAAAACAAGUUUUGAAUAGCUCAAAAGUUUUGAAAAUCAAAUAUUUCACGUUAAAACAAUUCACCCCUCUUAUUAAUUUCGUUCUACCCCUCCUUUUAUUCUAACACAAUUAUUCAUGAAUGAAGAGUCAUUUCAUUAGAUCAUUGCCUACAGAUAAUGCAGUGGGUGAAACAACGUAUUCCUUUUUUUAGGGAAAGAAAGUUCUUUUUCACCACACUUGUUAAGAAUCAAGAUAAAGAUUCAAAAGGGUGCCAUUCUUUGAGUGUCCUGUUAAGAAAACCAAUAGUUCAACUACAACUAAAUAGAAAACCAAUAGUCCUUCAAAAACCACCUUUGAAUCAUUGACCAUGUUCUAUGAAUGCUGGAAAUAAGAGUUGGUAAAAUUGGAUGUCACCCUGAAGAGUUAACCUUCCAGCCUCCAGGUGCAUUUUAGUUAAAGAGAGGGUUGAGGCUGAAGAUCAUCACUUGGAAAUCUUUGCAGCCAGUUCUCUCACCAGCUUAGCAGCUACCAUGGCAGUCAUUCCAUCGACAGUAUCACGUUGAGGGUUUAAUUCAACCACAUCUCCGGCGACAACAUCACCUUGAAGAUUGUGCAGGAUGUUGAGAACAUCACGGAAAGAAAGACCUCCCGGCUCUAUGUGAGACACUCCAGGAGCAAAGGCUGGAUCAAGACAAUCCACAUCUAUUGAGAUGUAUACACCUUUAACACCUUCCCCUAGUUUCUGCAAAAGAAAAUCCCAGGUUUACAUAUCACAAAAGCAGCAAAUCUCAGAACAAAAGAUAUUAAAUUCCAUCAGACACAAUUUUUUUGCUUCAAUAGAAUCCCAUUCCCUUCCCCGCCAAGGAUACAAAAAUGCAGAAAAAUCAACUUUCCAAUGAUAGUUAUGACUGUUUAUCAUAAAAAAAAAGUAGUUCAGCCAAGCAAAAUGAUUGAAAUUUUUUAUAUUCAAAGACAUUUCAGAGACGGUUAGGUUUCUGGAUAUGAAACCAAUCGAGAACGCCACACGCACACUCAAACAAGAACACAGAACAACAAAGAAAGAAUCUAUAUUGAAUUUCUCUCAACUAUACAGUACACCCCCACACCUCUAAGGGAGCCUAAUUUUCCCUCCACAGGAUAACAGAAUCCUGACUAUACAAAAGAAUUCCAAAAAACUCCCCUGUACACAAAAUAAGAGAUGAACUCUUUUCCUACGCCCUACCUAACUGCCUAACUGUUAUGAAAGUUAGGUUUCACUCUAUCAUUUUCUCCUUCUCUCAUAAACCCUCCAUACUCUAUCAUUAUCCGCCGCCUGAUGAUUAACCUUGUCCACAAGGUUGAAAUCAAGAAACUGAUCCUUGAUCAUCCCGACAUCCUCCCAAGUGGCUCCUUUUGAUUCCCCUUCCUGCCAUUCCAUCAGGACCUGCUGUCUAGUCUCCCCAUCCUACAGCUUUCAUCUUCAAUCUAUCACUCUACGAGGCCAGAAUGUCGGCCCAUCAGUUUGCAGAUCAGCUGGUAAGUCCUUUUCCACUGGUUGCGUUCCCACUACCACUUUUAAUUGUGACACAUGGAAUACUGGAUGUAUUCUGGUUGUGUCUGGCAGUAGUAGCUUGAAAGCUACCUUCCCCAACCUUACAUAUACUCUCAUUACCCUAACAUUACCCACCCCUCCAUCCACAACCUUGUCCUAAAGGUUGAAUGCAGGGAAUUGGUCCUUAAUAGUUGCCUCGUCCUCCCAUGUAGCACCUUCUCUGCCCCCUCCUUUUGUCCUUCUACCAGGACUUGAUGAGUUAUCUCUUUCUCCUUGUUGGAUUUGUCUACAGAGCUGGUCCCUUUGCUUGUAGCUCCUUAUAUCCACUUCCCUUCUCUUUCUGUUGGCUUGUUGCUUUGGACCAGGCUGGAUACAAGAUUUGAUCAAAGCAGCAACUUGUUCCCGUUGUUCUUGUUGAAAGGACGCCAUAGAUGGAUCCGCCAUUUCUUUGAGGGGUCGAUCCCCAUGUAAAUAUUGCGAAACCCAGUCAUCAAUAUGGUUCACUUUUGAUAUGGUAUCUAUCUUCUUCCUAAAUUGGGCUUCUAAAGUCUUUGACCAAUCUUUUGAUGAUAUCGCUGCAACAGAGGCCACGGCUGUCAACACUAGUGGACAAAGCCCCUUUGUAUACUGUUAUGAAUGCCUUCUCAAGUUGUCUACUUAAUCCUAUCGCCCAAGGUUUUACAAUAGCUACCUUAUUUGUUUUGCAGAGAUAUAUGCCCAUGAUUGAAAUGACAAGAAAUAGAACACUUCCUAUAACUCCAGCCAAAACAGCAACAAGAUUGCUAUCUAAUGAACCACUUGGAGAUGGGGGUACAGAGCGCGGUUCAGACCGAGAAGGAGAAGGAGAAACAGAAUCAUUUCGGUCCGUGAAAGCUGGGUCCUCAACCGAUGGUGGUGUUGUUGGGGCGGGUGAGGGAGCUUUCUUAUUUUUGCCAAUGGGCCGUUUGAUGAAUCUUCUUGUACAAGCGGCCACUUCUGCUGCCAGACUCAGUUGCCUUUCAUCGGAACGAGUAAUCCCCCUCCUUCCGCCUAUUCUCGACCUGCUUCUCAAUUUCGCCCUUCAUAAGGUGAGGAUAUCGAUAGGGUCUCACCUUUAUAGGAUCAACUCCAUCUUUGAUUUGUAUAUGGUGUUCUUUGUUUCGUGGUGGGGGUAAUCCCUGUAAAUCUCGACACAGGGGAUAGUGCGCCUGCAGCACAACCUUUAAUUGCUUUUUUUGCGCCUCUGUCACGUCGUCACCCCACUCACCGCUGUCCCCUGCCUCCACUAUGCACAGAUUCCAAACCGCAGCCCAUGACUCAGCUUCCACUAACUUCAACAAGCUCCUGGAGUUCACCAGUUGUCUCGACAAGGUUGGGUUGCCUUUUAUACAGAUUUUUUUAUCCCCCACAUUAUAAGCCAUGGUCAUUUUUCCCCAAUUGGUACUUACUUCCCCUAGCUUUUCCAGCCAUGCAACGCCCAGAAUCACAUCCACGUCCCCCAGCUCAAAGACAUAAAAUUCUUCUUCCACGUCAACCUCUUCCAACUGCACCGUCACCUUCUCACAUCGUUCACGGGUCACUCGCCGAUGCCCAUCACCCAGACUCACGAGAUACGCCGGGGUGUCCGUCAUUAGUAAUCUCAAUUCCUCCGUGAUUCGCCGGCUGAUAUAGUUGUGGCUUGCGCCACUAUCGAUUAGCACUACUACACUCCGUUCACCGAUCUUCCCCGUCAGUUUCAACGUUUUGGAAGAAGUCAACCCCUCGGCAGAACAAGCCGAUAACUCCAAAAGCUUCUCCCCCUGGUGAUCGGAUUCUUCACCCACUUCUUCCUCUUCGUCUUUCGCUAACAGCACCCUGAGACUCCUCUCGGUGCACCGGUGGCCUGGAGCAAAUGGGCCUUCGCAUCGAUAGCAUCGACCCUCUUCUCGCCUCUUGAGAAACUCGGGAUAGGGUAAGUUUCGGACCACUCUGGCUCGACCAUCACCACCAGUCGCAAGGCUCCCUCUCGCCGUCAUGCUCGAUGCCACUCCUUCUCUUCUCGCGGUUCCUCCACCCUCCGUUCUUCCCACUUGGGUCAUCCCACUUGGGUCAUCGUGGUUUUAACAGGUUCCGAUCGCGUCACGCUCCCGAUGGGUCGCGCAAUGAAUGGGUUCGUCUUAAACCCACUUGCAUGCCAACCUUGAACCCUCAUCGUCGCAUCUUCCACAUCCCUCGCUAUCCUCAUCGCCUCCAUCAAUUCAGAAAGAUUCUUAAUUCGCACCUGCCCCUUCACGUCUUCCCGUAACCCGGCCAAGAAAUAACCCAACACCUGUUCCUCCGGUAUCCCUUUCGUUUGCCCCAUCAAAACUUCGAAACUUCGAACAAAUUCUUCCAACGUGCCUUCUUGACGCACAGUGGCCAGUCCUUCGAACACCGUGCCCCUGAAUCCCCCUCCAAAGCGAUUAAUCAUGGUCGUCUUCAAUCCAUCCCACGAUCGGUUCGAUUUCGGGCCUUCUCUUUCCAAAACGUAAACCAGUACGCCGCACUCCCCUCCAUACUCACAUAAGCAAGCUCCACCUUUUCUUCAUCAUCCGUUACUUUCUGUCAAAAAACCUUUCCGCCCGAUUGAGCCAACUGAGUGGCUCCUCUCCUUCAAAGGUAGGUAACUCUACCCUCUUCCUCCAAGGUUUCUGUUCUCCUCCUUUUCCACCAUUUUCGCCCACUCCGUUCACCUUGGGUCCUCUAUGAUGAUUAUCGUUGAUAGAGCUAUCCUCCGAACUCCCUUCCGUCUGAGGACCGUGAUGGCCUUGCGUUCCCAAAAUCUUCAUCAUUUGUUGAAGGUCCCUUCGUACCGCCACCGAUUCAGCCUUCAUACCCUCCAUCGUAAUCUCAAUUGCUUCAAGCCUUGCCUCCGUCGCAUUCUCCAUCCUCGCGUCGUUCCCAAAUCGUUUGGAUCCGGCAAGUCGGACCAAAUUGAUAGGUUUCUAAUAGAGAAACCUAAUCACUGCUCAAACAAACACAUCUUAUUAGACAAUGAAAAGAAUGCAAGAAUGAAGUGGACUAUGGGAGCCUAACCUCCCCCAACAAGACUAAACAGUCUGUUCUGAAUACACGAAUGAACAAAAGUAUCCUCUCUUAUUCCACACAGCUAUUUAUACAGAUGUAAGUCUCCCGCCCUUCCUAACUGUCUAAACAGUUAGGCCAACUAACAUCAACUAACAUUUCACUUACAUUUCUUCCUCCUUACAUAUACUCUCAUUACCCUAUCACCUCCACUUGUUUUUCAAUCUCCCCCUUCACCAUAUGGGGAUAUCAGUAAGGUCGAACAUUGAUGGGGUCAACGCCCUCUUUCAAAGGUAUCUUGUGAACCAUUUCACGAUCUGGCGGUAAACCUCUGGGUUCCUGAGAAACCCUUGCAUAUUGUUCUAACUCCUCCUUCUGUUCUCUCGUCAGGCCCUGACUAGUGUUGUCCCCCAUAUUCACCUUUGUUCAUCCCAAACUCCAUACCAAUGUUACUGCCUCCACCUCUUUCAUUUUGGGUAGCGCCUCUGGUUCAACAACUUCCCUGGUGAGGGUGGGAUCUCCUUGAAUGGUCACUUUCUCCCUCCUUGUCUAAAAGCCAUUGUUAGUUUCCCCAAUUGAUGGUAACCUCUCCUAAUUUGGCCAACCAGUCCACCCCUAGUAUCAAAUCAACCCCUCCUAACUCAAAAAAAUAAAAAUGUUCUUCUAUCUCCGUUUCCCCUAUCUGCAACUCCCCUACAACAUCCCUGGGUUCUUUUCUUUUGACCAUCGCCUAGACUCACUAGAUAUGGUCUGGUAUUCUCCACUGGCAGUCCCAGUUCCUCCACUAAUUCUUUGGCUAUGAAAUUUUGGCUAGCGCCACUAUUGAUCAGUAUUAACACCCUUUUUCCUCUCACCCACCCCUGCAGUUUCAUUGUCUUAGGUUGGGUGAGGCCCCCAGUCGAGAAUGAAGAGAGUUCUAUCUGUUUCUGAACCAUCUCUUUUGCUUGUUUUGCCUUGUACUCCUCCUCCUCCUCUUCGUCUUCCCCCAGAAUCCACUCUUUGACUUCUUUCUAGGCAGUGAUGGCCACGGCUAUAGGGACCCCCACAAUGGAAACACUGGCCCUCCUGCCUCCGUUUGAUGUACUCUGGGUAUGGCAGGUUUCUCACUCCCCUGCCCGCAGGUGUCGCUCACCACACUGUUCCUCGUUCUGGAUGCCGCUGCUCCCAGAGUUCCCUCUUUCUUGGUCGCGUUCUCGCUCUCUGUGAUCCCUUGCCUCCCUCGACUGUAGCGGGUAGGUUUGAAUCUCGCAACCGUCCCCACACUACCUUGAUAUUGUCCCCACGACUGACCACUUGGUCAUCGUUCCUCCAAUAGCUUUCACCCCUCAAUACGCUUCUUCCACAUCACGCGCAACCUCCGUGGCCGUCAACAAAUCUCUCGGGUUGUCCGGCCUAAUCUGCCUCCUUACGUUGCCUUGCAGGCCAGCGAAGAAGUAUCCUAAGAGUUGGUCUUCUGUCACCCUUGUCGCCUGAGCCACCAACAUCUCAAACUCCUGGAUGUACUCAUCCACCGAACCCCUUUGUUUGAUCGUUGCAAGCCUCUCAAAUACAGUCCCUCAAUCUCAUCCCCCAAACCGCCUCACCAGGGCUUCUCACAAGUCCUCCCAAGAAGGAUUAUGGGCCUUGGCUCUCCAUAAUCGGAACUAGUAACUAGCACUCCCUUCCAUGCAAAUGUACGUCAGUCGGAGUCUUUCUCGUCCCAUAACGUUCUGUGUCUCAAAAAACUUCUCUGCACUAGAAAUCUAGCCCAAUGGGUCAAGCCCUUCGAAGGUGGGUAAGUCAACCCUCUUCACCCAGUUGAGUGGUGCCUCGCCCCUAUCACCUUCUAACUCCUUGUUUGAGCCCUCUCUCCUCCCUCUGCGAUUCGCGUUCACCGAAACCUAACUCUCCUCAGAGUUUCAUUCAAGAUUCCUUGCCCGCCCACCAAGAACCCUUGUGAGUUUUUGGAUUUUUUGUCAUAUAGUCGUAGUGUCUGCCUUCAAACCAUCCAACGUCGUAUCGACUAUUUCCAUCUACCCUUCUAACACGUUCAUCCUUCCCUCUAUUCUCCAAUCUCUCUCGCAAAACGGAUCCGACAGAUCGGACCAAAUGUUAGGUUUCUGGAUAUGAAACCAAUCGAGAACGCCACACGCACACUCAAACAAGAACACAGAACAACAAAGAAAGAAUCUAUAUUGAAUUUCUCUCAACUAUACAGUACACCCCCACACCUCUAAGGGAGCCUAAUUUUCCCUCCACAGGAUAACAGAAUCCUGACUAUACAAAAGAAUUCCAAAAAACUCCCCUGUACACAAAAUAAGAGCUCUUUAUAUGAACUCUUUUCCUGCGCCCUACCUAACUGCCUAACUCUUAUGACAGUUAGGUUUCACUCUCAUUUAACUCUUCUCCUUCUCUCAUAAACCCUCCAUACUCUAUCAGAGACAAUGUCAACAGAUACCCUUGUUCAUUUGCACAACACAAUUUGAUUCAGGUCCAAAGGUAUCUCUAAAAAACUGUUAUACAUUUCAGAUGUUUCCAAAAGGUAACAAUGUUAAGGAAAUAUCAUUAGAGAGUAUUGAUGAGUGAAUCAUUCUAACAUGUAUGACUAUGCCUUGACACCAACCAAGUAGUCAACAUGGAUAUAAUAUGUAAGGUUUAUAAUUCAUGCUUGAUAGAUGAAGAGUGAUAUGAAUUAAUGUGUAGGUGUGUUUUUGUUAUAUAAAAGAGGAAAUGAGCGAUAGAAAGACCAGAUUUUCUAAGAAGUGACGAUCUCUUGAAAAUGUCCGCAUUUCAUAUUGCUCAACUCCAAAUUUUUUGGCUUGUGCACGCCCUUCAGCUGUUAUUGAUCUUAUACCAACCUGAAAUAGAUUAAUGAGUUAAAAACAGCAUGAAGAAUACUAAUGUGUCAUGCACAACAUAGAUGAAGAAUGAAAUAUUUACUAUCAUUCAUGAGGAAAAUUGCAUCAACUUAACUACCCAAACAAAUUAACAACUAAUGUGCAGACUAAGAUAUACGUGAAAGAUUUAUCAGAUAAAUUCACUAUAAGAGAAUAAAUCAUUUUGAGAGAAUGGUUGAAUAUAAUGAACUAAUUUCAGCAAAGCAUGUUUUGCUUUGUAAAAGGUUCUAAGGAAUUCAACUAACAGUUCUAUUAACUUCGUGGACAAGUUACACACUGUUUCAGAUAAUCAGUAAUAAAUCAUAACUGUGCAAAAAGGAAUCAUAAAAUGGGAAUUAGAUUCCUUCAUUUGUGAAAUCAGAUACGUGAAGGAUUAGCCACAUCAUCCAUAUGUCCUACACCUAAAUUGGUUGUCCUCUUGCAAGGGUUCCAUAUGAUUACAUCUUGAGUCCUGAUCAAGUUAUAUUUAACUUCUAAACAAAAUCCCACCUAUUCUACGAAAAAUAAUCAGCCAAAAUGCACAAAUUAACAGAACAUAAAGGCUAAAUGAGAUUUAAGUUAUUGCAAUGUAUUAACAAAUUAAACCAUUUAUAUUACAAAUAAAUCUGCAAACAUCAAAUAAUUGCCUGCAAAAGUCGUCGAACAUAGUUGCCCUCCAUGACUCGAGCAAAAGAUGAAGCAUGUGAAUAAAUGUUUCCUUCAAAGGCAUCGUAGUUAUCAGGAUGUGCAUCAAGAUGAAGAACAUCAACAGGUCCUCCAAGCUUCUCAGAGACAGCUCGGAUAACUGGAAAUGAUAUUGAGUGAUCACCACCUAAAACUAAGGGGCGUAAUGGUUCCUGUAAUAAUGUAGACACUAUGAGAAUUAUGCAAAGCAAAGUUACAGAAUAUUAUCAGAUACCAGAAUAUGAGAAAAAUAUUAAAAUUCAAAGUAGAUUUGAUGGAAAGAAUGCUAUUAUUUUCACUAAAAAGCCCCCAAAACAAGUCAGUUUUUUGGAUAAAUAAACCCAAUAAUUAAAUAAAAGGACCUUCAAAGACUUUCUCUUGUCAUGUUACACAUGGAUCCUUCCUUACUCACGUUCAACAAUUGCCAAGAAGCCACUCUUCAUUUCAGAAAAUCAGGAUUGAAGACCAGAGUAUCUAUCUCCUUUUAAAAUGAAGUUUUUUCUUACCAAUAUAUUAAAUUGAUCAAACAAUUAAUGACAGUAAGCUUUCAAAAUAAUGCCAGUAUCAAACCUAAAACAUAAAACAAAAGAUCAAUAGUUUUUCAUUUCGUCACUUUUUCAACACUUUAUCAGGUGUAAAUCACUAUGCACUUAAAAUAAUAAGGAAAUACGAACCAAAAACAAAGAAAUGACAUAUACUGCAAGUUGUGGGUCAUGUGAUUUAAUAAUUCCAAAUAAUGUGACAGCAUUCAAAGCACAAGUUCACAAAUUUCAAAUUUACCUCAUCCAUCACUAACUUUACAGAUUCACCAAUUACAUUCAUUAAUCUGUGAUCAUCUACCCCACAAUCUCGAAUUUCUUGAAUUGGGACAUCACCAACAUCAGUAAGAACCCGUGCAUCUUGUAACUCCUUGCCUGCAUAAUCAAAAUUGUCAUAUUAUAAGCUACUUAUUAUCAAAAUUUACAUGUAAUUGCAGGCCAAAAACGAUAAUAAUGAGGGCACUGUGAAGUAACAGUGGCAGUGAUCUAUAUCCCACGAAAUAAGUUGCUUCCAUGGACACUGUAGAUUCACAAACAAAGGAUAACUAGAGACAGGUGAGCAGGCAUCUUACACAACUCCAUGCUAUCCUAGGAGGAUACAACCAAAAGAGAAGGGAGGUAACAGAAAUCCAAACAACAUAAAAUGUCAGAAUUGUUAACAACGUAAGAAAUAACAUCCAUUAUUUCAAUUUCCAAUUGGAUAUUAGUUUAAAUCUUCUACUAAGAUAACUUGAUGCAAAUAACCAAUUACCAUUUGAGUGAGUUUACAAUGCAAACUUUAACCUGUGCUAAAACCAAAAACAAUUCCAAAGAUUUCUACUUCCAAAGAAAACGAUAUGACUAUACCUUCUUCAGUUGUUGAGUUUGUGCUACCACACCAAAUGGCCUCCCUAAUGCGAGGAGGCGCAAAUGCAGGUCCUUGUAGGAAUGAUGAAUUAUGUCCCAAAGGAACUCCAAGAAGAGUUGAAGUUGCUUUAGAUCCUCCCAAAGCACGCACAAGUUCUCCCUGAGAAAAAGAGAACUCUUACAUUCACGUUACUUUCAUGCACAUCUCAAAAUCACUGAAAUAAAAUAUAAAAUUGUGGGACAAAAGAAACAACACUAAAGAAACACAAAUUCAGGAAAGAAGGAUAAAAAUAAAUAUGACAUGCCUUUAGCUUUGCUCUUUCUCGAAUAAGUGUAAGUGAAGCAUCUAUGACACGACUUUGGCCUUUCUCUAGCAUAGCAGCAGAUACUUUUGCUGCAUUUAGUGCUGGCAUGUAAUGGAUGCCUCUGCGUACUAUAUUCGACAUCUCUGUAUCAAACGAAUAAAACAAUUAAUAUAUAUCUAGAGGCCAAGUAUUUAUUUAAAUUUUACUCAUUAAAUACAAAUGGAUUUUUCUAUUGAAGAGAAGUGAACAGAGAAAUUUGCAAAUGUCAAUUCAGACUUUAGAGUAUUAGAGCCAAUGACACUAUACACAUCCAGUAUACAGAAAUCCCUAGAUCAAGGGACAUUUCGGUUUUAGAGAACAUUAUUAAUUGCAAUUUCAGUAAAAAAAAAAUAUAACACAUUAUUUUCACUUUACUUUUUGUUCUCAAAAGUUUGUAUAGGAGACAAAAAAAACAGACAACUUAUUAAUGUUAUGUUGUACAAACUUUUGAACAUGGGAAACAAAGUGAAAACGUGGUAAAAUUUAUGCAAUUAAAGGUGAAAUCAAAUAAUAACAGAAAACAUUUUCCCAGAUCAAACCUCUUCUCAACCUAAAGUCCUAAACGCACAAACAGACAUGUGACUUAAACCACUAGCAUACAUCAGGAAUCUAUUCAACCUCAAUGUUGAUCAAAAUGCUUUUCUUUUAUUCUUUCUGAGUUAAUUAUUCAAAUCAAACAUAUUACCUAUUUAGUUGUUGACAUUAAUACUAACUAAAACUCACAUGUAGCAGCAGGAAAAUACACUAGAAAAUGAACAAUACAGGGAAGGAAAAAUGAUUAAUUACAUAUGAAUUAUGUCUUCAAGCAAUACAUAUGAAACCAACAAGCAGAAACAAAAAGUAUUAGCAAUAUGAUUUAGAAAAACAUUCUUUUUGCUUUGUUGAAGCAGUAUAUUGAUUAUAGAAAAUCAUAGGCUUUCAAUUGCAAUCGUGAUAAAAAUUCAUGUAUGUACGAGAGCCAAGAGUUUUAUAUACAAGUACUCAAAAUUUCUUUAACUUGAACUCUUCUUCGAGUAGAGUACAGGAAUUCAAACUCCAACGUAUGUAAGUAUUCUCCAAGAUUUACAUGACAUCAUUAGAUUUUUGUGCGCAUCAUGUAGGAACUUCUCUCACAGAGAAUCCUAUAAACUUAGCCUUCAACAAUAAAGCCAUUCAGGGUCAUCUGACCCAGGAUUUGAUUCAACUUGAACAAGGACUGACACCUUUCCAAGUGAGGGAUGUUUCGAACGAAGAUGUGGGAGGUGUUCCAAUUACGGACAAGAAUGAGUGUACAAAGAACAUAGGAAGCCUAAAAAUGAGAUUUUUAAAGGGUAUCUGAAUCUGACUUUGCUCACAAACAGAAUAAACAUGGCUCGACAACGAUCAACGAAAGUAAGUUCCAUUGUCUGUUCUCUUACAGUGUCACACUUUUUCAAGGAGACCUAAAACUAGGGUUGUUGUUAAGGGUAUCAGAAUCUGAGUUAGUUCCAAACAUAAUAAACAUGACUUGACAAUGAUCUAUGAAAGAAAGGCUCAGUGCUUGCUCACUGACACGAACAUUGUACCACACAUUAUACAAAAAAAAUAACAACGAAUCAACCAUUGAAGGCUUUACCUUUUUUUUUAAUUUAUUCAGAGUAAAAUUGCUCCUAAGUCUUACAUAUAAAAAAAAUUGGAACAAAAAAAAAUUAAAUUGGUACAUAAUGAGGGAUUGAAUAUAGUUAGGGCUGAUAAAAGAGAAAAGAAGUAGAAGAAGAAGAAGAGGCUCACCUUAUUGAAGAAGAUGAAGUGUAGUUUUAGUUUGAGAAGGUUUGAUUUUUGCUAAAUAGAGUGAAAUUGUGAUGUGUUCUUUCCCAGGUUGUGUUUUGUUUUGUGUGCACACCAAACCAAAUCUGCCAAAUCACUACAAAUAUUCUUGAAUCAGUGGAAUGAUAAAGUGUAUUUAUCAUAGUAUGGAAAGAUGUAAAAGCAUGGGCAAAGCAUGUGUUGACAUCACUGUUUAUUUAUAAAAUAAUUAUCAUGUGAUAUUUAUAUUAGGGAUAAUAUUUUUUAACAAUAUUUUAAUAUUAUUUAUUUGUUAUUAUGUGGGUGGUUUAAAAUUACUCCACAAUCAACAAAAAAUAAUCAUAAACACCACAUAAAUCAAUCACACCACACUUAGAUGUCGAUGUUAAAAUAUUAUCAAAAGAAUAUUGUCACAAUAUUAUUAUAUUUUUUUAGUAUGUGUCACAAUAUCAUUAUAUUUUUUUAGUUUGUGUCACAAUAUCAUUAUAUUUUUUUAGUAUGUGCCACCACGUAUUAACUUUACAUAGUUUUAUUCUUCGGAGAGAAAAAAAUAGAGUUAAAAACAAUUUCUAAGAAGAUUCUUAAAAAUAACAUUAUUUUAUGUAUAUAAAAAAAGUGGCUAGAAGAAAGAUUAAGUAAGCCAACUUUUAAAUAUAGCAAUACAUCUAGUUUGGCUUUUAUAUAAAAAUAUUUUUAAAUAUCACUUUCAUUUCAUGCAGUAUUCUGCACGAUAAAAAAUAGAUAAAAAAAAUAAAGGUUUAAUGUUUCAAUAGAUCUUUAUUUUGUCUAGAAUCUAAAAAAAAUAAAGGUUUAAUGUUUUUAUUUUCGUCGAGAAUCUCAAAUAGGACCUUUCUUUUUCGAAAUAGGAACCUUUCUUUUUCUUUUUUUGCAUUUUAAACAUGUUUAAAUUGUAUUUUAUAUUAAAAAAAUUACAAACAGGAGAAAUCAUAUUUACUUAAAAGACAAAGUGGGCAAAAGAAAAGAAAUUAAGUGCAACCUAGCAACUGAGAAAUCAAUUUAAAGCUCGACUCCAAUUCAAACAUUGCAAUUUUAAUUACACCAGAGAAUCCCUAAUUUCCCCAUUACACCACUUUUUUUACACCAUUUUUACACUGCCACGUGUCGUCACGGGAUUGGCUAUUACAUUUUUCAAAAAAAAAUUGGAAAUCUGAAGUUACAAUGGAUGAGAAAUUUUGAAUUCUAGGUUUCCAUUUUUACCCUUAUCCUUGUUUUAUCAUAUUUACACAUUCCCUUUGCUUUGUUCUCAUUUCUCCAUCUUUGUUCUCACUAUUGUCGCCCCUUCCUCCCUGUCGGCCUUCGAUCUCAUUCUCACCAUCUUGUGUUCACGGUCUUUGACGAUUCCGUUGCAUCUGUUCGUUGUUGGUUGCCUGUGUCUUCGGUGUGCAAAAUGGACGCUUCCACUCACCACGGUCCUUCGAUGAGCAAGGUAAGUUUGUUGUUCCAUUCGCCCAUUUUGUUUUUGCCUAUUUUGUUCUUCGUUCCUUCGUUUGUCCAUUUUGUUAUUUGCGUUUUCGUUUCUCGUUUCUCGUUCCUUCAACGCCUAAGGUAAAUUUGUUCUUCGUUUUUCGUAUGUCCAAGGGAAAAAUGGGCUUUCCCUUUUACCUUAUGUGUUUGUAGUUGUUUUUAUUUUAGGGUUUUUAAUUUUGUUGUUGUUUUGUUUGUGGUUGAUGCAGUUGACAGUUCGGCACUCCUUUUCCACAAAGUAUAUUUCAACUUUGAACAACCAAUUGACACAGGAGCACCGAUCAGUGAUUUUUGGGACUCCUUUUCAUUGGUUCCUAGAUUUGAGUCCUAAAGUUAGAAUAAGGAGGAAUAUAUUGAGUGAGUUAGUGGUUAAGUGGGUGGAUUUGAGUGGUUCUUUUUUAAUCGGAGAUAAACUAGUCCCUAUGACAGAGAAGGACUUUUGUUUAGGUCUGGGGUUGAGUUCUGAUGGUAAGGAUUUGAACUUGAAGGAAAAUUUUAAAAGAAGUUCAUGUGUUAAAUAUGUAGGCAAAGACACAAAAGAUUCGGAUUUGGUUUACAAAUAUUAGUUGGGAUAUUUGAGAUAUUAUUUCCCAAUCGUAGCGGAAGAGUGUUUCCACUUUUGUAUGAAAUUGUUGAUAAUUUAAGUGGUUUGGGUGAUUUUUGUUGGGGUAGUUUAGUGUACCCUUAUUUGGUACGUAGUUUGUGCAAUGCUUCAGAUGGUUUGAAGAAAGGAAAAGGCACAAACAACGUUUAUGUAGAUGGUUGUACUUACAUGCCGCAGUUAAUUUAAGUUAAUUCAUUUUUUGUUGUGCAUUGUGGCUUGAAUUGUAUUUUUGAGUACCAGUUGUGAUGAUGAAAUUUGUAUAGGUAUGGUUUUGUGAGAAUUUUAUACCUCCCAAAGUUCAAAUAGAUAAAUUUCCUAGAAUAUUGCAUUGGAUGAAUGUACAUUUGGGAGACAAAGUUGUGAAACGAGCUUUGGAGAGUGGUGUGGUAUGAUCUUUAUUGUUUGAGUGAUUUUUGUUAUCAUAUAUAUCUUCUUGGUAUGAUAUGAUUUGUUGAAUUUUAGGUUCAUCAUGAUGUUGAUGUUGGUACAAUGAAUGAUGACAAGGAUGACCAACCAAGCCCGAAAAUGAAAGAUGACAAACCACCUUCAGCAAAGAAGCUAUUGAAAUGAAAACUCAAAGAGAGUGUAAUGCUUACCAUAGAGCAUCAGCAAAAUCUAGUUGCAGAGCUUAAAAGGAAGGUUCUUGUGUUGGAGCAAGAGGUUGCUUAUGAGAAAGCUAGAUGAAGAAGACCAGAGGAUGGUGGACAGAGUGUGCCACGUGAAGAACCUUCCAUCUGGCAUAUCCCCAGAAGGCAUGUCCACUGAUCUAGCUCCAAUGAAGACUUUUGUGAGGAUGGGUUCACAAAGGCAUUUCAAAAGUAGAGCUCUUAGGACUCCUUUUACUGGAUGCCUUAGAAUAAAAAAAGUGUGACAUUAUUAUAGGUUUGUUGAGAGAUUGUAAUGUAUAAUUAGUCUCAGUCUUACUGUUGACAGAUGUUUUGUAAUUUCAAUUGCAAAGAUUGUUACUUUGAACUUUCCUUGUUUGACAUACUAUUACAGUUAAAUGAAUGACAAAUGUUAUUGGCAUUGAGAAAUAAUGUUACCAUUGAAUUGUUAAAUAUUAAAGUUGACAUAUUGUUUUAGUCUUGAUGGAUGUAAUGGAGGAAACAAACAAUACAUGUGGACAUAGAAAACAAUUUUUGUUGAAUAGACAAACCUAGUUGAGUAAAUAAGGCAUUAGUAAACGUUUACAGGUGGUGUGUAAACGUUUACGCGCACAAAAUUAGGGUUUUGUACAAAAAGUUGUCCUGCAAGAGCCAGUUUUUAGGACAUAUGGGAUCAGUAAGUGAAUUGUCCAAUUUUGGUGCAAAGAUUUAAGUGUUUUGUCUUGUUUUUGUUGUCUAGGUGUGUCUUGGGUGUGAUGAAUCAGGUUUGGGCACCCCAACUUGCAUAUAGGGAGUAGUUGUUUUGACUACAAGUAGUUGGUUGAAGUCCUAAAACAAGUUUGUGAAAAAAUACACUUGUAAACGUUUACAGGAGGUGUGUAAACGUUUACGCGUACGAAAUUGGGGUUUUGUACAAAAAGUUGUAUUGUAGGGGCCAAUUUUUUUUAGUACAUAGGAGACCACUAUGUGAAUUGUCCAAUUUUUUGCAAAGCUUGAGUUGUUUUGUCUUGUUUUUGUGGUUUAGGUGUGUCUUGGUUGUGAUGAAUCACGUUUGGGCACCCCAACUUGCAUAUAGGGAAUAGUUGUGUUGACUACAAGUAGUUGGUUGAAGUCCUGAAACAAGUUUGUGAAAAAAUGCACUAGUAAACGUUUACAGGAGGUGUGUAAACGUUUACGUGCACAAAAUUGGGGUUUUGUGCAGAAAGUUGUACUAUAGGGGCCAAUUUUUAGUACACAGGGGACCACUAUGUGAAUUGUCCAAUUUUUUUGCUAAGCUUGAGUUGUUUUGUCUUGUUUUUUGUUGUUUAGGUAUGUCAAGGUUGCGAUGAAUCACGUUUGGGCACCCCAACAUGCAUACAGGGAGUAGUUGUGUUGACUACAAGUUAUUGGUUGAAGUCCUGAAACAAGUUUGUGAAAAAAUGUACUGGUAAACGUUUACAAGAGGUGUGUAAACGUUUACGCGCACAAAAUUGGGGUUUUGUACAAAAAGUUGUACUGCAUGAGCCAAUUUUUAGUACACAGGGGACCACUAUGUGAAUUGUCCAAUUUUUUGCAAAGCUUUAUUUGUUUUGUCUUGUUUUUGUUGUUUAGGUGUGUCUUGGGUGUGAUGAAUCAGGUUUGGGCACCCCAACUUGCAUAUAGGGAGUAGUUGUGUUAACUACAAGUAGUUAGUUGAAGUCCUAAAACAAGUUUGUGAAAAAAUGCACUGGUAAACGUUUACAGGAGGCGUGUAAACGUUUAUGCGCAUAAAAUUGGGGUUUUGUAUAGAAAGUUGUACUGCAGGAGCCAAAUUUUAGUACACAGGGGACCAUUAUGUGAAUUGUCCAAUUUUUUGGUAAAACAUCACUGGUAAACGUUUACAGAGGACACAAUAUGGUGAGUUCACCCUACGUCAUUCAAUACAAGAAACCAUAAAGAUAAUUAUUAUGAAAUAUAAAAAUUACAUGAGUUGAACAUAAACUCAUCAUGUCGUUUGUCAUUCACACUGAUAUUGGGUGGUUAAGAUUACAACUACAUCCAUUAAUGUGAACUUCUACUGUAAUAUCAUGGCAAUGGUGGUCAACCUCGAAGACAAUAACGUCUCCUUCCUUCAAGCCAUAUUUGAUGCAAAUUUCUUUCCAACCUUUUCCAAACUUUGUUGAAUUCCUAGUAUGUGAAACCAAAACCUUGUAGAGGAUGUCAUCCUUAUGACCAAGAAGCUCAACCUUUGUCAAGCCUUUGUUCCUAAUUUCAUUCCCAAAUUAUUUCCCAAGUCCUGUCAAAGAAUGAACAUGAAGUGAAUGAUAGUGGGAAAUUUUAUUACUGAUCAAAAUUAAUUUGAAAAAUUUGUACUUUUUAAUACAUACCAAAUGACUUCCUUCACAUUGUGAUUUAGUCAAUUUGACAGCGAAUAAUGACGAAUGAGGAUCAUAAGUACACAGAUCAAUGAAAUAUUCCCUACUCUUCUCGGUGCAAGGACCAAAAUAAAUUAUAAUGUUGACAUUAUUGUGACCCAAAUAUUGGAAGGUGAUGUGGGCAUCAUUAAGCCUUUCAUGGUAUAUGUUUUUCAGUGAACAUCAUUCAGUCAUAAUUCUAGGAUGCAAUAAGUUCAUGUUAUAGGUUACCAAAUGUGUGUGGCCGUGAUUGUCCAACAACGACCACGUAGUUUCUAAUUCAUUUUGAAACACUGCAGCAAAAUGCCUAUCCACAUACCCAAAAUCCUGCAGUCAUACUUUCAAAAUAAGAAUAAUAUAGCAUUUUUUAAGAAAAUUUUAAAGAAAGACAACAUGUUUACCAAAUCUGUGAGGUGGAUGGUUGAGAACUCCCACAAGAUUGUUGUUGUUCCUGCGCUUGAUGAUGCGGCCAUGAUUUUGACAAGAACAAAAUGAAAGUGUGGAUAUGUUUGUGUUAGUUCAUUUGAAAGAUACCUCAUCAAGGAAUUUAUAGGUCAUUCACAUGUUUCUUAAAGACUCCCAAGUCUUUUGGUCAAAGCAUUGCAUUCAAUGUUUGGAUAAUAGUCAUGUUGAAUGUCAUUGGGAAAAUAUUGGAGAGUUAAAUGCCUUUUAAUGUACCAUUAUGGUGUCUUUUAAUGUACCAUUAUUGUAGUCAAACAGUUUCACCUCCAACACUCUGAACACGGUUUAGCAACAAUAUCCACCAACAUGCAUUGCAUUCAUGGAAAAAAAUCACAGAUAUCAUAUUUGGUCCCCUAUGUUCUAAAAACUAGCUCCCUCAGUACAACUUUUUGUACAAAUUCUCUAUUUCACUCGCGUAAAUGUUUACCAAGGCCAGUAAACGAUUAUCAGUGACCUGUAAACGAUUACAACUAACUUUUUUCUAGCACAACUCACACGAAAUCAAACAACUUUCUAAACUGUAAACAAUUACCAAUCACUGUAAAAGAUUAGCAGUCACUUUUAUGAUGCAGAAUUUUCAGUCAUUCACUUCAAUUGGACAACUAUAGCGUUUAUUAAAAGAUAUUAUUAUUAUCGCGCUUGACUUUAUAAUUCAUACACAAACAACAUAAAUAAAUAGACAUUGAAUAUAAUAUUAAUUGCAUAUAAAUCGUAUGUAUAUAUCAUUCGUCUUAUAAAUCUGUACAUAUUACAAUAUAAUAUGUAUUCAUAUAUCAUUGUGGCUCUAAAUACAUAUACAAGUUUUCCAUAUGUAUUCAAUCUUGCAACAACCCAUAUAGAGCUAACACUUCCAAUAUUCUAAUGUUCUUGAUCUCAAGGAUCCAAUCCUUUACGUAGUUCUUUCUAAUUUCACGCAGUUCCUCCUGAAACAAAAUAUAUUUUACUUUAGAUAUAAUUAACAACAUCAUGAACUAGUAGUAACAAUAAAUUUGGUACUUACAUUCAUAUACUUUGGCAUGCUCUUACCAUUGUAUUUGUCCUCUCCAUUCCAAAUUUCCAUAACUUUUAACAUGAUGACUCCACAAUCAUAUCUUAAAUAAUAUAACCAAAACAUAUAUCACUUAUCAAAACAAACAAUAAUGAAAUAACCAAAUAUUUAAAAUAAUUGAUUAAAACAACUUACAAGUUCGGUUGGGAUGGGAUAUUUAAUUAUUCAACAAACAAAGGACCAAUACUGCCUUCGAGUCUAUCAUACAACAUGCAAAAGAAUUUGGCCAUAUUUUCACCCUACCAAAGAAGUUCAUUAACCAAUUAAAAAAACAUCACCACAUCAAAUAAACAAAAAUAUUCAAAAACAUACCACAAAUUUGUCAAUCCUUUUCCUAUCUCUAACACCCUUUCCCAAUGAGUCAAUGACAUAUAUUUCUAAUGUUGUAAUUUUCACUGCAUAGCACCACCAAUGCUCAUCAUGGACAAAUGGCAUAAACAACUACAAACAAAGACAAACCAAAUGUCAAUACUUCACCAAUCUAAAUUUUCCAAACAUAAUAAUUACAUAUGUUUCUAACUCACAAAGUCAGCUGUGGGAAUGUCUCCAAGACCAAAUAGAUGAGACCUCAUAUAGUUGGCAAAAUUACGCAUGGUAUAAACAUGUCGAUUUUGAGGAUGUCUCCUAAAAUAAUCAAGAACAUAAUGCUAUGAACAAUUUCAAAUGAAUCAAUGCAUUGCUAAUAUUUCUACCAAGAAAUAUAUCAUACAAAAUAAAUUACAAUGUACCGAAUAUAAAGAACUGAAAUGAACCCUCUUGACUAAACCGGUCGACCUUCUUUGGAAGUGCAUAAAGAUUGUAGACACCAGCCCAAUGUUUCACCAUAUACUUCAAAAAUUUCAAAUUCAUCUCAAUAGGGUUUAAAAUUUGUGCACACCAAUGAAAUAGGGUCAUCCUAAUACGCUCUAUGUGAGCGUUUCUCAAUAAACUAUUCAUUUCAAGAAGGGUUGUCGAUUCCAUGGAGACACGCAGACGCCACUACAAAACAUUAACAAAAAUAUCAUAAAUACUAUAACACAAAACAUCACCCAUACAAAAUGUGCACAAAAUUUACAUUCAAUCUUACACUUGGUUUUCGGGAUGCCAUUGGACCUGCGCUCAUAACAUGCACAAAACAAGAUUGUCCACAACAUCGUUAGGGUUCGUGAAUGAACAAAAAGUAAAUGGAGAAGAUGCUGAGAUAUGGUCCAGUUCCACUUACCAGUCCCAAACGUAGACGAUACAGAACAUGGCUUCCACGCUACACAGCAACACAAAAAUGUCACAUGGCUUCAACAGUCCACAACGACAAAGCGACAAAGAGCACGAAGCCCAAAGAAAGGGCACUAAAACAAAACCACACAAAAAUAGAUGACAGCGAAACUGAUGACCGAAAGGGCUUCAACGACGAGAGAGAGAGAGAGAGACAGGGCUUCAACACCGAUAGAAAGGACAUAUCAAUGGUUGACGACAGCGAAACUGAUGACCCAAAGCAAUUGUAGAUGAAAGCAAGAGGUGCGAGUGAUGAAACGACAGUGAUGAUACGAGAGCAAGAGGCGAGAGGAGAGAGGCAAUGGCUUCAGAGAGUCGUGACAGAAUGAGAGACAGAACGAGAAAGAAGAAACCGCGAAACUAAAAAUUGAUUUUUCCCCUUCCAAGUUUACCCUUGGCUCAGAACUAAACCCUUUUUUUUAAUUCAAAAUGCCCAAUGACACUUUCCCACGUGUGUAGUGUCAAAUUGGUGUAAAAAAAUGGUGUUCACGUAGCGUUUUCGUUACCUAAAGGACAAAGUGGGCAAAAGAAAAGAAAUUAAGUGCAACCUAGCAACUAAGAAAUCAAUUUAAAGCUCAAUCCCAAUUCAAACAUUGUUAUUUCAAUUACACCAGAGAAUCCCUAAUUCCCAAUUUCAGUAGAUCUUAAUCUCCAAAAUCAGAUAACAAAAGGAACCCUAAAUCACAGAGUCAAGAAUUUCCCAAUCACAACUCGUAGUUGACGUUGUCAUCGUCUGAUAAGGCAAUCACUCACCCUCGUUGUUGUCGCCAGAGAUCACUCCUGACGCAUUGUCGUCGUCUUCUCGCACCACCACGACGCCGUUCGCACAUAAGCUCGGUUAGAACUGAACCCGCGUCCACCAUUGCAGGUUGAUUCUAAGGAGGAAAGCUUUCGCGACCCCCACCGCGUCCUAGCCACCGGUAAGCUUAUCCCUACCUAUAAAACCCGUAGCAGAACCAAGAAGAAGAGAAGGAAGGAAGACGUCUACUUCCAACUCCAGAGUUCAAACAAGGUCGAAAGGAGGAACAACCUCUCAAGCGAAACACGCCAUUGCCGAAAACGACAAUCAGAUCUUCUCCCCACAAGGUCGCAACCAUGGUACGAAGAAUCGAGAAGAGAAAGAGGAAGAAUUUUCCUGCGUGCGCCGUGAGACUCCCAUUGCUGGGGUUUUUGGUUCAAGAAAAGAAAGGUGUCACCUUAGCAACUUUCUCGCUGAAACAAAGAGAAAGGAAAUGAAGUUUCUCAGAAUCCUACAAUUCAUCUAUUAAUUUAAUUUCUCAACUUUACAGCUUAAAGUCUUUCAAAAUAUAGGAAAUAUAUAAACUAGAUCCUAAGAGCUGGGAGCUGUGCCAUCUUCCUCCAAAGCAUGCUCUAGAGGAACACCAUCUGCCUCUACUCACAUCCAAAGUUGGAUGAUCAUCGCAAAAAGGGAAAACCAUACACAAGUAACACACAAACAGACAAUGCAAGGGUAAGCUAGAUUCUCAAAGGCAAACAUACUACUAUAAUUUUUAAAUCUAACAUUUACAAUCAGAAUUAGGCAUACAAGUACUUAGCACGUUGCAACAGACCACAACUAAAAUAAGAAUCGUCCGGACCUAGAAUGAACAUCGAGAUAUGGCGGGUUGUGCACUUGUGGUGGCCUCUACUGCUUUGCAAAGCCAUUGCCAUGGGUUGAACCCUACCACACACACAAGUGUAAGCCUGUUAUCACUCGCCUUGGGUCAUACUGGAAGCACCCAAGACUAGGACCUCCUACUACUCUCACCACAUGAGAAAUUCUUCUCUAAGUGAGAUUGAAUAAGUCAUUAAAGAGUUAGGAUAACCCCCAAGACCGAGCUUACCUAUGUUCAUUCCAAACACUACUGAAAUCUCACCAAGAGAUCCACUUAACUUUCCAAAUUACAUCAUAUGGAACUCAAUAAUUUGUUCAAAACAAUCUCAAAAGCAUUCAAUAUUCAUUAACAGAUAAUAAUAGUUUUAGAAGAACCACUAAACAACACAAAACNUAGUGAACUCCUACUUAGAAAAGGAAAUUGACUUUGAAACCAUCAUCAACAGUUCCGGAAGGGUCAAAAACCCCCGGAACGACCUAAAGAACGUCUAAAAAUGAUACCCGAAACCCCGAAAACCACUCAAAAUUGUCCGUGAUGAUUUCCUGACAACUAUAAUCGAUUAUUACAUAUGAUAAUCGAUUAUUUAAGUGAACUUUGAAGAAAAUAUGACGUUUUGACUAGAAUAAUUGAUUAUUAUAUAUAAUAAUCAAUAAUUACAUAUAAUAAUCGAUUAUUCUUAUCAGUAUUGGACAACAACCAUAAUUUUCUGGUUUUAGUGCAUCUGAGACACUCUGAUGAGUUUCUAACACUCCUAGAUUGAUCUAUCCGAUGAAUUGAACUUGUCUAGAUUGUUACAAAUCUUCCUAACCUCUAUUCCUAGUGGUUAUGCAUCAUAUUAGAGUCAAAAACUUCAAUUUUAGUUACUAAAAGACUCAAUUUCGGAUUUACCAAUUUGGAAGUGUUUCAGACCACUUUGAGGCUGCUAAUAGAUCANAUUUGACUUAACUAAAAGACUACAAUUGCCUAAGCCAAACCCUAACCUCUAAAAAGUCACCAUCUAGUUCCCUAAGUUUGACUCCCCUAUUAUCAUUAACUUGACUGUGUUACUACUGAAAUGUAUAACUUGAACUCAUAACUCUUAACACUAAAUUCCAGCAAUCAAAUACACACUCAUACCAAUUCCUAGUUCAUAUAUACAUCAACACAUAGCUCACAAAUAAGAAAAUACACUCUUCGUUCUCAAUUAACACCUCCACAUAACAAAUAUCAGUCACAAAAGUUCACAACAAUUUCUCAGGAAAACAGUCAUAUUUAUAAACACACAUUCAGUUCAUGCACAUUUCAUUCCACACAAAAUCUAAGAGUCUAGCUUCCUUUACCUCUAGAGUGAACGGUCCAACCCCAGGAAAAUGCACAGUGUCCUGUUCUUAGGAAAGAAACCUAAAGGCACCUAUAUUUCACCAAAUGGUGAUAGGAAUUAGUCUCUAAAAUAAGAUUAGGGUUAAGAUUUUGGGGAAAAAAAAAUCACAAAUGAACCACAUGCAGCAGAACUUGCUACAUGAUCAAGGUUCAAAAAGAGGAAAGUUGCUUAUCUUAUGAAAUCCAAUGACUCAAUGGAGGAGAAAUCUAGAGAGAAGAAGAAUAAUUUUUUGGAAAAAGUAAGGUUAGAGAGAGAGCCGAUGUGGAAAAAGAAAAAAGUACGCUUCUGAACUGUGUAAUGAAGCUACUGUUAUGUUUAAAUUUUUCUAAAACAAAAUCUUAUUAAUUUAAUAUUAUUAGAAAUCUUAAACUUAAAAUUGUAAGUUAUUACACUCUCCCUAACUACAAAAAUUUUCGUCCCCGAAAAUUUGACUUACCAGAGAACAAAUGAGGGUAGGACUUCUUCAUUUCUUCCUUUCUCUCCCAAGUAGAAUCACCGGUUCUGUUGUCCCAUAAAACUUUGAUCAGUGUAGUAGCUUUCCCAUCUGGUCGUUUGGUUAGCCUCUCAUCUACUUUGACCGACUGCAUAUCUAUAGAAAGAUUUUCCUUGACUUGUACAGUGUCAGCUUCCAACACGUAGGAAGGGUCGGGGACAUACUUUCUCAACUGAGAAACAUGGAACACUGGAUGGAGAUUAGCUAGCUGAGGCGGCAUAGCUAUCUCAUAUGCAACAGGUCCAAUGCGUCUCAGUAUCUGAUAAGGUCUGAGGUAUCUGGUAGAACACUUCUUUGCACGGAUGGCCUUUCUCACUCCAGUAGUAGGCGUUACACGAAGGAAAACAUGGUCCCUAGCCUCAAACUCUAGGGAACGACGUCUCUUAUCAGCACAUGACUUCUGCCUACUCUGAGAAGCCUUCAUUCGUUCUUGAAUUUACUUUACUUUCUCAGUUGUCUGCUGCACAACUUAUGGUCCAGUAAGCACUAAUUCUCCAUCUUGGAACCAGCACAAAGGUGUCCUGCAACGUCUCCCAUAAAGAGCUUCAAAUGGUGCCAUUCCUAUACUUGCUUGAAAGCUAUUAUUAUAGGUGAACUCUACCAAAGAUAACACUUCGUCCCAAGCUCCAAAGUGAUCUAGGACACAUGUUCUCAGUAGAUCUUCCAGUGAUUGAAUUAUUCUCUCAGACUAACCAUCUGUCUGAGGAUGAUAUGCUGAACUCAUCUGGAGCUUACUACCCAUCUCCAUCUGUAAAGUUUGCCAGAAUCUGGAGGUGAAUCGUGGGUCUCUGUCAAACACAAUGCUAGAUGGCACCCAUGUAGUCUGGCAAUCUCCUUAAUAUAAAGUUGUGCAAGCUUAGACAUGGACAUCUUCAAACUGAUAGCCAAGAAAUGAGCGCUUUUAGUCAAUCUAUCAAUAAUAACCCAGAUGGCGUCAUGAUUCCUGACAGUACGUGGUAAAUGGGUCACGAAAUCCAUGGCAAUACUAUCCCAUUUCCACUCAGGAACAUCAAGUUGUUGUAACAUGCCACCGAGCCUCUUAUGUUCAAUCUUAACUUUCUGACAUGUCAAGCAAGCUGAGACAAACUGGGCAACAUCACUUUUCAUAACGGACCACUAGAAAGAUUUCUUGAGGUCCUGGUACAUCUUAGUCAUGCCUGGAUGCAUGCUAAAAUGGCUGCGGUGUCCUUCCUCAAGUAUCAGUCUCUUCAAUUCAGCAUCAUUUGGAACACAUGUUCUUCCUCUGAAGCGCAAGAGACCAUCAGUCCCUGUGUUAAAAUCUUUUCCUUUCUCAGUGUCGAUCAAAGCUACUGUCUUUUGAAGCUCAGGGUCCAUCCAUUGACCUGUCUUAAUGCAUUCAAUUAAGUUACUAGAUACCACUAAUUUGUUGCAUCUGAUACUAUCUUCUUCAAACUCCACUUGUAGCUUCAAAUCUCCAAAGCUUUCCACCAGCUCUAAUUCUUUGACCAUUAAGGUACACAUAUGUGCUGCUUUUCUGCUUAAGGCAUCUGCUACCACAUUAGUCCUUCUUGGAUAGUAUAACAAGUCAAAAUCAUAAUCGUGUAAGAAUUCCAUCCAUCUUCGCUGUCUCAUAUUUAAUUCUUUUUGGUCAAAGAGAUAUUUAAGGCUCUUGUGAUCACUAAAUACUUGAAACUGAGAGCCAUACAAGUAAUGCCUCCAGAUUUUUAGUGCAAAGACUACUGCGGCUAGUUCUAAGUCAUGAGUAGGGUAGUUUUUCUCAUGAACUUUUAAUUGUCUUGAUGCAUAUGUUACCACCCUCUUGUCUUGCAUCAGUACACAUCCUAGCCCCUGAUGUGAUGCAUCACAGAAAACCUCAAAAGGUUUCUCUGUGUCAGGAAUGAUAAGCACUGGAGCACUAGUCAGCUUUGUCUUCAACUCUUGGAAGCAAGAUUCACAUGUAUCCGUCCAUACAAAGGGAUGAUCCUUUCGUGUCAAUUGAGUUAACGGCACCACGAUUCUAGAAAAGUUUUCAAUAAAGCGGUGGUAGUAGCCCGCUAAACCCACAAAGCUUCUUACUUCAGUAACUAUUUUAGGCCUUUCACAUUGCAAUACAGCUUGCACCUUAGCUGGGUCAACAAAAAUUCCACCAGUUGAAAUCACAUGGCCUAAAAACUGCACUUCUUCCAUCCAAAAUUCACACUUAGGCAGUUUAGCGUACAAUUUCCUUUCCCUUAGCACUCCAAGAAAUGUUCUAAGGUGAUGCUCAUGCUCCUCUCUUGUUUUGGAAUAGAUGAGUAUGUCAUCAAUAAAGACAACGACAAAUUUAUCUAGGAAGGGCCAGAAAAUCCGAUUCAUGUAAUCCAUGAAAACGGAUGGAGCAUUUGUCAAACCAAACGGCAUGACCACAUACUCGUAAUGGUCGUAUCUAGAAUGGAAGGCUGUCUUCUGAACAUCAUCAGGCUUUACUAAGAUCUGAUGGUAACCCGGUCUCAAAUCAAUCUUGGAGAAAAUAGCAGCUCCGUGCAAUUGAUCCAUCAAAUCAUCAAUUAUGGGCAGCGAGUACUUAUUUUUAAUGGUCAAUUUGUUUAAUUGUCUAUAGUCCACACAUAGUCUUGAAUUACCAUCUUUCUUCUUUACAAGUAAAACUGGAGCACCCCAUGGAGACACGCUGGGUCUAAUAAAUUGUUUCUCAAGUAAUUCUUCAAUCUGUUUCUUUAAUUUUGCUAGCUCCGCAGGCGCCAUCCGGUAAGGAACUAUAGAUAUCGGUCCCGCUCCUGACACCAGAUCAAUAGAAAAUUCCACCUCUCUAGGAGGAGGUAAUCCAGGAACCUCUUCUGGAAAGACAUCCAGAAACUCACUCACUACAGGAAGAUUUGCACCUGGAGUGCUUUGCAACGAUGCAUCCAAUAUCUCACUUCCCUCUACGUGAGACAAUAUCAAAAAACAGUUAGCUCUUUCAAUCAAGUCUUUCCUCAGUACGCCAAGAAGACAGAGGCAUGUACUCGUGUUCAUUAGGGAACACUAAUUUCUUCUCUCCACAGUCCAAAAGAAUGCGAUUGGUAGAUAACCAAUCCAUCCCUAGAAUAAUAUCUAAUCCUUGCAAAGGCAAACAAAUGAGGUUCACCUUGAACCUACGACCUUCUACGAUUAUCGGGCAUCGAAUGCAAACAUUCAAUGUCUUGAUCAACCCAGACACUGGUGUGGACACCACCAGAUCAAAGUGCAACCCGUCUACAGACAAUCCUAGCUUCUCCACACACUCCUCGGAUAUGAAGGAAUGAGUUGCCCCCGAAUCAAACAAUGCCACACAUGGAUGAUCAUACAACAAGCAGCAACCAAUAAUGAGGUUACCUGAGCUGGCAGCCUUUGCACCUGUCACAGCAUAAACCCUGCCCGAUGCCUGGGGUCGAGCACCUUCUCUCUAUAGAGAUCUACCGGCCUGUGGUAACUGAGAAGUAGCCCUCUUGCUCAUAGGACAAUCCCUCUCAUAGUGCCCUUCUUUCCUACACCGGUCGCAUCUUCUAUAGCUUGUUUUCUGAGGGCAUACAGAUAAAAGAUGGGCAUACAGACAUAACACCUGACAUUCCCUGAUAUGCCAGGCUGAGUGUACUGAACAGAAGACUGAGAUGAAGCUGAACCUCCAGACCCAAGAGAAGGAGUGGGUCUAGAGUAUGGGGUCCUUCGGGAGCUAGAUCCUCCCCUAGAUAUCACUGGUCUGCCUACUCUCUGUGAUUGUCUCUGCUGGUUAUCCACUUCCCUCUUGUUCUUCUCCAUUAUUUUUGCCCUUUCAACCAAGACAGGAAAUUGAGUGAUACAUAGGCCAGCCACUAAGAGUUUGAGAUCUCCUCUUAACCCAUUCUCAAACUUCCUACAUUGAUAUUCUUCAUUCAUGGCUAGAGUGUGGAAGCGAAGCAAGUGUUUAAAUCUGUCGGCGUACUCAGAAACGAUCAUAUCUCCUUGGACCAAUUGUAGAAAUUCCAACUCCUUUGCAAAACGAACACUGUUAGGAAAGUAUUCUUCAUAGAAUUUCAUCUUGAACAAGUCCCAGGUGAUUGAAACGUUAGUGCUCUCCAACAAGGCUCGGGUGUUACUCCACCAGUGACUAGCUUCCCCAGAAAGUAGAUACUCUGUGAAAGCUAAUUUGUUUUCAUCUGGGCAGUGUUUGGCUUGAUAAAUCCUCUCCAUACCUCUAAGCCAAUGGCCCGCCUCAUCGGGAGUACCCUUGCUAGUGAAUCUAGCUGGGCGGUGUUGCAAGAAGUUCUCUAAACUCCAUUCCUGAGUAGGGGCAGCAGUAGAAGAACCUGCAGCAGCUCUUCCUUCAGCCAUCAUCUCCACAAAUUGCCUCUGAGAGGCCUCAGCUGACACUCGGGCUGCCUUCAAUUAUUGCAAGGAAACUGUAUUUUGUUGGACAAGAGCUGCAUUUUGUUGUUGCAUUGACUGCAACACAUUCUCCAACAUCCUCAUCAUAUCUGGAGCUUCAUGAUUAUCAUUAGUUAGAGGAGGGGGAGGAGGUCUACGUGACAUCUUCUGUUCUCAUGGAGGGAAAAGACAAUUAGUUUUAUUUCAAGAAAUUAGAAAGAAUGCACACGUACACUUAAAGGCACACAAGCACAAGUAAGGAUGCUCAUAACCUACAGGUUCUCUAAGGAUAAAAACUGCUCUGAUACCAAAAUGUGACAUCCCAAAUUAUAUAAGAUGAUAUAAUAUAGAAUAGAACACAAAAUGAUAAAAGAGAGCAAUCAAGAGGAUAUGAAACAUAGGUUUAUGAUUUUACAGUCAUCCAAAAUAGAGGGGAAAUUUAAAACUUUACAGCUUAAAGUCUUUCAAAAUAUAGGAAAUAUAUAAACUAGAUCCUAAGAGCUGGGAGCUGUGCCAUCUUCCUCCAAAGCAUGCUCCAGAGGAACACCAUCUGCCUCUGCUCACAUCCAAAGUUGGAUGAUCAUCGCAAAAAGGGAAAACCAUACACAAGUAACACACAAACAGACAAUGCAAGGGUAAGCUAGAUUCUCAAAGNNNNNNNNNNNNNNNNNNNNNNNNNNNNNNNNNNNNNNNNNNNNNNNNNNNNNNNNNNNNNNNNNNNNNNNNNNNNNNNNNNNNNNNNNNNNNNNNNNNNNNNNNNNNNNNNNNNNNNNNNNNNNNNNNNNNNNNNNNNNNNNNNNNNNNNNNNNNNNNNNNNNNNNNNNNNNNNNNNNNNNNNNNNNNNNNNNNNNNNNNNNNNNNNNNNNNNNNNNNNNNNNNNNNNNNNNNNNNNNNNNNNNNNNNNNNNNNNNNNNNNNNNNNNNNNNNNNNNNNNNNNNNNNNNNNNNNNNNNNNNNNNNNNNNNNNNNNNNNNNNNNNNNNNNNNNNNNNNNNNNNNNNNNNNNNNNNNNNNNNNNNNNNNNNNNNNNNNNNNNNNNNNNNNNNNNNNNNNNNNNNNNNNNNNNNNNNNNNNNNNNNNNNNNNNNNNNNNNNNNNNNNNNNNNNNNNNNNNNNNNNNNNNNNNNNNNNNNNNNNNNNNNNNNNNNNNNNNNNNNNNNNNNNNNNNNNNNNNNNNNNNNNNNNNNNNNNNNNNNNNNNNNNNNNNNNNNNNNNNNNNNNNNNNNNNNNNNNNNNNNNNNNNNNNNNNNNNNNNNNNNNNNNNNNNNNNNNNNNNNNNNNNNNNNNNNNNNNNNNNNNNNNNNNNNNNNNNNNNNNNNNNNNNNNNNNNNNNNNNNNNNNNNNNNNNNNNNNNNNNNNNNNNNNNNNNNNNNNNNNNNNNNNNNNNNNNNNNNNNNNNNNNNNNNNNNNNNNNNNNNNNNNNNNNNNNNNNNNNNNNNNNNNNNNNNNNNNNNNNNNNNNNNNNNNNNNNNNNNNNNNNNNNNNNNNNNNNNNNNNNNNNNNNNNNNNNNNNNNNNNNNNNNNNNNNNNNNNNNNNNNNNNNNNNNNNNNNNNNNNNNNNNNNNNNNNNNNNNNNNNNNNNNNNNNNNNNNNNNNNNNNNNNNNNNNNNNNNNNNNNNNNNNNNNNGAGUCAAAAACUUCAAUUUUAGUUACUAAAAGACUCAAUUUCGGAUUUACCAAUUUGGAAGUGUUUCAGACCACUUUGAGGCUGCUAAUAGAUCACAUUUGACUUAACUAAAAGACUACAAUUGCCUAAGCCAAACCCUAACCUCUAAAAAGUCAUCAUCUAGUUCCCUAAAUUUGACUCCCCUAUUAUCAUUAACUUGACUAUGUUAUUACUGUAAUGUAUAACUUGAACUCAUAACUCUUAACACUAAAUUCCAGCAAUCAAAUAUACACUCAUACCAAUUCCUAGUUCAUACAUACAUCAACACAGAGCUCACAGAUCAGAAAAUACACUCUUGGUUCUCAAUUAACACUUCCACAUAACAAAUAUCAAUCACAACAGUUCACAACAAUUUCUCAGGCAAACAAUCAUAUUUAUAAACACACAUUCAGUUCAUGCACAUUUCAUUCCACACAAAAUCUAAGAGUCUAGAUUCCCUUACCUCUAGAGUGAACGGUCCAACUCCAGGAAAAUGCACAGUGUCCUGUUCUUAGGAAAGAAACCUAAAGGCACCUAUAUUUCACCAAAUGGUGAUAGGAAUUAGUCUCUAGAAUAAGAUUAGGGUUAAGAUUUUGGGGAAAAAAUCACAAAUGAACCACAUGCAGCAGAACUUGCUACAUGACCAAGGUUCAAAAAGAGGGAAGUUGCUUACCUUAUGAAAUCACAAUUGCAAUCGGUGAAAAUUGGAGUCCGUGAUGCCAAGAUCGCCUAGGCGUCUACAGAAUAGGAAUCCAAUGACUCAAUGGAGGAGAAAUCUAGAGAAAAGAAGAAUAAUUGUUUGGAAAAAGCAAGGUUAGAGAGAGAGCUGGUGUGGAAAAAGAGAACAGUACGCUCCUGAACUGUGUAAUGAAACUACUAUUAUGUUUAAAUUUUUCUAAAACAAAAUUUUAUUAAUUUAAUAUUAUUAGAAAUCUUAAACUUAAAAUUGUAGGUUAUUACAUUAACUAUUCUAUUUCAUCACAUUAAAAUAAACAAGUUUUACAAAUUUAAAUUAAAUUUAGUAAUAAUUCAAAAACUUGUUAUAAUUGGAAAAAUUAAAUAAUUUUAAAUGUUAUAUUUCUAUUUUUUUUUCUUAGCAAACAAGGAAGAAAAGAAAAACUUAAAUUAUAACUGAAUGGAGUACACUUGUUUUUUAUAUUUAUAAUAUUUAUAAUUAUAAUUCUCUCACUUAAUUUCGUUCCGUCAAUUAUAACCAAUUAAAACAAUUUCAGAUGUGUAUUUGAUCAAUGACUUUGAAACAUUAACAAAAUGGCAUUGGUUGAUACCUAAAUAAAAGAAUUAUAUAAAACAAAAAUGAUGAAUUUUAUUGCUUUUACUCUAAAAGUAACCACAUCUAAUUGACUACGAGUAAAUGCAAAAGAUAAGUUAAAUUUUAGAAAGUGUAAUAAUAUUACUAACAUUAUAUUUUUUUUAAUAAUAAUAAUAUUAAUACGAUUAACAUUAAUAAUUCAAGAAAAGAGUUUCAUUAAAAUAUAUAGUAAUUGAUUAAGAAUAANGUUAGAACAAUCUAUCUAUCUAUCUAUCUAUAUAUAUAUAUAUAAUCAUUGAUUGAAUUAUAAUAAUAACAGUAGUAGUAAUAAUAACUAAAAGAAUUUUUUUUGAUACAACAUAAUUAAUGGUUAAAUUAAUAAUAAUAAUAAUAAUAAAUUAAUAAUUAAAGAAAUUAAAAUAAAAUAUAACGGUUGAUUAUAAUUAUAAUAACAAUAUUAAUAGUAAUAAUAAUAUUAAUAACUGAAAACAAAUGUUAAAAUGAAAUAUAAUUAUUGAAUAUAAUAAUAAGUAAUGAUAGUUAUAUUAAUAAUUAAGGAAGAGAUAAUGCGAAUGGACACUUAAACUUUUUUUUUUGUUCAAAGUCAAAUAUAUGAAAAUCUUUUUAAUAAUUCAUAUAAUUAAUGGUUUUAAAGAUAUAAACUUAAAAAAUUUUAAACAAUUUAAAUCUAGAAAGUCCAAUAGACAAAUUAAAGAAUCCAAACUAGAAACGCAUGGAUUGAAAAAAUUCAUUCAUAGUUUAAGAAAACAAAAAUAAUUAAUUGAUUAAUAUAUAAAAAAAUUUAAAAACAAUUCCCUAAAAAGUUCAACAAAGUUUUUCCCUUUAUAAUCAAACCGAGCACACAAAUAGAAGAAUCCAAAAUAAAAAGGCAUGGACUAAAAAAAAUUCAUUCAUAGUUAAAAAAACCAUUCAAAACAAUUAAUGAAUUCAAUUAAAAUUUACUUUAAUGGACUACACAUAUCUUGUUUGUUUUUUAUAUUUUUAAUAUUUAUAAUUUAUAAUCUUGUCAGCAUGAAUUCAAUUUGGUUGCAUCGAUUACAACCAAUUAAAAAUGUGUAUUUCAUCAAUCACUUUAAAAUAUUAACAAAAUAACAUUGAUUGAUACCUAUAUAAAACAAAAAUAUUUCUUUGGUUGCUUUUAUUCUAAAAAUAACCACUUCUAAUUGGGUAGAUGGGAAAGAUAAGUUCAAUUUUAGAAAGUGAUUGAAAUUAGUUUUUCUCGAGUGUUAUUCUAAAACAUAAAUACAUUAUGGAGUUGUCUUAUUUAAAAUUUGAAAGAAAAUCUUAAAUAAGAAAUAAUUAAAUAUAUUUUUAGUAUUUUGUCACUAAUGUUUUACUUUUAAUGAUAAUAUGAUAAUAAAUACUUUUACUCAAAUCAUAUUAUUGGCUUCGUCUUCGUUAAAAAAAAAAAUUCAUUAGUUUGAUCAGAAAUACAAUAUCAACCAUUCACUUUAAUUUUAGGCUUUUUCCAGUUCGAUCACUAUCUUAUUAGAAUCCUCGAAUCCUUAAAAGUGUUAAUUUGUAUCAAUUAAGCCUCUAUAGUUAAAUUAGUUUAACAAAGUUAAUUUUUUUAUAAAUUGAAAGUUGACGUGGUCAAUUUUUGCACAUCACUCCUGUCACAUUAGCUCAUCUUCUCCAAACAGCAGAACCUUAAGCGCAAAUUGUCCUUCGCAAUUCCUUUAGCAUAAAGAACCCCCAACUCCUUCCUGUUCCUUCGUCUCGUACACGAAAACCUCAUGCACACCAUCAUUCAGCAACGAUGUUCCCAUCCCGCACUUCAGGUGUUUCACCAGGCCCUUCAGGUAAAUUUCCAGCAUAGUCGUAGUUUGCGUCGAACUCAUUCUCGACGACACUAAAGCUAGGCCAGUUGGUUUCGGUCACAACAAGGGGGAUGGUGUCGUAGCCGGUGACAGCAAAGGCGAUGACAACGGUGUCGACCAUGAUGUCGAAGACGUUGCGGCGGGGUAGAGCUCUACUGAGAUGGUGGUGAUUUUGACAUGCCAAAAGAAAUGAACAUCUUAUUUUCUUUAACGUGGGGACAUUAAUCAAUUUCAUAGAAAUGUUCAGUUGCCACUAUCAUGUUCAUUUUGUUUAACAGUUAAAUAUUUUAUUGUUUACGAUGCAGGGAAGAGUUGUUGAAUAAUAAAGAGAAUCAACAUUUUGUGUGUUAAGGAACCUAUGAGUACGUGCUCAGAACUUCUGAACAAAAAUACCUUUAUCACAUAAAAUAGAGGGGGCUAUCGAAGUUCAUCCUUGGAGAAAUGCUCACAUAAAGUUACAACUUUUCCUAAUUAAUGAAAUAACUCGCAUAAGACUUGAAAAGGUCACUAGGUGAUUUGUGUAGCAUUUUGACAGAUUGAGGGAUCUCGCUUUCAGCUGUGGGAGGCCACCAGAGAUGUCCUCCACCUCCUGGGAGUGGUGGUUGGAGGAUUCGCUGGGAGCGGAGUAGGUGACACCGAUGUAGGGGUGGGGAAGAGUGCGAGGGAGAAGACAGAGAAAUCAAAGAGCCACAUGUUCAAAAAUUGAUACAUCACCCUCCCACCUGUGCAAAAACUUAACCCAUUAAGUAAAUUUAAUGAUAGGGGCUCAAUUGAUUCAAAUUAGUACUUUUAAGGAUUCAAUCGAGAAUUCUAAUAUGAGAUAAAACCCACAUAAAUGGAAACAACUAAAUGGUUUAAACCUUAAUUUUAUUAUCAUGUCAUCUCAUUUUAAUAGUAGAAAUCAUCUCAUAUCUAAUAAGAGAACAAUUAACUUAAAAGAUGACAUAUAAAAUAUUAUUACAAUUAUUCAAACAUAAAUAUAAUACCAAAAUUUAUAUAUUAGAGUUUUAUCAUAUUUUAUGUAAGAUUGGACAAAUCAAACUAAAGUAUACUAAAUUAUAAUUAAACUAUAUUAUAAUAAUUUUUAGUUAAUUAAUAACUAUACUAAAUCACUUGUCUCUAAAAAUAUAACUUUAUUAUUUAUAUACACUGAAAUCGUGCUGAAACACCGAAUAUCUAAACAAGUGACAAUUAAGCGUUGUUAUAUUGUAUAUUCAUUGCAAUUAUUUCAUGGAUACUAUUAGGAAAAUAAAAUUUUAACACCAUUUUUUGACACCAUUUUGACACUGCACACGUGCCAAAAUGUGGUUGGACGAUUUCAAAUUAAAAACCAAACUUUGGUUUUUUUCUUCUAAACAUACCCUUGUCUCAACUUUUUUAAUUUGAAAUCGUCCAAUCACAUUUUAACACAUGUGCAGUGUCAAAAUAGUGUCAAAAAAUGAUGUUAAAAUAUCAUUUUCCAUAGUAUUAUUUUGAAAUCUAACAAAUUUUACACACACAUACCGGUGUUGCUUAUAUGUUAAUAAUAUUGAAUAUUUGUAAUAUUAAAAAAAAUACUAGUCAUUAUUUGCACACGACACACAAAAUAGAAUAUAUAUAUAUAUAUAUAUAUAUAUAUAUAUAUAUAUAUAUAUAUAUAUAUAUAUAUAUAUAUAUGAUUGUAUUAUAUUUUAUAAUUGUUUUCUCAUACAUACAUUUUUAUCUUUUUAUUUUUACAAAUAUAUUUAGUUUUAUUAAUUUACNNNNNNNNNNNNNNNNNNNNNNNNNNNNNNNNNNNNNNNNNNNNNNNNNNNNNNNNNNNNNNNNNNNNNNNNNNNNNNNNNNNNNNNNNNNNNNNNNNNNNNNNNNNNNNNNNNNNNNNNNNNNNNNNNNNNNNNNNNNNNNNNNNNNNNNNNNNNNNNNNNNNNNNNNNNNNNNNNNNNNNNNNNNNNNNNNNNNNNNNNNNNNNNNNNNNNNNNNNNNNNNNNNNNNNNNNNNNNNNNNNNNNNNNNNNNNNNNNNNNNNNNNNNNNNNNNNNNNNNNNNNNNNNNNNNNNNNNNNNNNNNNNNNNNNNNNNNNNNNNNNNNNNNNNNNNNNNNNNNNNNNNNNNNNNNNNNNNNNNNNNNNNNNNNNNNNNNNNNNNNNNNNNNNNNNNNNNNNNNNNNNNNNNNNNNNNNNNNNNNNNNNNNNNNNNNNNNNNNNNNNNNNNNNNNNNNNNNNNNNNNNNNNNNNNNNNNNNNNNNNNNNNNNNNNNNNNNNNNNNNNNNNNNNNNNNNNNNNNNNNNNNNNNNNNNNNNNNNNNNNNNNNNNNNNNNNNNNNNNNNNNNNNNNNNNNNNNNNNNNNNNNNNNNNNNNNNNNNNNNNNNNNNNNNNNNNNNNNNNNNNNNNNNNNNNNNNNNNNNNNNNNNNNNNNNNNNNNNNNNNNNNNNNNNNNNNNNNNNNNNNNNNNNNNNNNNNNNNNNNNNNNNNNNNNNNNNNNNNNNNNNNNNNNNNNNNNNNNNNNNNNNNNNNNNNNNNNNNNNNNNNNNNNNNNNNNNNNNNNNNNNNNNNNNNNNNNNNNNNNNNNNNNNNNNNNNNNNNNNNNNNNNNNNNNNNNNNNNNNNNNNNNNNNNNNNNNNNNNNNNNNNNNNNNNNNNNNNNNNNNNNNNNNNNNNNNNNNNNNNNNNNNNNNNNNNNNNNNNNNNNNNNNNNNNNNNNNNNNNNNNNNNNNNNNNNNNNNNNNNNNNNNNNNNNNNNNNNNNNNNNNNNNNNNNNNNNNNNNNNNNNNNUAUAUAUAUAUAUAUAUAUAUAUAUAUAUAUAUAUAUAUAUAUAUAUAUAUAUAUAUAUAUAUAUAUAUAUAAUUUAAAAGAUAACUCAGAAGACAUGUAUUUUUAUUUCUUUAUUUUUUAUUUUUUUAUGUUGUCGAAAAAUAAAAAAAAGCAAAGCAAGUAAAAGUUUCAAACCAAACUAAAAUAGAGUUCAUAAUUCAAAACAGUUAACUAAACUCUUAAUAAUAGGAAAAGUUUAAUUUUUUUUUAAACUGAACUUAAAAACAAUAUAAUUCAGUUUUUAUAAAAAUAAUUCAGUUUUUAUAGUACAAAAUAAUAAUAUAAAUUAUCUAUAAUUUAUUAUAACUAAGUUAAUUAUGCCCAACCCUAACUCUAUGCUUCCUGUUACAUCAUCAUCUUAUACUUGGUUUACAAAAAUAUUUUCAUUUGCUCAUACCAUUAAAAGGAUCAUAAUAAACAAGAAAACUAGUAAUUACACAAAGAUAGAAGAAGAAUAAGCUAAUUUACCAAACAAAAAUACCUACAAUUGAGUUAUGAAUAUAACAAUUAAACACAAGUCAGUCAAUCAACGCCUAAGCAUACAAACAUUAAUUUUAGACUUUUGUUCGGAUAUAUGUACUGAUGUCAAACUCUGACGAGUUGUACACUUGUGAUGGUCUCUAUUACUCUACCCAAUUAUUGUCAAUGAGUUUCACCCUAUCGCACAUAAGAUUAUAUAAGACUAUCCUCUGAAUAUAUAUAAGAAGAACUUGAGAAAAAACAUUUCCCACUUAAAAGAUCUAUGACAAAGUCAAAGAUCAAAACACAUCUCCUUGAAUUUUAUAAUGUUCCACGAAUAAGAGAAUAUAAAGAACAUGAAGAUUAUAAGCACAAUUGAAGAAUACUUUAGGAAAUUAAAUAAAUUGUAAUUUCAUUUUAAUUUUAUAGGAUGUUAAAUUCGUGGGCGAGCCAUGUUGUGUUAAGGCAAAAGUCCACUUCUAUAAUUUUCAUUUUCUGUUAUUUUUUUUUUGUUUUGGGCUUUGAGCUUUAUUUAAGAGUUUCUAGGUUUUCUUAAACUUAUGUGACUAUAUAUAAAGGUACCAAAAGUUGAUUGAAACACUUUUGAGUCAUAUUAUAUGCAUUUGCAAUCUUCGAGAGAGGAUUCUCUUAAUUUUUGGAUUAGAACUCUGAUUCUUAUCAAAGAUUAGCAUCUUUGUGAAAAAUCAUCACUUGACUUAUCAAUAUGCUAGAUAAUUGUGUCCUCAUCCCUAUCUUAUUCAACAUUCUUCUCUGAUUUAUUUAUUUUUUUGCUUUUUGAGAAUUCAAAUUUAAAAGUGAUCAUACUUUUUCCUGGACAUGAUCCUAUCAAGUUAAUAUGUUAAUGCCUUAGGCCUAGGUAAAGCCUCUAGACUAGGAUCUUCUGCUCCUUUCACCAUAUAUUUCAUUAUUCUCUACUUAAGAUUGGAUGAUUAUUAAAGCACCAAGGUAACUCCCAAUACGGAAUCCUUACAUCAAUACAUACACAACUUGAAACCUUACAAUAAAUUCUCCUUGAAAUUCUUUUUACAUCAUACUUGAUACAUGCAUACAUAAAUUCAUAAUAUAACUCAUAAGGCAUUGAAAACUUCACACUAAGCAUACAUAACAUCCAUAGAAAACCAAUUUAGAUAAGCAAAGAUUAGAGAAUCACAAAACAACACAUUGGCGCUCAAACUCACACUUAGUGUAGAAGUUGCUCCCGCAAAAAAAAAAACACUUAAUGCCAAAGAUAGAAAAUAGCUUCAGACCUAUAGUUGUAACGAGCGCUCUGCGAUGCCCUGUUACCGCUCAAUGCUAGACCAUUCGCAUUUUGGCCGCUCAACGGUAAAAACUGACACUAAGCGCCAUACUAGAAACCUACAAUUUCAAACAAUGAUUUGAUUGAACUGAUGACCUAUCCAAAUGACCAAAUUAGUAUUCUUGCCUCAGUACUUAAUCCAAAAACAUGUUUCAAAUAAAAAUGAAUACCAAUUUGCUCCAUUGGCUAGAAACUCAGUCCAUCAACUCAAUUCCAAUUUCAAACUGCACAUCAACAUGUUAAAUAGCAUAUUUCAAUAGCAAAUUUAACUAACACUUAAAUUUUCAUCCAUUUCAGAUAAUCAACAACAAGAACACUUUCAACAAGCAGUCACAACAGAAUGUCCCUAUAAUAGACUACCAAUUGUAAACCAAAUCAAGUAUGUCAAGUAACACAAAAUCAUCAGACUCAAUAAAUUUUAAUUGUGAUUCAAUCAACUAAAUCAAUAAUUUCAAUCAAUCAGAGUCCAUCAAACAUGCACACAUAAUUCUAAUUAUAUUAGAACUUGAGAAUAAUGGUAUUUAGCUUCCCUUACAUGUUACAAGCUCAAACUGCUCUACGAAAACUAGUAUAACUCCCUCAGCUCAAGGAACUCUACAUGCUCUUAUAAACCACAAAAUCAUGAUCAAGGCAUAUUGUUAGUACCACUGAUUAGUAGAGAAUCUUAUAGAAGACUUGGAUGACACAUGUGACAAAACAAUGCUCACAUGCAUGGAAAAAUGCACAAACUAUAGAAAAGAACAAAAACUACUCUUUUGCAAGAACUGAUGACAUAGACUUGAAGAUCUCGUCUUAGCGAUCAUUUAGGCACUCUCUGAUAUUCAAAUAGAUAAAUUAGGAAUGAGAAAGGUUAGAGAAAUGGUACAACGCUCUUAGAGAACAAGUUUUAGAGAGAUAGUUUGUUUUUAGAUAAUGAGACUCAUUAUUAGAAAUUAUACUUUUAUACGUUAAACUUUUAAUAUUAAAAUGACUUAGACUCAUUAUUUUGAACAUGUUAACACUUCUAAUACCUUAUUUUCUAGGCUCUCAUACUUUCGCUAACAACAAAAAUUUCUGACCUCAAAAAUUAGACUUACUAGAGAAUCGAUGUGAGUAUGAAUUCCACAUAUCCUCCUUUAUUUACCACGUAAAUCACAUGUUCUCCUAUCCUAGACUACUUGGACUAGACUGAUGAUUUUUCCUCUAAGCUAGUUUGUCUGGUAAUCAACUAUACUAACAGACUGCAUCUCCAUAAGAGAUCUUAUCUAACUUGCACUUCUUUUACCUCAAGCACAUGAGAAGGGUCAAAAACAUAUUUCCUAAGCUGUAAGACAUGAAACACUGAAUGAAGAUUGGAUAAUGGAGGAAGCAUUACUAUCUCAUAUGCAAUUGGUCCAAUAUGUCUCAAAACUUGAUAUAGACCAAUAAACUUAGGAGACAACUUCCUUGAACGAAUAGCCCUUCCCACACUAGUUGUUGGGGUUACUCGCAAGUAGACAUGAUCAACAAUUGCAAACUCAAAGGUCUUCUUCUCUUAUCAACAUAAGACUUUUACCUACUCUAUGAAGCCUUCAUCCUCUCUUGUAUCAACUUCGCCUUCUAUGUGGUUUGCUGCAACAGUUCAGGACUUAUAAACUUCAAUCCUAAACAAUGGUUCUCCCCAGAUACAUUCCUCUCAAUGGUCCAUUCCCAACAAGAUCAAUAUCCACAACAAUGCUUUCAAGAACAUCAAUUAGGCGAGCAAUACUCAAUAAUGUCAAUCAACAUGAUACAUCUAUGGCAAUUAACAUCCAAGAGCAUUUUAGCAUAUAGCACCAACCAAAAGAUUUAUACUCAUCUAUACAACACAAGAACCAUUUGAAGACUUGAACAGAGCAUAUAAAGUCUGCCAAACACUUAUAUAUAUAUAUAUAUAUAUAUAUAUAUAUAUAUAUAUAUUCAAACAUCCGCCCACAAUGUUCAACAAUUCAUGAUGCUACACCAAGCAUCAUAUCACAUUCAUAUAAAGUAAAAUCCAUAACCACACUCGUAAUAAGGAUCACAAGGUGAGAAGUGCCCAUGGGCUAUAGAAGAAAUAGAUAGGCCCAAAAUAUGGAAUGUGUAUGUAAGAAGAAAGAAAGUGGGGUUAGGAAAAGAAAUAGGGAAAAGUUAGUUAGGAUGGGGAAUGACGUGUCAAGAAUCCUGGGAGAAUUCUGUUAUAAGAGAGAGUAGGGAGAGUGAGGGGAGAUCAUGGAAAGAAAGUUGUGAGUUGGGUAGAAGGAGAGUCAUCCUUUGAAGGAGUCUGGUACUCUGAUUUUUUUACUUGUCGCUGUAAAGCUUUCAGCUCAAUCAUUUUUUACUGCAUAAUACUUGAAUAAUAUACCUGUGAUAUUCAUUUUAUUGUUGGGUUUCUAUCAUUGGUCCAACCUGCCAGAUACCGAGAAGAGCUAGCAGUGUUGUCCAUGCCACCUAAAAUGUCUGAUCGUGUUGAAGCAUUGGAGGAAAGAUUGUUGGCGAUGGAAGUGUCAAUCUGAGAGAUGUUGGGGGAAUUUCGCAUAUUAAUGCUGGAAGAGUUUACUAAGUUGCGUAACGAGCAAGGGGGAGAUCGUCGAGAAUCUCCAUUUUCAGAUAUGGAUUCAGGGGCAGAGUACAGGAUGGCAGCAAGGAAGGUGGAAUUACCAUCAUUUGAUGGUACGGACCCUAUGGGAUGGACUACAAGGACAAAGACAUAUUUUGAAGUGCAAGGCUCAAUAGAGGAGGUGGAGGUCCGAUUAGCCAAGUUGAGUAUGGAAGGUGCAACCAUUCAUUGGUUCAACCUUCUACAAGAAGCAGAAGUGGGGUUGUCGUGGACCAAGUUAAAAAGGGAGUUGAUCGGUCGUUAUGGUGGUUGUACUAGCGAUAAUCCUUUCGAAGAGUUGAAAGACUUGUCGUAGAUGGGUAGCAUAGAUGAGUACCUGGCGGAGUUUGAAUAUAUCUAAUCUCAAGUGUAUUGUUUACCAGAGGAGCAAUAUCUUGGCUAUUUUAUUGGAGGAUUGCGAUCGAAGAUUCGGCGGAGGGUUCACACCUUCAACCCGGUGAAUCGUCUGCAAGCCAUGCGCCUGGCUCGAGAUGUGGAAGCAUAAUUGCAAGGAGAGGGAUUUCAAAGUGGAGGAGGAGCACGAGGUUGGAAGAGCAAUCAAGAUUGGGGUACAGGUCAGAGAGAGAAGUUUGGAUCCGGGUCAGGUCAAGGCCCAAAUUUAGGGAGAUUAGGAUUUGGGUUAGGCCCAACCUAGAACACACAAACUAAACCCUUAUCUAUAGGGAGUUCAAGCCCUCACGAGUCCAGCUCGGUGACAUUACAAAGCAACGUUUUCGAUGAUCGUUCUUCGGCUGCUGUGCGGAAUCGCGGCACGAAACAUUUGCCCUACUCCGAAUUGAUGAAUAGGAAAGCUCAAGGGCUUUGUUUUAGAUGCGGUGAAAAAUACCACCCCUUGCACAGAUGCACAGAGCAACAACUGCAAAUGGUGGUGCUAGCGGACGACGAAACAGUAAAUGAAGCAGGGGAGGUUAUCGCGAGUGAGAUGCGAGAAGAGGAAGAUGAUCGUACCUUGGAGUGUGGUUCUAUUGAGUCGUUCGCAGAGGUUGAAGUUUCACGGGAUGGUCGAAAUCACCCUUCAACUCUGCGCAUAAAGGGUAGUCUCAAUGGAGUAACCCUGGGAGUGUUGAUUGAUAGUGGGACCAGUGACAAUUUCAUCUCUCAUCAUGUAGUGGCUGCUCUGGAGUUGAAGGUGGACAAAAGAAAAAUGAUUGGGGUGCGUCUAGGAUAUCGACACAGGGUCUCUACUACGGGGAAAUGUGAGUAGUUGGACGUUCAACUAGGAGAAUUUUCUACUACAGUGAAGCCAUAUGUGUUGGAGCUGGAAGACAUAGACAUGAUUUUGGGAGUUUCGUGGUUACGGAGAUUUGGUAAGGUGACUUUUGAUUAGGAAGAGAUGACUCUAAGUUUUCUUUGGCAAGACAAAUAUCUUGAACUACAAGGUCAGAAACUGAAAGAAUAUGAAGCAAUGUCUCAAUUAGAAGUACUUCAACCCUUCCCUAUUCCGGAUAGAAUUUGGGAAGAUAUUUCUUUAGACUUCAUCACGGGUUUACCAAAAUCGAAAGAGUUUCAAGCUAUACUCGUAGUGGGGGAUCGGUUGUCUAAAUAUGUCGACUUUAUUCUGCUGAAACAUCCUUACAAUGUAAGGAAAAUUGCUGAAUUGCUUGUUAAGGAAAUUGCAUUAUUUCGAUUACUGGGAACAACUCUGAAAAUGAGUUCUGGUUAUCAUACUGAGACCGAUGGUCAAAAGAAAGUGAUAAGUCAAUGUUUAGAAGCUUAUUUACAAUGUUUUGUAUCGGAACAACCCAUGAAUUGAUCAUAUUGGGUACCUUGGACAGAAAUUGGAGAAGUUUUAUAAGGUGUAGCUGUCGGAAUUAGCUAAAGUACAUUUAGUUUUUCACAUUUUCCAACUAAAAAAGGCUAUUGAAAACCAGGCAGUAGAAUCGACUUUACCAACAAAGUUGACUUUUAAGGAGGAAAAUAAGGAAGAGCUUGAGACAGUGCUAGCAGCCAGGGAGAUUCCGAAGGGCAGUAACAUCAUCAAACAAUGGUGGGUGGAAUGGAAGAGAAGAACAAAGAAAGAGAUAACUUGGAAAGGUGAAGUGCUACUACAAGGUCAAUUUCCUUCUUUCAGCCUUGAGGACAAGGCUGUUGUUGCAGAAGGGAGUAAUGAUAGGACUCAUAAUAAGGAUCACAAGGUGAGAAGUGCACAUGGGCUUGUUACUCAGCCAAGAAAAAAUAUAGAAGAAAUAGAUAGGCCCAAAAUAUGGAAUGUGUAUGUAAGAAGAAAAAAAGUGGGGUUAGGAGAAGAAAUAGGGAAAAGUUAGUUAGGAUGGGGAAUGACGUGUCAAGAAUCAUGGGAUAAUUCUGUUAUAAGAGAGAGUAGGGAGAGUGAGGGGGGAUCAUGGAAAGAAAGUUGAGUUGGGUAGGAGGAGAGUCAUCCUCUGGAGGAGUCUAGUACUCUGGUUUUUUUCCUUGUCGCUGUAGAGCUUUUAGCUCAAUCAUCUUUUACUGCAUAAUACUUUAAUAAUAUACCUGUGAUAUUCAGUUUAUUGUUGGGUUUCUAUCACUUUGCAGUAUACAUUGUUAUCUAAUAACCAUGACCAUUGCAUAAAUAAAAUCUGUGUAUAACAGCAUUGACCUAUAUGCAUCAUAGUACAUUACCCACAACCAAUUGACAGCACAUUAUCAUGCAACUUCACGGUGCAACAGCCAAUAUUUACAUCAAAAUAACCUAAUAUCAACUUUAAUGCAAUAACGUCUAACCCUAAACACAGCAGCAAGCUGAAUCUAACACAUCAUCACGUUACCUAAACCAUUAGUACACAUAAGCGUUGCCUUUCAUUUAACGUUUCACACGGAAAGAGUAUUUAAAACAGCACUUAUUCAAUGGCAGUCUCAAACUCGCUAUAAACGAGUAUACUCAUAUUAUUCAGCGAAAUGUACAGCCAAACAGACAAGACAGCUUCUAAAUCAAUCAUAUAACAUCAUGUACACUCAUUUAAGAGGCUCAUAUCAAACUAGACAUCAGCAUUAGUUAAUUAGAAUCAAACCAAGGUUUCCAGAACUUUAAUUCUUUCUAAACAAUCAUGAAAUUAAACAACCCUGUCAUAAAACUGCAUUAAGACCAUUUAGUACAUACUAUAAAUUUGGAAAUCAUGUUCUGCCCAUACCAACCAUACUAUCGUGAAAUUUUCUAUCAAUCUAGAAACAAAACCUUAAUCAUUGCAGUAAAAUAGCCAUAGUUUUAUUCAAUUCAUCCAAACAAUUUAAACAGCCAUGAAUGCAGUAUAACCCCGUAUAAUAGUAUGUGCAGAAUAAGUUCCAGCAACCAGAGACAAUAAUUUAUGCAAUAUGAUAGUCAAAGAUUGACUCAAUUCUUCCAAACAAUGUACACAACCUUAAACAGAUUCUUACCAGCUCUUUUCAAUUCAAACCCAAGUUAAUUUCAGUGUUAAAACUCGUUAACCAACUCCAACUCUAUCUAGGUAUCAUCACCCAAUAAUUUAACCACUAAAAAAACAAUGCCAAGCAGGUUUGAACUGCCCAAAAUUAGUUUCAUGAAUACAUGCAAACUGGAACACUUAAACAGCAUAUACAAAUCUGCCAACAUUGCUAUCAUGAAUAUAACCACAACACCCAACAUUCAAACAUAGCACAUUCCACAUUUAAAGUGAAAGACCACAUUCAUACGUAAAUUUCCAGUCCAGCAGCACUACCCAAUACUGUAACAAUUACUCCUAUAUAAACUAGUAUAUGACAGCAUCAAUUCACAUCUAUUCUUAGUCCCGCCUGAUAGGAGGUUAAAGGUGUAUGUGAGAAGGAAGAGAUGUGAGUAAGUAGUUAGUUAGUUAGUGGGUCAGUGGCCUAACUGUUUUAUCAGUUAGGAAGGGGGAAUGUAUCGGGUAAUACUUGUAUAAAUAGUUAGUGAGGAGAAGGAUAGAUACUUUUGUUCAUCCUUGUAUCUUGAACAGACUGUUUAGUCUGAUUGGGGGAGAUUAGGCUCUCACUUUCCUACAUUCUUGUAUUCUUUCUUGUUCUUAAUAAACAGAGGAGGUUAUUCAGCAAUUGUGGGUGGUUCUGUGCGUGUUAAAGUGUAGAAAGAUUAUAGGUUUCAUUACCAGAAACCUAUCACCGCCCCUGUUACCAAUCCAUGGGUAUAUAUACACAACAUCAAAACCCAGUCAAGCAAUCUAAAUACUCCAGACCAAAAUUAAGACAUUUAUAUAUAUAACGUACAACAUUUCAACAGGGCACAUGUUCAUGAUCAUUCCCAAUUCAAAAUAUAUUGUUAUGCAAGCUCACGGUCCAGCAUCAUUUAAGCAAAGUCAGCCUUCGUACAAAAAUAUAUUUCAUCUAAUUCUGAGUUAUAUUAGGUAUACAUUCAAACCAGAGCACUAAACCACAUAUAUUCCAACUCCUAAUAAUCUAGUUCAUUACACCGCAAAGUAAUAUACCCUACCCUUCCCAGCAUAACAUUCUAGUACUGCCCAAGCAAACAGAUACACCAAAAUCCAGUAUACCAAUUCAGUAAUGAUAUGGUUCAGGACAGAAAGGGUUUUAACGUAUGACUACACCUAGAAACAGAACAGGACCAGCAAGAUUUUCAUAUGCACAUGAUUAAAUCACCUACUAUACCAUCAACUAAUUCUGAAACAGUUUUCACCAUUUAAAGAAAUCAGCCAACCAAAAAUCAUUUUUCAUGCACAUAUCAAAGGUUCAAGCGUCAAUUUCCUUCCUGUUUAAACCAUAUGAGAGAACUUAACAUUAUAUGCAUUAACUACUACUUUUCCCUACUGUUUCGUUCCAUUUUUUUUUUCAAAUAGAUUGUAUAUAUAUACAACGAAACUGCACCAGAGCAUCAUAAUAAUACUCCAUUACCAUAGUUCAUUCAUUCUACUAAAACAUGCACACCAGUCCUUCAUUUGAUCUUAUGAUUAUCUCAAUUUCAGUCCAACUACAUAAUACCCCAACACAGCGGACAGAACCACAUCACCAACAUCUAUUCUGACUCUAAUUCACAAGUAAUAUAGCAUACUGAAAUUAAUUCAAUGAAACAUCAUUUAUACUUUCAAUAUACCAGUAACGGAGACAAUUGCAUACCAACAAACAUAAUUAAAAGGAACACGCAAGAAUCAUGUAGCAAGAAUCCAAUCACAUACACAAAAUAGAAUUAACUCCCAUACCUGUCUCGGCUUCACCACAACUACCCCCUCCGUUGCAAACUCUGAAUCUCUCGCUUCCAACUCUAAUGUCCUGUCACGGACUCUAAACUCUCACUCUCAACUACAUUGCUCUAAUACCGGUCGUACAGCAGAGGCCAUCCCUUUUCUAACCCUAGGUUUCCCAAGUUUUCAAACAAUAAAAGAAAAGAGAAGGAGAGUAGCGUAGGUUGACGCUCAAAGCAAGAAGAGAAUGAGUUCUAUCCCUUGCCGCACAAAGCCCCCAUUUGCCCUACGGUUUGAGUUUUGAAGAAGAAAAGAAAAUUGGAAAGGAAAGAUGAAGGUCUGCGUUUCAAUAAGGUUGGAGAAGAGAAUGGGUUUUCUCUUUUCUCUCUCAUGGGGUUUAUUCGGCCAAUAAAGCAAUUUUUGAAAGAAAAAAAAAUAUAAAACAGAGUGAAUGAAAUUAGAAAAACAAAAACCCCACUUUGGUUUCAGCAGGGUUCGAAGUCAGGGCUUCGCACCACUUAAACCUGUCAAUGCAGCUCAUUUUCUAGGAUUUGGCUUCAAUCCAUAAGGGUUGAGGCCAAAUAAUUCCAAGACCAAAAACAUUUUUUAUUAAAAAAAUCCACAGAACCAACUUGAACCUUUCUUUUUAGCAUAAAAAAACAUAAUAAUAAAAGUAGAAACAAAAAAUAGGCACUUCUACAAUAACAAACCCAAACCCAACUUGAACUACAUAAUAAAAACAGAGAAACAUAUGGCAAUUGAUCAAAUGCUGAAUCAAAAAAAAUCAUAUCUGUAGAAUAAAAAAUAUAUUCCACCCUUGUUCAAAAGAGAAAUACAAGAGGCAAAGAUCAUUUGAUGGUGCGAUCAUCCUUCAUUAAAGCAUGCAAUGGAUUAUAAAUUAUGAAGAGCUUUUUGGUGAAGAAAAAGGUACACUAAAUGGAAUCUUAUAUCUUCACAAAAACCAUACAUUCACUAUGGAAAUAAAAUAAAGGAUAAUCUUUAACAAAGAUGAGAAUCAUAACACAAGCAUCUCUACAAACCCACCCAGUCACCCACUGAAAUUCAAUUCCAUACAGAUUGACCCACCAUCUGUCACAAUUUAUUGUUCAAGCUGCAUCAAGAAUCCAUAAAAGAAAUAUAAAUUACAAAUCCAGAAUGUAAAUAUAAUGAUAUUAAACUUUUUAUGUUUUUCAUCUAAUUAAUACCCUGAACAGUGUUUCAAGCUUAUUCUUGACAAGGCAACUCUUGCUUCACUUGUUGUAGACGUCUGAGAGACCUGCGGUAAUAAGAAACUUUCAAUGAUGAGACAUGAAAUCAGCCAGACUACCACAGUUGAAUACUUAAAGCACAAGUAGCUUAUUCAUUCAAACUUGUGCACUUAUCCUUCAAGACGCCAAAAACUAUUGAACAACUUUCUGAAAAUUAACAACUCUUCAAACAAUUCUCAAGACAAUCAGUUCAUAAAAUCAAUGUCACUAGUCAAUUAAUAUAAAAUUGAGAGAUAAGCUAGCAAGAUGGGAAAUGAACAAAUCUGAAAAAAUGAAUUAAAACAGAGGCAAAAUCUGAAAUGAGAAGUACCUUGGCAUUCAACACGAGACUCUUAACAAUGUGAAACAUUUUAUUUAGGAUUUGUUUUGCAUUCGGCUAGGUUUUACUUGAGCUAAAAACCAAAGAUACAGUAAAUGGUUGACAUGAUACAUUCGUAGCUUUUGCCUAUACAAUUAUGGCAGAAACAUCAAUAUCCAAUAAGUGUGUCAGAUACUUGGAUAUGUCAAAAUCUAAUAUAUAUUAUUAUUAUAAAGCAUGUCACAGAUACUUAGCUGACUUUGCUUGUUAGCAGCUUUUUUGUAGCAUUGCACCUUGUCAAAUUAUACCAGUAUGCAAUGCCACAGUAGUUGCUUAGAAAAAAGUAGAUUAAUCUCAGUUAUAAUACAAUCAAAAUAACUUUUAUGUUAACACUCGCUAGAUAGAUAUAUAUGUCAUUUACAUGGUUUUUUGUUUAUAGUGGUAAAUUUAAUUUUAGAAAGUUUUGGAUUUUAAGUUAAAGGUAAUUUUUAACUAAGAAAACAUACUGAAAAAUCUAGGAUUUAUGUGAUCUUCUAUAAUGGAAUUUACAAUUACAUUUACUUUUGAAUUAGUAGAAUCGGGCCAAAAUGUCCACAAUAUACUAGCAGUUAAAAUGAGGAAUCAUAUUUACAUAACUUUUUAUAAAAGUUAUACAGAAGAGAAUGAAAUAUAUGAUAAAAUAAUUUGCAUCAUUAAAAGAGAUAGAGAACAAACAGCAACACUGCAAAUAAAUAAUAAAAGACUAUUGCAUUGACAAUACAGACAUACCAGUUAAAAAAGAGUUUGGAAAAAAAAAAUGAGCAAACAUAUCUGCAACAUUAUAAAUAGAGUUUAGAACUAACCUAUAUUAUGAACAUUAAAAAUAUUUAAAGGUUUGUUCAUAAUUGGAGAGACAAUUGAGGCAGAUUGACAUUUUUUAUGCAUGGGAAAACCACUUUCUACUGCAUGGCUGAAGGAAACUGUGUUAGAGAAUAAUUUGGAAUCUCCGGAAAGGAUCAAGGUAUAUGAAAAAUUGAGAGUCAAUGGACAGGACAACAUUAGGAGAUAUUACAAAUAUUCCAGUAAGUGCUAUUAAUAACUCAUUCAGCUUUUCAAAAUUAUAUAGUUUUAUUCAAAAAUCAAUAAGUUACUGAAUAUCUUGCUUUUUAACAUAGUCUUCUGGCUGAUUCUCUUGAGCUACACUGAGAAAUCAUGCUUUACUGCCUGAGUUUUGGCCAGAAUUUAGUUUCUUCUUACUAAUAAUUUAUGUGUAUUACUGGAGAUCCAUAUAUAGAAGUCUCUUUGUUUUUCUCCCAUAUAAAUUGGUUAAAAUGCCACAGAUCAUUGGCAUUUUAAUCUUCUUACAAGCCACCUAAGAAGAGGUUUUUUAAUUGAACUCCACACAACAGGAAAUCAAGCAAGGGUUUUUAGCACAGCAGCAGGAUGAAGUUGUUGUGAACAACCUGAAAGUGAUAAUACAGGGAGCAAGAGAAUGUAGGAUAGAAACUUACAAGCCACAUUCAGUAAUUGCAAUAGUUUCACUUGGGAGGAAAGAAGCAGUGGCACAUUUACCAUUCUGGAAAAUCACUGGAAGAAUUCUAGGAUUCAUUAAGUCUGGAGAUUUGUUUGUUGCUAGAACAAGGAAACAAAUGGGACUCAGUUAUGAUAUUCUAAUAUGCAGAAAAUUUAAAAACUGUCCUAAACCUAUAUCCUAAUGCUAAACUACCAAAACAUUAUCAUAACUAUGCUAACAAACCUAAAUUUACCAUUAGAAACCAUUCUAAAAAUUAUCUACUCUCUAGAAUUAUAAAACCAUAAUCUGAAAAUGCCCCUACACUAGCCUUAAAAGUACUGAGUAAAAUAGAACAAUCUAAAAAUUAACUUCUUACUUCUAACUAGCUCUAAUCUUUAUUCAAAAGAAACUCAAAUUCACUGAACUAAUCUACAACUAUACCUUUCUAGUUAUUAAAAAUUAAAACUGCAGAAUUUAACUAUGCUACUAGACUAUAACUAAAAGAAAAUUCACUAGACUUAGCUGAAUUCAAUUACAGAAACAAAAACCACAAUUGAACUAGACUAAGCAAAUUCAUUUCAUCAAUAUAGAGUUGUAAGCAAACUAGCCUACCUACUUCCUAAGGAGGAAUCAAAAUAUGGUACCUAUACUAACUCAUUCUGAAGGAAAAACAAAACUAUUUGCUGGAAAUUGUAAAACAAAUAUUGUUAAAAGAACUACACCAACAAAACAAAGAUAUUCUAAACUAGACUAUACUAGGCUUAAGAGAGAAAUAGGUGUAUGAGUUGGGUAUAAUCUCACGUUUAAUAAAGGCCAGAACACAAAAGAGUGAUAUCAGUUUUAAUAUACUUCACAUUUCAUCAAUCUGGUUUUCCUUUUACUCACUGACUUAGUGUUGCAAGAUGAUUUUGGUUUUGGGAUAGUGAUAGAAGAAAAUGAUGCAAGAACUUUGAUGGUAGUCACAGCUCUAAAAUCAUGCCAAGAGACUCUGGACAAGUUGAAAGACAUACAAGCUCAAGCAUCCAAAAAAGCAAAAGGGGAGUAUCAAAGGAUUAAGAAAGCCCAUGAGAUGUUUGAGAUCCUAAGAGACCCAGGUGUCCGGCCAACAAGAGCUGCCAUCGAGCUCCACCGGGUGCUGCCAUCAGUGCUGCUGUCAAACUUCACUUUGUGCUGCCAUCGGUACUGCUGUCUAGCUCUAGUACUGGAGAAAUGUUUGUGCAGAAGAAAAUUUACAUUUAGGGGUUGACUCAGCCUUAGUGGAAUGGCAACCCCUUUCAUGGGGGAUGUGGGGGCCAGGGGGUUCAGAACUGUGGGUCAAGAAAUUUGGCAUAAGUCUAGAAAGGACCAGGGCUGGCCUUGGGACUCAAAAGUAAAAUGACUGGUCUGAUUUUAGAAAACUGAUUGUUGCAGAUGGUGACUCCAAAAAACUGUAUCUAUGUCUAAAAUAUUUCUUUGAUUAAGCAAUCCUUUCAAAUUGCUAAAUACUUGUAGAGAAGAACCCUUGUCAUUAUUUAUAAUGCUAUACCAAGAAAUAAGUCAAAUCAUUACAUAAUCAUUUUACACUUCUCGAUCCCUAAUGUUUCUAGACACAAGCAACAAAUACAUAAACAAAAUAAUAAUAUUGGAGUUAAAGAUUCAUAAUUAUUUAUUAUAGAUCCACUUAGCCAGCCAAAGUAGUCUUGGCCAGCAAUGUUAUUGGAAUGAAACUCUGAAAGAUACAAUGAAAAUGGUGUAUAUAACACUGAAACUUGACACUGAUGCUACAAUUAAGAGUAUCUUAGAGACUACUAAAACUGAAGUUAGCUCAGAAACACACAGUAGUGAAGUAGAACAGAUAUGAAACAAGCUGGAAGGGCAGGGCUUCACUCUCUGCCCUUGGCAAGGAUAAAGAAGAUCAUGAAGAAAUUGGGUGAGGAUGUUAAAAUGAUAGGUUUCUGGUAAAUUGAAACCUAUCUUUCACACUCUUAACUCCAAAGUACGAACACAGAUGAAAAGAAAAGUAUAUUCUGUAUUAACAAAGGUCAAAAGUACAAGUACAAUGGGUACUCGGAAGCCUAAUCCCCCUCACUAGGUCCAAGACCUGUCUAUACAAAAGAAUAUGACUAACUAACUCCAACAGAAAUACAAAAGGUUCUCUUUUAUAGACAGCCUUCCCGCCUUCUCCUAACUGUUAACACAGGUAGGUUUUCUCACUCACUUCCCUACUUUUCUCCUUCUCUCAUAUACUCUUCAGCCCCUAACAUAAAAUGAUAUCAGAGGACGCUUCAAUUAUUUUCUCCCAGGAUUAUGAGCUCUUCGUUGAUGACUUUGCACAAAGAGGACUUAAUCUCGGCAGUUAUAGCCACUGAUCUGUUUGACCUUUUGACUACUUUGGUUUCCAACUCUGACAGCCAUGCACUUGGUGCCACCACCGUUGUCAAGGAGGUUGAAACUAUAGAUUAGUCUUCAGCAACCUUAACUCAACAGCAAAUAGAAUAUUUGAGUUCCAUACAUGGCUAUGCAAUUAAUUUAAGAACUUUAUCAUUGUAAUUAUGUAAUUUCUACAUAUAUAACUAAAUAAGAACUUUAUCAGCUAGUUAUGUAUAACCAUACUUAAACGAAAGGAAGUUGUGUCAUGAUCCUUCAUACACACAAGUAGUGGUAUAUCUCUAGUUCUUUUAGACUUCAGCUUGAUCAUCUCCAUGUUAUGAAGUCAAAUAAUAGGCUGCAUAAUAUUCAUUUAGCGGAGGUUUCAAGGAGGAAGAAAUCAAAGUAUAUGGGAAAUAAAAACAAACCAGGAAAUUUUUCAAAUAACUCUUGUGGGAACAACAUGGAGAAAUAAUUCAAAAUAUACGAACAAAAAAAAAGGAGGCACACUCAUCUAGCAAAUAUCUUUUUCAGAUUUCCAAAUUCUACCGAUAUAUGACCAGAAAUUUUGCUGUUUUGAAAGUACAAAAUAGUCUAGUUCUCUUAUUGGUCCAAUGCAGAAGGGAUUGAAUUUGUGAGUAAAUUAUUUGAUAGAUGUAAUUCCAUUAAAUGUGUCAAAUUUCAAAGUUAUAUAUCUGCAAUAUUGGUUUCAAUCGAGAUAAAAUCAGCCAAUAUUAUGGAGAAACAAUGUAUCCAAUUGUGCUGUAUUACCAAGUUCUGGUGGUACUGAACCAGCAAUUAAUAGAGUGAGAGUAAGAAAUAGACAUGAGAGAUUCUUCUCUCGGAAGAAUUCAGAAAGACUUAAAAGUUCUUUGGGCAUAGACACAUCAUAAGAUGAUUAUUGCCAAGGUUAAGAUCCCUAAACUUCGUAACUGUGCUUGUUCUUUGGGAUUGGUUCCCUGAAGUGCAACACUGAAGGCCCUAAAGAAAAAACAUAUUUGGUCUCUGACAAACAUGAAUGGGAAAUAUCAAACAGUUGGAAAUAGAAAAAUCAUCAAGGUUUUAGACAUAGGAAGGGAGGUCACAGUUUUGGUCUUGAAAGACAAUAAAAUCAUUGAUUUCAACCUUUGUACAACCCAGUUAAAUAAAUUCUACAAAUAAAAUGUAAUGUCAAAGGAAACAGAAGUUUGAUAGCAAUCAAAAUGAAGAAUAGAAAAUAAAAAUGUAUCAACCCUUGACAAGGAAAACAUCAGCAACAAAGGUUACAGCCUAAACCAACUCAUCUAAUAUAAAAUUUACAAACCAUUCAUGCACAUUCUACGACAAACACAUAAAUGUAACUUGUUAUUCAAAUAAGGUGUCACCUUUCAUCAUUUCAACAAGUCUCUAGAGAUCAUUUCGUGCAAAAAUUUCUCUGCCUUUUCAGUCUUGUCGUUCUUAAAGAGAGCAAAGAUGAUUAUUUCAAAAGUUAUAACAUCAGAUAAACAACCAUUGUCUUCCAUUUUGGACCACAAGGUCAAUGCCUCAUCAAGCAAACCCUCUCUACAAAGACCUUGGAUCAUAAUAGUAUAAGUUCGGAUGUUGGGAUUGUGACCUUUAUUCAAUAGUUCUUGAAAAAUAUCAUGUGCAUCCUUAAGUCUCCCCCCUCUACACAUCCCAUCAAUAAGUAUUGUUGGAGUGUACAUAUUGGGCUGAACUCCAUUCUCUCUCAUUUUCCUCAAUAAUUCAAUUGCCUUGUCUAGACGAUGAUUUUUACAUAAACCAUCAAUCAAGGAAUUAUAAGUCAUUACGUCUGCUUGUUGAUUUCUACCAUGCAUCUCACGAAAAAGAUCCCAAGCAUGAGAUAUUCUUCCAGUUUUGCAUAAACCAUCAAUAAGAGUUGUGAAAGUCACUGUAUCGGGCACCAUAUUCCUGCUGUGCAUUUCCUGAAAGAGAUUUAUGGCCUCAUUCACCCUUUUGUUCCUUAUGAGUCCAUUUAUCAUGAUAUUGUAGGUCCUAACACAAGGACUCACUCCCAUGUGGAUCAUUGCAAUGAAUACUUGUUUCGCAUUCUUCACUUCAUUAACUAAGUAAUAUCCAUCUAUUAGAGCAUUAAAGCUAACAACAUCAGGUUUCACAUAAGCUUUCACCAUCACACCUAACACAUUCUUGGCUUCUCUUAAUUUUCUUUCCUUACACAAUGCAUCAAUCAAUAUAUUAUAGGUAUAAACAUUUGGCCCGAUGCUAUUUGAUAACAUUUCAUUUAAAAAAGCAAAUGCUACUUCUACCUGUCCUACUAAGCAAAAGCCAUAAAUUAGAGUACUAUAAGUAACAACAUCAGGAAAAAUUCCCUUCGUAACCAUCUCAGAAUACAGACCAUAAGCUUCUUCCGGAUGAUUCUCUUUCAAUAAAGAGUCAAUAAUAAUGUUGUACAUUACGCUUGAUCGACCUUGAAUCUUUCUGAACAAUUCGAUGGCGGCUUCAGUUUCUCCUAUUUUGCUCAAUCCAUUAAUCAGAGUCACGUAAGUAAAUUCGUUGAGCCGAAAUCCUAGUGCUAUUACUUUAUCGUGAAGAUUGAGGGCUUCCUUGACCUCACCCUUAUCACACAGACCUCUGAUGAGUGUAGUUAAGGUUAUGGCAUCUGAAUGAUAACCCCUUUUGAGAAUCUUGGCAAAUACAGAGAAAGCGAAAGACAAUUUGUGUAAGUGACAGAAACAAUUGAUGAGGAGGUUGAGAUUAACAAGGUUAUUGUGAAUUCCCUUGAGCUCCAUUUGCUUAAUGAGAGAAAUAGCAGUAUGAUACUGCUUCAUUCUCACAAGAAAUCCCAAAAUCUUUCCAAAUUCGAAGAUGGGAGGAACAUGACGCUCACGAAGCAAGCUAUUGAAUUGUGAGACGGCUUCGUCGUGUAAGGAAGUUUGAGAGUGAGAGUGAGAGCAAAAGAGGAAAUUGUGCAUUGGAAGAAAAGGAGGAAACUUAACAAUGGAAGGAAGAAGAGAAACCCUAACACUUCUUGAGAGCCACAUCUUUGCUCCAAACAACAAUAGUAUAGUACGGAAUUCUUCAAAUUUACAUUUUCUUCAUUUUUAAAAAGUAAGCUUAACUUGUAUGCUUUAAAUCUUUUGUUUGGACAAAUUUAAUUUAAUUUUAAUUUUUUAUUUGGAUAAAAGUUUUAUAAUUACCACUAAAUUUUUUAAAGU
RNAcentral lists this long non-coding RNA (153481 nucleotides) under Vigna radiata. RNAcentral's name for it is "long non-coding RNA (VRAD_LNC009953)". The record is from RNAcentral. Lineage: Eukaryota; Viridiplantae; Streptophyta; Magnoliopsida; Fabales; Fabaceae.